RNAcentral lists this long non-coding RNA (121798 nucleotides) under Triticum aestivum (bread wheat). RNAcentral describes it as "long non-coding RNA (TAES_LNC009763)". The stretch from base 64566 to 64682 matches the Rfam family "MIR1120/MIR1122 microRNA precursor family". Lineage: Eukaryota; Viridiplantae; Streptophyta; Magnoliopsida; Poales; Poaceae. The record is from RNAcentral.
UUCAUUCCAUUACUCUCUAUGUGUUACCUUGCCAGCAUAUUCCAUGUGCUGACCCGUUUCGGGCUGCAACGUUAAUGUUGCAGACUUUUCAGACGACGAUUAAGGUGCUUUUAGGUCGUGGUUCUAUACUCAGUGAUGCCGUUGGAGUUGAUGGACCCAUUUAUCUUCCAAGUCUUCCGCUAUUAUUGAUUUUAGAUGGCCUUAAGACAUAUUUAUGUAAUAAGUUCUCUUCGGAGACAUCGUUGUAAUAAGUGUGUGAUUGCCACUCUGCUAUAAAUCCUUCGAUGUACUGUGUGGUGUCAGCAUUACUGAUCUAGGGAUGACACCGAAGCACAGUAGACUUGAUCCAUUCGGGUCGGGUCGCCACAGAGAUGGUAUCAGAGCACACGCUGACUGUUGGACACGACCACUAAGUUAAAGCCAUAGAUCACUAUUCUCUCCUCAUUUUCUAACCCCUCAUCUUUUCUACUCUUUAGGAUGAAGGACGCGAAGAUUAAGUACGCUCAACUGGAUGAAGGCACACCUUUUGGAUUUCACUUGAAGGAAGUCACCAAGUACCUAAACAUUGGAUUACCAAGUUUCACGGGAACCUUCAAUGCCACUCUGCCUGAAGAGGAGCGCUGGAAGAUUCAAGCUCACGUUCCGGGAAGGACAUUCGCGCCAAUCACGAAGCCCAUAGAUAGUGUUUUCAAUGCACCAACCUGGAGUCUAGGAAAGAGCAUGGCAGCCCAUAUCACCAUAGGACGCAUUGGAGAAGUUUAUCAAGAAGACCUCAAGGACACUAUCUACCAGAUUUGUGGACGCCGAGAUGAACAAUGGGAGUUAGUCACCACCAAGAAGGAUAGAUCCAUUGCAGCAUUCAUCUAGGAGUUAAACCAGCACAUUCGACGCCACGAGAACCAGCUGUGCAAUGAUAUAAUGGAGUUGAAGAAUGCGAAAACAAGGAUCAUCGAGCUAGAAGGAGAAUUGAAGGCUACACGCAAGGACUACAUGGACGAGAUCGUAGCUCUAGCAAGACACAACUGCAAUCUUAAGCAAGAGAUUGAAGAACUCAAGAAGGAGUUAGCAUCCAGGAAGGAAGACAUGUACGUCGCAUGUCCGGACAAUUACAUCAUCAUCGACGACACCGAUUCGGAUCCAAGUGAACCCAACUUUGAAGACGAAGCUGGAGCGGACAUCAUGGAGUCUUCCACCGGUUCAAAUUUCUAGAUGACCACCAAAUAUUAGUAGUAUUUUCCCCCAUGUAAACACUAUAGUUCGAGCACUUUUGCGAUAGCUAAAUCGAUUGUAAGCCCUUGUUUGAUUGAAUGAAGUGAUUUUGUGUGAAUUUGCUCAUGUGCAUUGGGGUAGUGUUUUCUCUUUAGACCUCAUUCUAUUCUUAUAUCUCUUCUUUUCUAAAACCAUCAGAUGCCUUCGAGACGUGACAAUGGAUUUCCAUCGGAGCUCACUCAGUUGAUCCAACAGCAGAAUCAGUUGAUGCAGAUGUUAGUUCAGAAUCAGCAAAACAACAACAACCCACCACCACCACCACCUGUUGACUACUUAGCCCAUUUCCUUAGGCUAAAUCCGCCGGUGUUUUCUAGUAGCAUCGAGCCGAUAGUAGCAGACGAUUGGCUCCGCAAUAUAGGAAGGGAGUUGACCACUGCAGGAUGCAUGGAUGGUGAGAAAGUAAAGUUUGCCGCACAUCAGUUGGAAGGACCCGCGGCCGCAUGGUGGGAGAAUUUCACAGCCACUUUCCCAGUUGACACAGUCACAUGGGAUCAGUUUCAACAAGCUUUCCGCACUACACAUGUUUCAGCAGGAGCUAUGGCCAUGAAGAAGCGUGAGUUUCGCAACUUACGCCAAGGAGGAAGGACAGUUGGCCAGUAUGUCGAUGACUUCAGCAAGUUAGCACGUUAUGCCCCAGAUGACGUUGCGACGGAUGCGGCUAAGCAGGAGAAGUUUCUGGAAGGAUUGAAUGAUGAGUUAAGCAUGCAGUUGAUGGUAGCAAGCUUCAGAAACUACCAGGAGUUGGUAGAUCGUGCCAUCAUGAUCGAAGGGAAGCAACAGCAGAUUGAGAAUCGCAAGAGGAAGUAUGGACAGGGGAAGUAUAACUCUGGAGCCCAGCAGAAGCCCCGUUUUACCCCUAAAUCGGGAUUUCAGUUUCAGCAUACCCAUGGAGGAGGUAGUUCGCACAACCAUAAUGGCCAUAAGAAUGGUAACGGGAAUGGAGGAAGCAACGGCCAGAAUCGAACCACCCCAUCAACCCCAUCCAAGAGAGACUUGAGUCAAGUCACCUGUUUCAAGUGUUCCAAGACCGGACAUUAUGCCAAUGAAUGUCUUGAAGGCCAGAAUGGAAAUGGCAAUGGAAGCUCAGGGAAGAAGCCGAACCCUUUCAAUAGGGGACAGGUGAACCACGUUAACGUGGAGGAGGUUGAAGAUCAGCCUGAUGCAGUAAUCGGUAAGUUUUUGGUUAAGUCAUUUACCGCACUCGUUCUUUUCGAUACUGGUGCAUCACAUUCAUACAUAUCAAGGGGAUUUGUGGAAAAAUAUAGCCUGCCCACUAGGAUUCUUAAAACACCUAUGCUAGUAAGUUCGCCAGGAGCAGAGUACAUGGCCAGUCAAGGAUGUUUUCAAGUGCCAUUAAGCGUAGGAAGGCAUGUUUUCCCAAUGGAUUUAAUCAUUCUGGAGUCCCAGGGACUGGACGUAAUUCUUGGUAUGGAUUGGCUGUCGAUGUAUGGAGGAAACAUCGAUUGUGCUAGUAAGACAAUUUUGCUUACAACGCCAGAAGGAAGAAGGAUCAAGUAUGUAUCCCAGCAUGUGCCAAAUAGGACACAAGUAAAUUGCCUGACAGGAGUAGUGCAGGAGGAAGUACCAGUGGUAAAGGAUUUUCCUGAUGUAUUUCCUGAAGAGUUGCCAGGCAUGCCACCGAAUAGAGACAUUGAGUUUUUGAUUGAGUUAUUGCCAGGUACAUGCCCAAUAUCAAAGAGACCAUACCGGAUGCCAGCAAAGGAUUUGGUAGAAAUUAAGAAUCAGAUUAAGGAGUUAUUGGAGAAAGGUUACAUCCGCCCAAGCUCUUCGCCUUGGGGAUCACCCGUACUUCUAGUGCAGAAGAAGGAUGGAUCAUUACGGAUGGUUGUUGAUUACCGUGGAUUGAAUGAAGUAACCAUCAAGAACAAGUACCCACUCCCAAUGAUUAAUGAUCUGUUUGAUCAUUUGCAAGGAGCUAAAGUGUUUUCCAAGAUCGAUUUGCGAUCAGGGUACCACCAGUUGAAGAUUCGAGAGCAGGACAUACCUAAGACAGCAUUCACCACGAGAUACGGAUUGUACGAGUAUACCGUUAUGUCAUUUGGAUUGACUAACGCACCUGCUUAUUUUAUGAACAUGAUGAACAAAGUGUUUAUGGAGUUUUUGGAUAAGUUCGUCGUAGUGUUCAUUGAUGAUAUCCUGGUUUAUUCGAAGAGUGAAGAAGAGCAUAAGGAACAUUUGUGUUUGGUUUUGGAGAAACUAAGGGAACAUCAGUUAUAUGCCAAAUUUAGCAAAUGUGAGUUUUGGUUGAAGGAAGUAGGAUCCCUCGGACACGUUAUAUCCGGAGAAGGGAUAGCAGUUGACCCCGCAAAGGUUGAGACUGUAACCAAAUGGGAAGCACCAACGACAGUUGGAGAGAUCCGGAGUUUUCUUGGACUCACAGGAUACUAUCGGAGAUUCAUUGAGAACUUUUCAAAGAUUGCAAAGCCCAUGACGGAGUUGUUGAAGAAGGAUACCAAGUUCAAUUGGACUGAGGAGUGUGAUGCUAGUUUCCAGGAGUUGAAGAAACGAUUGGUUACCUCACCAGUGUUGAUUUUGCCAGAUCAGACCAAGGAUUAUGAGGUGUAUUGCGACGCUUCACGUCGAGGACUUGGAGCAGUGCUUAUGCAGGAAGGAAGAGUUGUUUCGUAUGCUUCACGACAACUGAAGCCUCAUGAAUUGAAUUAUGCUACGCAUGAUUUGGAGUUAGCAGCCGUAGUGCAUGCAUUGAAGACAUGGAGACAUUUCCUCAUUGGAAAUCAUUGUGAGGUGUACACGGAUCACAAGAGUUUGAAGUACAUAUUCACGCAGAAGGAGUUGAAUCUUAGACAAAGGAGAUGGUUGGAGCUCAUCAAGGAUUAUGAUAUGAGAUUGCAUUACCAUCCCGGUGAAGCUAAUGUAGUAGCUGACGCAUUGAGCCGCAAGAGCCAUGUCAAUACGUUGAUGACGGGAGAAAUACCCAAGGAGUUAGCAGAAAACCUUCGUGAACUAAGUUUAGAGAUAGUUCCGAGAGGCUAUGUAGCAGCAUUGGAGAUUCAGUCAACAUUGAUGGAUAAAAUCAGAGAAGCUCAGAAGUCUGACAAGGAGAUUGCUGCUAUUAAGGAGAAACUAAGCAAAGGAAAAGCAAAGGGAUUUCGUGAGGAUGAGCACGAUACCCUAUGGUUUGAGGACCGUGUUUAUGUGCCAAAUGACCCGGAGAUCAGGAAGUUGAUUCUACAAGAGGCACAUGAUUCACCAUAUUCGAUUCACCCAGGAAAUACCAAGAUGUAUUUGGAUUUGAAGGAAACAUUCUGGUGGACCGGAAUGAAGAAGGAUAUUGCAGCAUAUGUAGCAGUUUGUGAUGUAUGUCAUAGAGUGAAGGCAGAACAUCAGAAGCCAGCCGGAUUGUUGCAGCCAUUGCCGAUACCCGAAUGGAAGUGGGAUAAGAUAGGCAUGGAUUUUAUCACAGGACUACCCAGGACGAAAGCAGGAUAUGACUCGAUAUGGGUAGUAGUUGGUCGUUUGACGAAGGUAGCACAUUUCAUUCCAGUUAAGACCACUUACACCAGUGCUGAGUUGGCAAAGAUAUACAUGACUAGGAUCAUUUGUUUGCAUGGAGUUCCGAGGAGUAUUGUAUCAGAUAGAGGAACCCAUUUACCUCAAAGUUUUGGAAUCAGUUGCAUGAAACUUUGGGAACCAGGCUAGAAUUCAGCACCGCUUUUCAUCCGCAGACAGAUGGACAGACCGAGAGGGUCAAUCAGAUUUUGGAAGAUAUGCUGAGAGCUUGUGCACUAGAUUAUGGAUCUAGUUGGGAUGAUAAUUUGCCGUAUGCGGGGUUUUCUUAUAACAAUAGUUACCAAACCAGUUUGAAGAUGGCACCUUUUGAAGCUUUUUACGGAAGGAGGAGCAGGACACCGUUGUCAUGGGACGAAGUUGGAGACCGUCAGUUCUUUGGACCCGAUUUGGUCAAAGAGUCUGAACGGAAAGUUAAGUUGAUUCGCGAUAGGCUCAAGGUAGCCCAGUCCAGGCAGAGGAGCUACGCAGGUUCUAAACGCAAGGAGAUAGUUUACGAAACCGGAGACAGAGUGUAUCUCCGAGUAUCCCCACUUCGAGGAGUUAAGCGCUUUGGAGUUAAGGGAAAAUUAGCACCGCAUUUCGUUGGACCGUAUAGAUCUUGCAACGUAUGGGAGAAGUCGCUUAUAAGUUGGAAUUACCAGAGGGACUGUCAGGAGUUCAUGACGUAUUCCAUGUUUCUCAGCUGAAGAAAUGUCACGCCGAGAUGGCGGAGGUACCGUUAAGAGAUACAGUACCUCUAGAAGCGAUUCAGUUGAAGGACAACCUAACGUAUGAGGAGAAACCAGUCAAGAUUCUCGAGUUUGCCAGCAGAAUUACCCGUAGCAAAGUUAUCAAGUUUUGCAAAGUUCAAUGGAACCACCACUCAGAGGAUGAAGCCACCUGGGAGAGAGAAGAAGAUUUGCUCAAGGACCACCCUCACCUAUUUUCUAGCCAACCCGAAUCUCGAGGACGAGAUUCAUCUUAAGGGGGGUAGGUUUGUAACAUCCCAAAUUUUCAAUUUGGAAUGUUAUACACUAGAUCAUCAUGCAUAUCAUAUUUUCUUGCAUUUUGCCGAUCCUAGAAAUUUCACGCAACUUAAGGACCCUCGCAGAGAGUUGGAGAUUUCGCCUUUUUCAUAUUUGAGUUCUUCUCACAUUUUGAAGACAUGAUCAUUGGUUUUGUCGGAGUUUCAUUUGCCUUUUAUUUGGAUAGGGAAAAAUGCAUGUUUUCAAAAAUUGCAUUUUAGGCCCGGAGAAAAGUUCAUUUUGUUCGACUCAUUUUUAGGAGUCGGGGAAAAUUUACUUUGUGAGUUUUGGAGUCCGGUGGAAUUGUUUUUCUGUGUUUUUCCGAGCGCAGAACCGUUUAAAAAAAAUCCCGCGUGCCCCUGGGCCAAAGGCCCAGCCGGCCGGCCAGGAGGCCAGCGCCGCACCGCGCGAGCGCCCAGGCGCCAGGAACCGCCGCCGCCGCCCUUAGUGGAUUCCUAGUAGGACUCUUGUCCUAGUCCGUUUUUUUCUAGAUCUUUCCUAUUCCUACUCUUAUUCCUUGAUCCCUCCUCCAAGCAAACCCUCCCCCUCCCCAAUAUAAAUACCCAAGUACCCCCCCUCUAAAUCAUCAAACCAAAGCCCCAAGCCCCAAGCCUAGAGCCGCGCCACACCCCACGCCCUUGCCGACGCCGCGCCGCCGCCUUGUGCCCGCGCCGCCGCCGCACCUUGCCACCGCCACCGCCGCCCCACGCCCCCGUCGCCGGAGACCUCGCCCGAGGUAGCCCCGCGCCGCAUCUCUUCUUUUCAUCGGAUCGUUUUCUUCUAAAUCGUUCCGAUUCUUUUCUUCUCUUCCGAUUCAUUUUCUUCUCUUAACCGUUCCGGUUUUCUAGAUCGGUUUUUCGUUUCGAUCUCUUUUUUCGAAACCCUAGAUCGGAUUCGUUUUCUUUUCCGAUUUAGUUGCCUCGAGACCGUUCGCCGGACCGUUCGUCCUAACGAACGUGAUCACCGGAUUCUUCUAGGUUAACGAACGUCCGUUCGUUUAACCGUUCUUCUUUUUCUUUUCAUCGGAUUUAUUCCGCGAUCGCGAUCUCAAAUCCGAUCUUCGUUCUAGUUUAUCUUCUCGCUCGUUUAUCGGAAUCAGGUGAUUCAAGCGCCUGGAGUUUCGUUUCGAAACUGCCGUUCCGAUUAAUCAACUUAAACCAGUUUUUGCUACAGUAAAAUUUGACCUAGUUUCAACUUGCUAGAACCGAGUUGUUUUCUUCCGCCGUUUGUUUUCGGUUUCUUUGUUUGGUUCUUUCUUUCUUUGCAACCGGAGUUCUUAAGUUGAACUAUCUGGUUCGAUCUCUUGUUCGAGUUUUACCUGUGCAUUAGAUGAGUACUUAUUGUAUGCUUGGUGUUUGUCUGGGAUAGAUUACCCGGAUUGCGCCGCCUGUUACUUCGAAUCUCUAGGACUCGCGGAUCAUCAGCAAGGCAAGUAACACUUUGAUCAUACCUUUUCUACAACCCAGUUUUAUUGCAUUAGAUCCAUCGUCACACAUUGCAUGAUUAGGAUCUAAUUAAAUUGUGGGAUGGGAAGUAGAUGAGGUAGUACCUAUUACCUGUUAUUAUGAAACCUUUGGGAGUUACUUCCACGUUUGCUUAUUAUGCCAUGCUAUGCUAGUAGACGUGGAUUGGGUGAGUGAUAUCCAUGACAGAUGUGAGAUUGAUAAUUUUAAUGGUUUAUCUAAGGUGGCAACUUAAACACACAUCUGGGUGGAUUGAGGCACCUGAUGUCUAUCAGGACUUGCCUGUUUUUCUUUUGGACCGCCACCCAGGCUCAAAGGGAUCAUAAGAUCUUUCAUGCUAAAUACUUACGUGUGCAGCCACAAGCCAUUAUGGGCUCCGGCAUAGUUGACUAAGUCAUGCGAACUCUUACAGGGUAGACUAGCAUAUGUAGGGGAAAGUAGGUGUACCGGUCUAUCCAUCAUUAGGUGCUAGCGCUUCUGAAAGACUGUGUCUCGGUCAUCCGUUUCUCAAACACCGGUAGUGCGAGAAAUCCAACGGAGGCGAUCGAGUCUUGUGGGGAAAAGUGUGCAAACCUCUGCAGAGUGUAACAAACUAAUCAUGAUUAGCCGUGUCCCCGGUUAUGGACAAUCUUGAGUAUCUAGUACUUGAAUAUCAUGUGAAUCUCAUCAUGUUACUUCUAAAUUAAUAUUGUCGGGUUAUUGAUGACUACUUUUAAUUGGGAUUGAGAAUGCUGUCAACCAUUCUCAAUGUUUAACAACCACCAUGAUAGUUAAAUAAAUUUAUUCCUUUGUAGUAGGGAAAAAUUGGCUUUAUGCAAAACAGUAACCAUAGAGCUUUCCACCAGCCAAAUAUGCAUAUAGUAUAGCUGUUUCAUUCCAUUACUCUCUAUGUGUUACCUUGCCAGCAUAUUCCACGUGCUGGCCCGUUUCGGGCUGCAAUGUUAAUGUUGCAAACUUUUCAGACGACGAUUAAGGUGCUUUUAGGUCGUGGUUCUAUACUCAGUGAUGCCGUUGGAGUUGAUGGACCCAUUUAUCUCCCAAGUCUUCCGCUGUUAUCGAUUUUAGAUGGCCUUAAGCCAUAUUUAUGUAAUAAGUUCUCUUCGGAGACAUCGUUGUAAUAAGUAUGUGAUUGCCACUCUGCUAUAAAUCCUUCGAUGUACUGUGUGGUGUCAGCAUUACUGAUCCAGGGAUGACACCGGAGCAUAGUAGACUUGAUCCAUUCGGGUCGGGUCGCCACAACAACAUACGUUGUUCCCUUUGUCAUCGGUAUGUUACUUGCCCGAGAUUCAAUCGUCGGUAUCUUAAUACCUAGUUCAAUCUCCUUAUCGGCAAGUCUCUUUACUCGUUUCGUAAUACAUCAUCUCACCACUAACUCAUUAGUUGCAAUGCUUGCAAGGCUUAUGUGAUGUGCAUUACCGAGAAGGCCCAGAGAUACCUCUCCGACAAUCGGAGUGACAAAUCCUAAUCUCGAAAUACGCCAACCCGACAUGUACCUUUGAAUACACCUGUAGAGCUCCUUUAUAAUCACCCAGUUACGUUGUGACGUUUGGUAGCAAACAAAGUGUUCCUUCGGCAAACGGGAGUUGCAUAAUCUCAUAGUCAUAGGAACAUGUAUAAGUCAUGAAGAAAGCAAUAGCAACAUACUAAAUGAUCGGCUGCUAAGCUAAUGGAAUGGGUCAUGUCAAUCAGAUCAUUCAUCUAAUGAUGUGAUCCCGUUAAUCAAAUAACAACUCUUUGUCCAUGGUUAGGAAACAUAACCAUCUUUGAUUAACGAGCUAGUCAAAUAGAGGCAUACUAGUGACACUCUGUUUGUCUAUGUAUUCACACAUGUAUCAUGUUUCCGGUUAAUACAAUUCUAGCAUGAAUAAUAAACAUUUAUCAUGAAAUAAGGAAAUAAAUAAUAACUUUAUUAUUGCCUCUAGGGCAUAUUUCCUUCAGUCUCCCACUUGCACUAGAGUCAAAAAUCUAGUUCACAUCGUCAUGUGAUUUAACAGCAAUAGUUCACAUCACCAUGUGAUUAACACCCAUAGUUCACAUCGCCAUGUAACCAACACCCAAAGGGUUUACUGGAUUCAGUAAUCUAGUUCACAUUGCUAUGUGAUUAACACCCAAAGAGUACUAAGGUGUGAUCAUGUUUUGCUUGUGAGAGAAUCUUAGUCAACGGGUCUUUCACAUUCAGAUCCGUUAUGUAUUUUGCAAUUUUCUAUGUCUACAAUGCUCUGCAUGGAGCUACUCUAGCUAAUUGCUCCCACUUUCAAUAUGUAUCUAGAUCGAGACUUAGAGUCAUCCAGAUCAGUGUCAAAACCUGCAUCGACGUAACCCUUUACGGCGAACCUUUUUGUCACAUCCAUAAUCGAGAAACAUAUCCUUAUUCCACUAAGGAUAAUUUUGACCGCUGUCCAGUGAUCUACUCCUAGAUCACUAUUGUACUCCCUUGCCAAAAUCAGUGUAGGGUAUACAAUAGAUCUGGUACACAGCAUGGCAUACUUUAUAGAACCUAUCACCAAGGCAUAGGGAAUGACUUUCAUUCUCUUUCUAUCUUCUGCCAUGGUCGGGCUUUGAGUCUUACUCAAUUUCACCCCUUGUAACACAGGCAAGAACUCUUUCUUUGACUGUUCCAUUUUGAACUACUUCAAAAUCUUGUCAAGGUAUGUACUCAUUGAAAAAACUUAUCAAGCGUCUUGAUCUAUCUCCAUAGAUCUUUGAUGCUCAAUAUGUAAGCAGCUUCACCGAGGUCUUUCUUUGGAAAAUCCUUUCAAACACUCCUUUAUGCUUUGUAGAAUAAUUCUACAUUAUUUCCGAUCAACAAUAUGUCAUACACAUAUACUUAUCAGAAAUGCUGUAGUGCUCCCACUCACUACCUUGUAAAUACAGGCUUCACCGCAAGUCUGUAUAAAACUAUAUGUUUUGAUCAACUUAUCAAAGCGUAUAUUCCAACUCCGAGAUGCUUGCACCGGUCCAUAGAUGGAUCGCUGGAGCUUGCAUAUUUUGUUAGCACCUUUAGGAUUGACAAAACCUUCUGGUUGCAUCAUAUACAACUCUUCUUUAAAUCCAUUAAGGAAUGUAGUUUCGUUUAUCCAUUUGUCAGAUUUCAUAAAAAUGCAGCAAUUGCUAACAUGAUUCGGACAGACUUAAGCAUAGAUACGAGUGAGAAACUCUCAUCGUAGUCAACACCUUGAACUUGUCGAAAACCUUUUUGCGAUAAUUCUAGCUUUGUAGAUAGUAACACUACUAUCAACAUCUGUUUUCCUCUUGAAGAUCCAUUUAUUUUCUAUGGCUUGCCGAUCAUCGGGAAAAUCCAUCAAAGUCCAUACUUUGUUCUCAUACAUGGAUCAUAUCUCAGAUUUCAUGGCCUCAAACCAUUUCGUGGAAUCUGGGCUCAUCAUCGCUUCCUUAUAGUUCGUAGGUUCGUCAUGGUCAAGUAACAUGACCUCCAGAACAAGAUUACCGUACCACUCUGGUGCGGAUCUCACUCUGGUUUACCUACGAGAUUCGGUAGUAACUUGAUCUGAAGUUACAUGAUCAUCAUCAUUAGCUUCCUCACUAAUUGGUGUAGUAGUCACAAGAACAGAUUUCUGUGAUGAACUACUUUCCAAUAAGGGAGAAGGUACAAUUACCUUAUCAAGUUUUCUACUUUCCUCCCACUCACUUCUUUCGAGAGAAACUCCUUCUCUAGAAAGGAUCCAUUCUUAGCAACGAAUGUCUUGCCUUCGGAUCUGUGAUAGAAGGUGUACCAAACAGUCUCCUCUGGGUAUCCUAUGAAGACAUAUUUCUCCGAUUUGAGUUUGAGCUUAUCGAGAUGAAACUUUUUCACAUAAGCAUCGCAACUCCAAACUUUAAGAAACGACAGCUUAGGUUUCUUGCCAAACCAUAGUUCAGACGGUGUCGUCUCAACGGAUUUAGAUGGUGCCCUAUUUAACGUGAAUGCAACUGUCUCUCAUGCAUAACCCCAAAACGAUAGUGGUAGAUCGGUAAGAGACAUCAUAGAUCGCACUAUAUCUAAUAAAGUACGGUUAUGACGUUCGGACACACCAUUACACUAUGGUGUUCCAGGUGGCGUGAGUAGUGAAACUAUCUCACAUUGUUUUAAUUGAAGGCCAAACUCGUAACUCAAAUAUUUUACCUCUGCGAUCAUAUCGUAGAAACUUUUAUUUUCUUGUCACGAUGAUUUUCCACUUCACUCUGAAAUUCUUUGAACUGUUCAAAUGUUUCAGACUUAUGUUUCAUCAAGUAGAUAUCCCCAUAUCUGCUCAAAUCAUCUGUGAAGGUUAGAAAAUAAUGAUACCUGCUGCAAGCCUUAAUAUUCAUCGGACCACAUACAUUAGUAUGUAUGAUUUCCAACAAAUCUGUUGAAUGGCGUUUUAGUCAUCUUGCCUAUAAGGCAUGGUUCGCAAGCAUCAAGUGAUUCAUAAUCAAAUGAUUCCAAAAGCCCAUCAGCAUGGAGUUUCUUCAUGCGCUUUACACCAAUAUGACCUAAACGGCAGUGCCAUAAAUAAGUUGCACUAUCAUUAUUAACUUUGCAUCUUUUGGUUUCAAUAUUAUGAAUAUGUGUAUCAAUGCGAUUGAGAUCCAAUGAACUUGUUUCAUUGGGUGUAUGACCAUCGAAGGUUUUAUUCAUGUAAAUAGAACAACAAUUAUUCUCUGACUUUAAUGAAUAACCGUAUUGCAAUAAACAUGAUCAAAUCAUAUUCAUGCUCAAUGCAAAAACCAAAUAACACUUAUUUAGGUUCAACACUAAUCCCGAAAGUAUAGGGGAGUGUGCGAUGAUGAUCAUAUCAAUCUUGGAACUACUUCCAACACACAUCGUCACUUCACCCUUAACUAGUCUUUGUUUAUUCUGCAACUCCUGUUUCGAGUUACUACUCUUAGCAACUGAUCCAGUAUCAAAUACUGAGGGGUUGCUAUAAACACUAGUAAAGUACACAUCAAUAACAUGUAUAUCAAAUAUACUUUUGUUCACUUUGCCAUCCUUCUUAUCCGCCAAAUACUUGGGGCAGUUCCGCUUCUAGUGACCAGUCCCUUUUGCAGUAGAAGCACAUAGUCUCAGGCUUAGGACCAGACUUGGGCUUCUUCACUUGAGCAGCAACUUGCUUGCCGUUCUUCUUGAAGUUCCCCUUCUUCCCUUUUGCCCUUUUCUUGAAACUAGUGGUCUUGUCAACCAUCAACACUUGAUGUUUUUCUCGAUUUCUACCUUCAUCAAUUUCAACAUUACGAAGAGCUUGGGAAUCGUUUCCGUUAUCCCUUGCAUAUUAUAGUUCAUCACAAAGUUCUACUAACUUGGUGAUGGUGACUAGACAAUUCUGUCAAUCACUAUUUUAUCUGGAAGAUUAACUCCCACUUGAUUCAAGUGAUUGUAGUACCCAGACAAUCUGAGCACAUGCUCACUAGUUGAGCGAUUCUCCUCCAUCUUUUAGCUAUAGAACUUGAUGGAAACUUCAUAUCUCUCAACUCGGGUAUUUGCUUGAAAUAUUAACUUCAACUCCUGGAACAUCUCAUGUGUUCCAUGACAUUCAAAACGUCUUUGUAGUCCCGAUUCUAAGCCGUUAAGCAUGGUGCACUAAACUAUCAAGUAGUCAUCAUAUUGAGCUAGCCAAACGUUCAUAACGUCUGCAUCUGCUCCUGCAAUAGGUCUGUCACCUAGCUGUGCAUCAAGGACAUAAUUCUUCUGUGCAGCAAUGAGGAUAAACCUCAGAUCACGGAUCCAAUCCGCAUCAUUGCUACUAACAUCUUUCAACACAAUUUUCUCUAGGAACAUAUCAAAAUAAACACAGGGAAGCAACAACGUGAGUUAUUGAUCUACAACAUAGAUAUGCUAAUACUACCAGGACUAAGUUCAUGAUAAAUUAAAGUUCAAUUAAUCAUAUUACUUAAGAACUCCCACUUAGAUAGACAUCCCUCUAAUCCUCUAAGUGAUCACAUGAUCCAAAUCAACUAAACCAUAACUGAUCAUCACGAGAGAUGGAGUAGUUUCAUUGGUGAACAUCACUAUGUUGAUCAUAUCUACUAUAUGAUUCACGCUCGACCUUUCGGUCUCCGUGUUCCGAGGCCAUAUCUGUAUAUGCUUGGCUCGUCAAGUAUAACCUGAGUAUUCCGCGUGUGCAACUGUUUUGCACCCAUUGUAUUUGAACGUAGAGCCUAUCACACCCGAUCAUCACGUGGUGUCUCAGCACGAAGAACUUUCGCAAUGGUGCAUACUCAGGGAGAACACUUCUUGAUAAUUUAGUGAGAGAUCAUCUUAUAAUGCUACUGUCAAUCAAAGCAAGAUAAGAUGCAUAAAAUAUAAACAUCACAUGCAAUUAAUAUAAGUGAUAUGAUAUGGCCAUCAUCAUCUUGUGCUUGUGAUCUCCAUCUCCGAAACACCGUCGUGAUCACCAUCGUCACCGGCGCGACACCUUGAUCUCCAUCGUAGCAUCGUUGUCAUCUCGCCAAUCUUAUGCUUCCACGACUAUCGCUACCGCUUAGUGAUAAAGUAAAGCAUUACAUCGCGAUUGCAUUGCAUACAAUAAAGCGACAACCAUAUGGCUCCUGCCAGUUGCCGAUAACUCCGUUACAAAACAUGAUCAUCUCAUACAAUAAAAUUUAGCAUCAUGUCUUGACCAUAUCACAUCACAACAUGCCCUGCAAAAACAAGUUAGACGUCCUCUACUUUGUUGUUGCAAGUUUUACGUGGCUGCUACGGGUUUAAGCAAGAACCAAUCUUACCUACGCAUCAAAAACCACAAUGAUAGUUUGUCAAGUUGAUGCCGUUUUAACCUUUGCAAGGACCGGGCAUGGCCACACUCGGUUCAACUAAAGUUGGAGAAACUGUCACCCGCAAGCCACCUAUGUGCAAAGCACGUCGGGAAGAACCGGUCUCGCGUAAGCGUACCCGUAAUGUCGGUCCAGGCCGCUUCAUCCAACAAUACCGCCGAACCAAAGUAUGACAUGCUGGUAGGCAGUAUGACUUAUAUCGCCCACAACUCACUUGUGUUCUACUGGUGCAUAUAACAUCAAACCAUAAAACCUAGGCUCGGAUGCCACUGUUGGGGAACGUAGUAAUUUCAAAAUUUUCCUACGCACACGCAAGAUCAUGGUGAUGCAUAGAAACGAGAGGGGAGAGUGUAAUCUACAUACCCUUGUAGAUCGACAGCGGAAGCGUUAUGACAACGCGGUUGAUGUAGUCGUACGUCUUCACGGCCCGACCGAUCAAGCACCGAAACUACGGCACCUCCGAGUUUUAGCACACGUUCAGCUCGAUGACGAUCCCCGGACUCCGAUCCAGCAAAGUGUCGGGGAAGAGUUCUGUCAGCACGACGGCGUGGUGACGAUCUUGAUGUACUACUGUCGCAGGGCUUCGCCUAAGCACCGCUACAAUAUUAUCGAGGACUAUCGUGGCAGGGGGCGCCACACACGGCUAAGAAUAUGAUCACGUGGAUCAACUUGUGUGUCUAUGGGGUGCCCCCUGCCCCCGUAUAUAAAGGAGUGGAGGAGGGGAGGGUCGGCCCUCUCUAAUGCGCGCCCUAGGGGAGUCCUACUCCCACCGGGAGUAGGAUUCCCCUUUUCCUAGUCCAACUAGGAGUCCUUCCAUGUAGUAGGAGUAGGAAACAAGGAAGGGGCGCAGCCCCUCCCCCUAGUCCAAUUCGGACUAGGCCUUGGGGGGGGGGCCUGCCCUAGGCAGCCCCUCUCUCUUUCCCGUAUGGCCCAAUACUUCUCCCGGCGAAUUCCCGUAACUCUCCGGUACUCCGAAAAAUACUCGAAUCACUCGGAACCUUUCCGAUGUCCGAAUAUAGUUCGUCCAAUAUAUCGAUUUUUACGUCUCGGCCAUUUCGAGACUCCUCGUCAUGUCCCCGAUCUCAUCCGGGACUCCGAACUCCUUCGGUACAUCAAAACUCAUAAACUCAUAAUAUAACUGUCAUCGAAACCUUAAGCGUGCGGACCCUACGGGUUCGAGAACAAUGUAGACAUGACCGAGACACGUCUCCGGUCAAUAACCAAUAGCGGAACCUUGAUGCCCAUAUUGGCUCCUACAUAUUCUACGAAGAUCUUUAUCGGUCAGACCGCAUAACAACAUACGUUGUUCCCUUUGUCAUCGGUAUGUUACUUGCCCGAGAUUCGAUCGUCGGUAUCUUAAUACCUAGUUCAAUCUCCUUAUCGGCAAGUCUCUUUACUCGUUCCGUAAUACAUCAUUCACAACUAACUCAUUAGUUGCAAUGCUUGCAAGUCUUAUGUGAUGUGCAUUACCGAGAGGGCCCAGAGAUACCUCUCCGACAAUCGGAGUGACAAAUCCUAAUCUUGAAAUACGCCAACCCAACAUAUACCUUUGAAUACACCUGUAGAGCUCCUUUAUAAUCACCCAGUUACGUUGUGACGUUUGGUAGCACACAAAGUGUUCCUCCGGCAAACGGGGGUUGCAUAAUCUCAUAGUCAUAGGAACAUGUAUAAGUCAUGAAGAAAGCAAUAGCAACAUACUAAACAAUCGGGUGCUAAGCUAAUGGAAUGGGUCAUGUCAAUCAGAUCAUUCAUCUAAUGAUGUGAUCCCGUUAAUCAAAUAACAACUCUUUGUCCAUGGUUAGGAAACAUAACCAUCUUUGAUUAACGAGCUAGUCAAGUAGAGGCAUACUAGUGACACUCUGUUUGUCUAUGUAUUCACACAUGUAUCAUGUUUCCUGUUAAUACAAUUCUAGCAUGAAUAAUAAACAUUUAUCAUGAAAUAAGGAAAUAAAUAAUAACUUUAUUAUUGCCUCUAGGGCAUAUUUCCUUCAUGGAUAGCGCCCCGAACUCGGUCUUCCGAACUAGGGGCUUCGCCGAAAUUUAAAAUUAUAGAGUUCUAUGGCUAAGUGAGAGUGUUCAAGCAUUAUAGUCCGAUUGCCUGGUUCGUUGUGCUGAGCGCCUCCCUCGAGGGACCCAACUAUGGGAAAAAGAGCGCUCAGGUUUAUCCCGAACACCCCAGCACUAGUGGCAUGGGGGCAGAAGCCGACGACUGGCCAUCUCUCAAUUUUUGAUAAACGGCCGCACAGAAAGUAAUAUUUUAAAUUCAAUAAGCAUUGCUUAGCGCAUAUGAACAAGUUUUCAGCGCACAGGAUAAACACGAGCGAGUUCAUUCAAAAAUUACAUACUUGGUACAUUCAUCCGCCACAAGGCGGGCACCCGCAAGAACAUCCUUAUAAUAGUUCUCGGGCUUGCGAUGCUCCUUCCCCGGCGGCGGCCCGUCCCUCACAAGCUUCUCACCGUCCAGCUUACCCCAGUACACCUUUGCACGGGCAAGGGCCCUACGGGCACCUUCGAUGCAGACAGAGCGCUUGGUGACCUCUUGCCUUGGACAUGCCUCCACCAGUCGCCGCACCAGCCCGAAGUAGCUCCCAGGCAGGGCCUCUCCGGGCCACAGCCGAACUAUGAAGCCCUUCAUGACUUGUUCGGCCACCCUGUGGAGCUCGACCAGCUGUUUCAGCUGGUCGCUCAAGGGCACAGGGUGUCCGGCCUCAGCAUACUGAGACCAGAACACCUUCUCCGUCGAGCUGCCCUCUUUGGCUCGGUAGAAUGCGGCGGCAUCGGAUACGCUGCGGGAAAGAUCUACGGAUGCCCCUGGAGAGCUCCGGAUUCAGGUAAGUAACAAGUACUUUACUUUUAUACUUCUGCUUUGCAUAAAGAAAGCCUUACCCGCCGCUAUCUUUUUCAUCUCCUCCAACUCUUGGAGGGCCUUUUGGGCUUUGGCCUUGGCGGACUUGGCAGUUUCAAGGGCAGCCGCUAGCUCGGACGCUUGCGUCUUGGACUCAAGCUCCAAACUCUCAUGUUUUUUCAUGAGAGCCUGAAGCUCCUGCUGCACCUCGCCAACCUGGCCCUCAAGUUUCUCUCGCUCGGAGCACUCCGCGGCCGUUUUCUUUUUGGCCUCAGACAGCGCCUGCUUGAGGGUCGCCACCUCAGUCGUGGCCCCUAUAAUAAGCAGUACAAUCCUGUUAUUUUUUGCAAUCAAGCCUUUCUAUAGGCACUUUUUCUAUAAGGUAUUUCUUACCUUCUUUCUCCUUGAGUUGCCGUUUGGCAAGGCCGAGCUCUUGCUCGGUCCGCUCGAGGCCCUGUUUCAGGGCACCCACCUCCGCAGUCAGUGCGGCGGUGGCUAGCAGUGAAGCCUGCAUAUGCAUAUUGACUCUUUGUUGUUAGACUCCUGCGAAAUAUAAUAGAUCCUCUAUUCGGUUUUUCUUUCCGAACGCCGAACAGAGCAUCAGGGGCUACUGUCUAUGCGGUUAUAUUUUUACAUAUUUUUUACUUACCUCGAAGCCUGUUAGAAGGCUAGCGCAAGCUUCACUCAGUCCGCUCUUGGCGGACUGAACCUUCCGGAUCACCGUACUCAUAAUAGUACGGUGCUCCUCGUCGAUGGAGGCGCCGUCAAGCACCUCCAGCAGAUUGUCCGGCUCCUCCGGUUGGACGGAGGCUGCCAGCUCAGAAGGCUUACUCCUCUUGGAAGGAGUUCGCCUACCGCAGUCCGGAACUGUUGUAGAUUCUGGUGUGGUGUCCGGCUCAAAGCCGGACUUGGAGCCCUGGGGGGCCUUAUCCCCUUCACUCCUGGAGUCCGGGAGGUUGCCUUGUGGCUCCUCGGGGACCACCUCCUCCUGCCCCGGAGCUCGUCGCGACGCCACUUCGGCGUCAUCCGCGGUGCGGGGGGAGACAGCGGGCGGAACUGAGUUCACGUCCGAUGAAUUCAGGGAGCCGCUCGACGACUCGACGAGUUCGGCCCGGGGCGGGCUGCAUAAUUAUAUUCGACAUUAGGGAAAGUUGUGCAACAAAGGAACGUCAUGAGUUACUCUGAUAUCCGAACUUAUGAUUUCGCCGGACGCUUGGCCCUGUCUCGCCACUCCUCUUCGUCCUCUUCGGCGCCGAGGGAGUAGUCCGGCGGAGGGGUCUUCCUCUUCCUGGACCCUCCGUCUUCCCCCGUUGGGGCGGCCUUCCUUUUCUUUCCUUCCCCCGCUGGAGGGGGAGAGGUUUCUUCUUCCUCCUCCUCGUUUUCAUGGGAGGAGAGCGUCUCGGACUCGUCGGAUGACGAAUCCGACACCACCAUAUUACGGGAACUCUUUCGAGUCCCUGUGGCCUUCUUCUUGUUGGCCUUCUUCUCCAGCACCACAUAAGGCGCCGGAACCAGCAGCUUCACUAGUAAAGCUGGGGCUGGGUCUUCGGGCAGUGGAGCCGGACAGUUAAUCGGUCCGCAUAUCGCCCGCCAAGCCUGUCAAAGGUAAGGGAGUUUAGAUCCCGCAUAAAGUAAAACUAUGAAAAAAUCUUAACAUCCUGUAAAGGUGUAGAUGGCUUACCUCGCUAGCGUGAUGCUGCGAGCUCUAUCCGCGGUCCUCGGAAGCGGAAGCGGGAGCCUCGGCGCCCUUGAAUAGCAUCUUCCAGGCGUCUUCGUACGUCGUGUGGAAGAGCCUGUUGAGGGUUUGAUGCUGCGCCGGGUUGAAAUCCCACAGAUUGAAAUCCCGUUGUUGGGACGGGAGGAUCCGGCGGACGAGCAUAACCUGGAUUACAUUAACAAGCCGGACUAGCUUGUUCACCAGGGACUGGAUGCAUGUUUGCAAUCCGGUCACCUCUUUUUCAUCACCCCACGACAGGCCCGUCUCUUUCCAGGACACAAGCCGCGUGGGGGGUCCGGAUCGGAACUCGGGGGCUGCGGUCCAUUUCGGAUCGCGCGGCUCGGUGAUGUAAAACCACCCGGAUUGCCAUCCUUUAGGGUCUCCACAAAAGAGCCCUCGAACCAUAGGACGUUGGCCAUCUUGCCUGCCAUGGCGCCUCCGCACUCUGCCUGGCUGCCGCGCACCACCUUGGGCUUGACGUUGAAGGUCUUGAGCCAGAGGCCGAAAUGGGGGCGGACGCGGAGAAAAGCCUCGCACACGAUGAUAAACGCCGAGAUGUUGAGGAUGAAGUUCGGGGCCAGAUCAUGGAAAUCCAGGCCGUAGUAGAACAUGAGCCCCCGGACAAAUGGGUGGAGUGGAAAAGCCAGUCCAUGGAGGAAGUGGGGAAGGAAUACUACCCUCUCAUGGGGCCUUGGGGUGGGGAGAAGCUGCCCCUCCUCGGGAAGCCGGUGCGCGAUGUCCUUGGACAAGUAUCCGGCCUUCCUUAGCUUUUUGACUUGGCCCUCCGUGACGGAGGAGACCAUCCACUUGCCUCCCGCUCCGGACAUUGCUGGAGAAGGUUGAGGUGGGAAGUGCGGGCUUGGGCGCUGGAGCUUGAGUGCACAGGAGAUGGAUAGGCAAAGGAGGAAGAAGGCGUAGGUAAAAAGGUGGAUCCUUAUCCCCUUAUAUGGGCGGAUGCGGUUGUGCGUCCCCACCUGCCUAGUAAAACUCGCUUGCCUCCCAAGCACCGUGAUAAGUGGCGCGGUUGGGUUACCCACAUCCGUAUUGAUGAGAAUCCCGUAAAGGGGGGUACACAAUCUCUGCUUUGACAAGACGUGCCAAGGAAACCGCCUCGCAAAACACGCUGAGGUGGAACAGUAAAAACGAUUUGAGUAAAGGACUUGGCCGUAGUGUGAUGGCGCACUGCGGAAUACGUCAGCAGAUUUGAUUUGUGUUAAUAUUAUUCUCUCUAUGGCAAUAUGUGGAAGCUUAUUUUGCAGAGCCGGACACUACUCUUGGUGUUUACAAUCUUCUAUGAAGGAUUUGGAGGAGGAACCCACCUUGCAAUGCCGAAGACAAUUUGCGUGCCGGACUCGUCGUCAUUGAAGCCUGGUUCAGGGGCUACUGAGGGAGUCCUGGAUUAGGGGGUGUUCGGGUAGCCGGACUAUACCUUCAGCCGGACUCCAGGACUAUGAAGAUACAAGAUUGAAGACUACAUCCCGUGUCCGGAUGGGACUUUCCGUGGCGUGGAAGGCAAGUUUGGCGAUGCGGAUAUUCAAGAUCUCCUACCAUUGUAACCGACUCUAUGUAACCCUAACCCUAUCCGGUGUCUAUAUAAACCGGAGGGUUUUAGUCCGUAGGACAACUUCAUCAACUCCAUAGACAACAAUCAUACCAUAGGCUACCUUCUAGGGUUUAGCCUCCUUGAUCUCAUGGUAGAUCUACUCUUGUACUACCCAUAUCUUCAAUAUUAAUCAAGCAGGACGUAGGGUUUUACGUUCAUCAAGAGGGCCCGAACCUGGGUAAAACAUCGUGUUCCCUGCCUCUUGUUACCAUCCGGCCUAGACGCAUAGUUUGGGACCCCCUACCCGAGAUUCGCCGGUUUUGACACCGACACCUGUCUUGAUGUAGUGUUCGAGUUACUGGCCACUACUGCUGGCACAAGCUCUUCGAACUCGCUGCCUGAAUCAGUUCAUCUUCUUGAGUCUCAAUUUCAAGUUGAAAGACAUCGAUCAGAUGUGCUGCGACAGGAAGCUGAAGGACUGAGGAAGUCCCUGCAGAAUUCAGAUGCAUAUUUUCUGGUGCAACAGCAAGCGCUGGAGGAUUUAAGCGCCAAACAAGAUAAAGUUAAUAAGCUUUCUAAGCAUCUUGCCAGCAUUAUGGGUACCCAGGAUAUUGUUUCUUGAGAUAUUCUGAAGUGGUUUCAAUUUUGGAUUUGUUUUGCUGCGGCAUUUAUUUGCGCUGGUCACCAACUUUGACAACUAGUGUAUAUGAUAUGCUGCUUUGUUCCCUAUAUUUGCACUGGUGGCGAACUUUGAUGCCCAGUGGAUGUAAUAUGUGUAAUAGCCGUGAUAGCCUAGCAUUAGUUGCUUGCAUAUUUAUUUCCUUGUUGUCUUGUUUAUUUGUUUGCUUGUAGUCAUUGCAGUUCUUUUUCCGCGGUUAGCUAGUGGCUGCAAUAACCUAUUUUUUAAAACUAGGCCACAAUAACCAUGGGCUAAUAUUUACUGUAGUGACACUGGGCCUCCUACUGGCCGUAGAAACAGUGGGCCUUCUACGAGCCGUAGAAACAAUGGGCCUUCUGCGGGCCAUAUUAUCAAUGGGCCUUAUACGGGCCGUAUAAUCGAUUGGCCAAACAUGGGCCAAACAGACCGCAUUAUGGCCGUAAACGGGCUAGAAUUGGAAUCGUCCGUUCAUGGGCCAACCAUAACGGGUCAUCGUUAAUAGGAAGUAUUUGCUGACGCUAUGAAAUCGGCCCAACGUAUUAACGGACCACAAACGGGCCGACUGUAACCAUGGGCUGAAUUUGGCCCACAAGCAGAAAAUGACAGUAAUGUGCCGUAAGUAAACGAAUGCUGGAAAUGAGCCCAAGAAUAAAUGGGCUCUGAGAAGGCCGAAAGAUAACAUGGGCUGGAAACGGCCCAACGGAAUAACGGGUCGUUAAUGGGUAUAAAGUGAUACACUAUUCAUUACGGGCCAGUUUCACCACGGGCCGUUAAUGGGUGUAAAGUGAUACACUGUUCAUUACGGGCCAGUUUCACCACGGGCCGUUAGUAGGCCAAGAGUUACAUAGGGCCUCCUAUGGGCCGAAAGACGUCAUGGGCCAUACAUGGGCCAGAAGUGAAAACAGGCUGGAAUCAUAUUGGAUGGCCCAGAUGACGCUACUGGGCCUAAUUCGAAUAGGGCAUAACCGGCCUUGGGUUAGCGGGCUGUAAAUGGGCUAUAUUCGAACACGCCGUUAACAGGCUUUCCAUGGGCCGGCCCGCCAGCUUUUGACCAAGUCAAACGGGCUGGACUUUUCACAGGAAUUGGCCUCUGUUGGGCCGUGCCACGUGUCGACGUAUCAUAGGCGCCUAUCCGACCCACUGACGAGCUGACACGUGUUUCGUCUGGCCAAUAAGAAUUUUACACGUGGAAAUUUCCCAUUGGUCGGGGCUGUUAACGGGUUAUCGGAUCGAAAACCCCGACCCGAUAGCUUAAUGGCGUUCCGUUACGGUGGAUGCCAUGUGUCGUUCACCCUUGACGAAAGCACUUCUGUGACGUGCGAUUUAUCGUCAUGGAAGUGGACACUUCUGUGAUGAUAAUUUUGGUAAUGUCAUGGAACACUCCUACGACAACACAGCUAUGACUAUCUUGAUUCUGUCAUAAAUUUUUCAUGGAUGUACAUGCAUGACAAAAAAAGUGACCUACUAUGACAAACACGUAUCAUCAUGGAAGUGUAUUUUUUUUGUAGUGACAAAAGUAAUAUUAGGACACACAAACCCCUUGAGCAAGUUAAAGUUGAACCUAAAAUUGCUAUGGUUAAAGAUCUCUUGGCCAAUAAUAUUGAUGGGCAUGUUAUUUACUUCUGCAAUGAAGCUGCUAGAAUUUCUAGACCUAAUGCUAAAAAUAAACAUAGACCUAUUGUAGGCAUGCCUUUUAUUUCCGUUAAAAUAGAAGAUAAUUGCUAUCAUGGCUUAUGUGAUAUGGGUGCUAGUGCAAGUGCAAUACCUCAUUCCUUAUACCAAGAAAUUAUGCAUGAUAUUGCACCUGCCGAGAUAGAAGAGAUUGAUGUUACAAUUAAGCUUGCCAAUAGAGAUACUAUUUCACCAGUUGGGAUUAUUAGAGAUGUUGAAGUCUUGUGUGGGAAAGUUAAAUAUCCUGCUGAUUUUCUUGUUCUUGGUUCUCCACAAGAUAGCUUUUGUCCCAUUAUAUUUGGUAGACCCAUCUUGAAUACUGUUAAUGCUAAGAUAGACUGCAAUAAGGAUAUUGUUUCUGUUGGUUUAGGGGAUAUGUCUCAUGAGUUUAAUUUUGCCAAUUUUAGUAGACAACCCCGUAAUGAGGAAUUGCCUAGUAAAGAUGAAAUUAUUGGUCUUGCUUCUAUUGCCGUGCCUCCUACUGAUCCUUUAGAACAAUAUUUGCUAGACCAUGAAAACGAUAUGUUUAUGAAAGAAAGAAGGGAAAUAGAUGAAGUAUUCUUUAAACAAGGACCUAUUUUGAAACACAACUUGCAUGUCGAAAUCCUAGGGGAUCCUCCCCUACCUAAGGGUGAUCCCGUGUUUGAGCUUAAGCCAUUUCCUGAUACUCUUAAAUAUGCUUAUCUUCAUGAAAAGAAGAUAUAUCCUGUUAUUAUUAGUGCUAACCUUUCAGAGCACGAAGAAGAGAAAUUAUUGAAAACUCUGAAGAAGCACCAUGCUGCUAUUGGAUAUACACUUGAUGAUCUUAAGGGCAUUAGUCACACUCUAUGUCAACACAAAAUAAAUUUGGAGAAAGACGCAAAACCAGUUAUUGAUCACCAACGGCGGCUAAAUCCUAAGAUGAAAGAAGUGGUAAGAAAGGAAAUAUUACAGCUCCUUGAGGCAGGUAUAAUUUAUCCCGUUGCUGAUAGUCAGUGGGUAAGUCCCGUCCAUUGUGUCCCCAAGAAGGGAGGUAUUACUGUCGUUCCUAAUGAUAAAGAUGAAUUGAUUCCACAAAGAAUUGUUAUAGGUUAUAGGAUGGUAAUUGAUUUCCGCAAACUAAAUAAAGCUACUAAAAAGAUCAUUACCCUUUGCCUUUUAUUGAUCAAAUGCUAUAAAGAUUAUCCAAACAUACACAUUUUUUGCUUUCUACAUGGUUACUCUAGUUUCUCUCAAAUACCUGUGUCAGCUGAGGACCAAGAAAAUACCACUUUUACUUGCCCUUUCGAUACCUUUGCUUGUAGACGUAUGCCUUUUGGUUUAUGUAAUGCACCUGCUACCUUUCAAAGAUGCAUGAUGGCUAUAUUCUCUGACUUUUGUGAAAAGAUUUGUGAAGUUUUCAUGGAUGAUUUCUCUGUUUAUGGAUCCUAUUUUGAUGAUUGCUUGAGAAACCUUGAUCGAGUUUUGCAGAGAUGUGAAGAGACUAACCUUGUCUUGAAUUGGGAGAAGUGCCACUUUAUGGUUAAUGAAGGUAUUGUCUUGGGGCAUAAAAUUUCUGAAAGAGGUAUUGAAGUUGACCAAGCUAAAGUUGAUGAUAUUGAAAAGAUGCCGUGUCCCAAGGACAUCAAAGCUAUAAGAAGCUUCCUUGGUAAUGCUGUUUUUUAUAGGAGGUUCAUUAAGGACUUCUCUAAAAUUUCUCGACCUCUGACUAGCCUAUUAGAAAAAGAUAUUCCUUUUCUCUUUGAUGAUGAUUGUGUACAAGCAUUUGAAAUACUUAAGAAAGCCUCGAUUUCUGCACCUAUUGCUCAUCUACCUGAUUGGAAUUUACCCUUUGAAAUUAUGUGUGAUGCUAAUGACUAAGAUGUAGGUGCUGUUCUAGGACAAAGAGUUGAUAAAAAAUUAAAUUCUAUUCAAUAUGCUAGUAAAACUCUAGACAAUGCCCAAAGAAAUUAUGCUACUACUAACACGAAUAUUUAGCAAUUGUAUUUGCUUGUGAUAAGUUUAGACCUUAUAUUGUUGAUUCUAAAGUAACUAGUCACACUGAUCAUGCUGCUAUUAAAUAUCUUAUGGAAAAGAAAGAUGCUAAACCUAGACUUAUUAGAUGGGUUCUCUUGCUACAAGAAUUUGAUUUGCAUAUUAUUGAUAGAAAGGGAGCUGAGAACCCCAUUGCAGAUAACUUGUCUCGGUUAGAGAAUGUUCUUGAUGAGCCACUACCUAUUAAUGAUAGCUUCCCUGAUGCACAAUUAGCUAUCAUAAAUGCUUCUCGCACUGCUCCAUGGUAUGCUGAUUAUGCUAAUUACAUUGUUGCUAAAUUUAUACCACCUAGUUUCACAUACCAGCAAAAGAAAAAGUUCUUCUAUAAUUUAAGACAUUAGUUUUGGGAUGACCCACACCUUUAUAAAGAAGGAGUAGAUGGUGUUAUUAGACGUUGUGUACCUGAGCAUGAACAAGAACAGAUCUUACGCAAGUGUCACUCCGAGGCUUAUGGAGGACACCACGCUGGAGAUAGAACUGCACACAAGGUAUUGCAAUCCGGUUUUUAUUGGCCUACUCUCUUCAAGGAUGCCCGUAAAUUUGUCUUAUCUUGUGAUGAAUGUCAAAGAAUUGGUAAUAUUAGUAGACGUCAAGAAAUGCCUAUGAAUGAUUCACCUGUUAUUGAACCAUUUGAUGUUUGGGGCUUCGAUUAGAUGGGACCGUUUCCUUCCUCUAAUGGGUAUAUACAUAUUUUAGUUGCUGUUGAUUACGUUACUAAGUGGGUAGAAGCUAUUCCAACUAGUAGUGCUGAUCAUAACACCUCUAUGAAGAUGCUUAAAGAAGUUAUUUUUCCAAGGUUUGGAGUCCCUAGAUACUUAAUGACUGAUGGUGGUUCACAUUUUAUUCAUGGUGCCUUUCGUAAAAUUCUUGCCAAGUAUGAUGUUAAUCAUAGAAUUGCAUCUCCAUAUCACCCGCAGUCUAGUGGUCAAGUAGAAUUGAGUAACAAAGAGCUCAAAUUAAUUUUGCAAAAGAUUGUUAAUAGAUCUAGAAAGAAUUGGUCCAAGAAACUUGAUGAUGCAUUAUGGGCUUAUAGAACUGCAUAUAAAAAUCCUAUGUGUAUGUCUCCGUAUAAAAUGGUUUAUGGAAAAGCAUGUCACUUACCUCUCGAAUUAGAACAUAAGGCAUAUUGGGCCAUUAAAGAGCUCAACUAUGACUUCAAACUUGCCGGUGAGAAGAGGUUAUUUGACAUUAGCUCGCUUGAUGAAUGGAGAACCCAGGCCUAUGAAAAUGCCAAGCUGUUUAAAGAAAAAGUUUAAAGAUGGCAUGAUAAAAGGAUACAAAAACAUGAGUUUAAUGUAGGUGAUUAUGUAUUGCUAUACAACUCUUGUUUAAGAUUUUUUGUAGGCAAACUUCUCUCUAAAUGGGAAGGUCCUUACGUCAUCGAGGAGGUCUAUCGUUCCGGUGACAUAAAAAUCAACAACUUCGAAGGCACAAAUCCGAAGGUGGUGAACGGUCAAAGUAUCAAACAUUAUAUCUCAGGUAAUCCUAUAAAUGUUGAAACUAAUGUUAUUGAAACCGUAAGCCCGGAGGAAUACAUAAGGGACACUUUCCAGAACGUUUCAGACUCCGAAAAGGAAUAGGUACGUGGUACGGUAAGUAAACCGACUCCAAACAGUUCUAAUGGCAAUUUUUCUCCGUUUGGAAUAUUUAAGAAAAUAGGAAAAUAAGAAGCAGACCGGAAAGGACACGAGGCUUCCACGAGGGUGGAGGGCGCGCCCCCUGCCUCGUGGGCACCUCGUGUGCUCUCCGGACUCCGUUUUCUUGCACGAUACUUCUUUUGGUCGGUAAAAAUUCAUUAUGUAAUCUCCCGAAGGUUUUGACCACCGUAUCACGCAAAAAUCUCCUGCUCUUGUUUCGAGCUGUUUUCUGCUAGGGUUGUCAAGGCCAAGAAUCAUGUCGUCUCCCUCCUCCUCCAACAAUGAGGGCAACGACGCUUGGCUAAUGAAGAUAGAGAUGAAGAAAAAAGAACCCAGAGAGAUCAACAAGGAUGAUGGGAUCAAGAAGACCAUGGGGGAUCAAGUUCCGGUAGUAGCAGAAGAUGACAUCCUUCAACCUCACCACAAUCUCCUUACCCCAACGGAGAUUGAAGCUUUCAAGAUGAUUGUAUUAGCUCGCAUUCAAAACAAGUAUCUCACAAGUGAAAAUAUUUUGUUGAAGGAGCAUAUCAUCGCACUCAAGGGCAUUAUCCGCAAAUUGGAGGAUCUCUUAUGCUCGAUGUGCGACUACCCAUCAUCACCAACACCUUCUUCACCAACAAAGAGGAACUGAGCAUCGGGUAUGGGCACUCCCCUUGGCAACUGUCAAGCUUGGGGGAGUGCCCCGGUAUCGUAUCACCAUCACUUUUAUCUUUACUGUUUUUCUUAGUUCGAUCCUUUUGAUAAUAUCUUGAUCUAGUAGAAUAAAUUUUUAGUAUGAUCUAGUUGUGAGUUUUGCUUUAUGAUCCUUCUAUGUAAUCAAGUCCAUGAGCUAUAUAUAAUAAAGAUUAGUGUUGAGUCAAGGGCCUGAUUAUUUUGCCAUGAUCUUGAGGAAAUAAAAAGAGAAAGAAUAAAAAGAAAUAAAGGGAUAAUAUGGAUCUUAUGGAGAGUAAUGAGCUCACAUAUAAAGAGUAUGAUGAAUAAAAGUUGUUGAGAGUUGAUAAACAUAGUUUUGGUCAUCGUUGCAAUUAAUAGGAAGUAAUAAAGAAAGAGAGGUUUUCGCAUAUAAAUGUACUAUCUUGGAAAUCUUUUAUAAUUGUGAGCACUCAUUAAAGUAUGAUGUGCUAAAGAGUUGACGUUGGACAAGGAAGACAACGUAAUGGGUUGUGUUUUCUUAUAUCUGAGAUAAAUUAUAUUGUCAUGGAUCAUCCAACAUGUUGAGCUUGCCUUUCCCUCUCUUGCUAGCCAAUUUCUUUGCACCGAGUAGAGAUACUACUUGUGCUUCCAAAUAUCCCUAAACCCGUUUUUGCCAUGAAAGUCCACCAUACCUACCUAUGGAUUGAGUAAGAUCCUUCAAGUAAGUUGUCAUCGGUGCACGCAAUAAAAAUUGCUCUCUAAAUAUGUAUGAUCUAUUAAUGUGGAGAAAAUAAGCUUUACUCGAUCUUGUGAUGUGGAAGAAAUAAAAGUGACAGACUGCAUAAUAAAGGCCCAUAUCACAAGUGGCAAUAUAAAGUGACGUUCUUUUGCAUUAAGAUUUUGUGCAUUCAGCCAUAAAAGCGCAUGACAACCUCUGCUUCCCUCUGCGAAGGGCCUAUCUUUUACUUUUAUCUUCUACCUUAUAUAAGAGUCAUGGUGAUAUUCACCUUUCCUUUUUACAUUUUAUCCUUUGGCAAGAACAAUGUGUUGGAAAGAUCCUGAUAAAUAUAGCUAAUUGGAUGUGAGUUUUCAUGAACUAUUGUUGUUGACAUUACCCUUUCGGUAAAAAGUUGGGAGGCAAAACUAUAAGCCCCAAUCUUUCUCUGUGUCCGAUUAAAACUUCAUACCCAUAAAUAUAGCGUGAGUGUUAGUGAUAACCCACAAGUAUAGGGGAUCGCAACAGCUUUUGAGGGUAGAGUAUUCAACCCAAAUUUAUUGAUUCGACACAAGGGGAGCCAAAGAAUAUUCUCAAGUAUUAGCAGCUGACUUGUCAAUUCAACCACACCUAGAAACUUAGUAUCUACAGCAAAGUGUUUAGUAACAAAGUAAUAUGAUAGUGGUGGUAGCAGCAACAAAAGUAAAGACAACAAAAGUAAUGUUUUUGGUAUUUUGUAGUGAUUGUAACAGUAGCAGCGGGAAAGUAAAUAAGCGUAAACCAGUAUACGGAAAACUCAUAGGCACCGGAUCAGUGAUGGAUAAUUAUGCCGGAUGCGGUUCAUCAUGUAACAGUCAUAACAUAGGGUGACACAGAACUAGCUCCAAUUCGUCAAUAUAAUGUAGGCAUGUAUUCCGUAUAUAGUCAUACGUGCUUAUGGAAAAGAACUUGCAUGACAUCUUUUGUCCUACCCUCCCGUGGCAGCGAGGUCCUAUUAGAAACUAAGGGAUAUUAAGGCCUCCUUUUAACAGAGAACCGGAACAAAGCAUUAGCACAUAGUGAAUACAUGAACUCCUCAAACUAUGGUCAUCACUAGGAGUGGUCCCGAUUAUUGUCACUUCGGGGUUGCUGGAUCAUAACACAUAGUAGGUGACUAUAGACUUGCAAGAUAGGAUCAAGAACUCACAUAUAUUCAUGAAAACAUAAUAGGUUCAGAUCUGAAAUCAUGGCACUCGGGCCCUAGUGACAAGCAUUAAGCAUAGCAAAGUCAUAGCAACAUCAAUCUCAGAACAUAAUGGAUACUAGGGAUCAAACCCUCACAAAACUAACUCGAUUACAUGAUAAAUCUCAUCCAACCCAUCACCGUCCAGCAAGCCUACGAUGGAAUUACUCAUGCACGGCGGUGAGCAUCAUGAAAUUGGUGAUGGGGGGUGGUUGAUGAUGACGACGGCGAUGAAUCCCCCUCUCUGGAGCCCCGAACGGACUCCAGAUCAACCCUCCCGAGAGGUUUUAGGGCUUGGCGGCGGCUCCGUAUCAUAAAACGCGAUGAUUUCUUCUCUCUAAUUUUUUUUCUCUCUGAAAGCAAAUAUAUAGAGUUGGAGUUGGCAUCGGAGGGUGGGGGGCGCCCCCCACCCUCGUGAGAAGGGUGUGGGCCCCCUGGUCUUCAUCUUUGGCGAGGAUUUUUUAUUGUUUUUUCUAAGAUGUUCCAUGGAGUUUCAGGUCAUUCCGAGAAUAUUUGUUUUCUGCACAUAAAACAACAUCAUGGCAAUUCUGCUGAAAACAGCGUCAGUCCGGGUUAGUUCCAUUCAAAUCAUACAAGUUAGAGUCCAAAACAAGGGCAAAAGUGUUUGGAAAAGUAGAUACGACGGAGACGUAUCAACUCCCCCAAACUUAAACCCUUGCUUGUCCUCAAGCAAUUCAGUUGACAAAUUGAAAGAAAGAAAGAAAAACUUUUACAAACACUGUUUGCUCUUGUUGUUGUAACUAUGUCAAGCCAACAUUCAAGUUUUCAGCAUAGAUCAUAACUAACCACAUUCGCAAUAAGUCUCAGGUCUCAUAAUUACUCAUAUCAAUAGCAUAAUCAACUAGCAAGUCAUAAUAAUAAAUCUCGGAUGACAACACUUUCUCAAAACAAUCAUAAUAUGAUAUAACAAGAUGGUAUCUCGUUAGCCCUUUCUGAGACCGCAAAACAUAAAUGCAGAGCACCUUUAAAUAUCAAGGACUGACUAGACAUUGUAAUUCAUGGUAAAAGAGAUCCAAUCAUAGUCAUACCCAAUAUAAAUUAACAGUGAUGAAUGCAAAUGACGGAUGUGCUCUCCAGCUAGUGCUUUUUAAUAAGAGGGUGAUGACUCAACAUAAAAGUAAAUGGAUAGGCCCUUCACAGAGGGAAGUAGGGAUUUGUAGAGGUGCCAAAGCUCGGUUUUGAAAUAGAGAUGAAUUGUAUUUUGAGCGGUAUACUUUCAUUGUCAACAUAACAACCAAGAGAUGUCGAUAUCUCCCAUACUACACACAUUAUAGGCGGUCCCAAACAGAAUGGUAAAGUUUAUACUCCCCCUCCACCAACAAACAUCAAUCCAUGGCUUGCUCGAAACAACGAGUGCCUCCAACAUAUAUCAGGUCCCAGGGGGAGUUUUUUUUUCAAUUAUUUUAAUUUAGUUUGCAUAAAGCAUGGGACUGGGCAUCCCGGUGACCAGCCCUUUAUCUCGUGAAUGAGGAGCGGAGUCCACUCCUCUUGAGAAUAACCCACCUAACACGGAAGAUAAGGACAACCUUGGUUGAUACAUGAGCUAUUCGAGCAUACAAAACAGAAUGUUUAUUUGAAGGUUUAGAGUUUGACACAUACAAAUUUACUUGGAACGACAGGUAGAUACCGCAUAUAGGAAGGUAUAGUGGACUCAUCUGGAAUAACUUUGGGGUUUAAGGGAUUGGAUGCACAAGCAGUAUUCCCUCUUAGUACAGGUGAAGGCUAGCAAAAGACUGGGAAGCGACCAACUAGAGAGCGACAACAGCCAUGUACAUGCAUUAAAAUUAAUAAACAUUGGAUGCAAGCAUGAGUAGGAUAUAAUCCACCAUGAACAUAAUAUCGUGAAGGCUAUGUUGAUUUUGUUUCAACUACAUGCGUGAACAUGUGCCAUGUCAAGUCACUUAAAUCAUUCAAAAGGAGGAUACCACCCCAUCAUACCGCAUCAUAAUCAUCUUAAUAACAUGUUGGCACACAAGGUAAACCAUUAUAACUCAUAGCUAAUCAAGCAUGGCACAAGCAACUCUGAUCUCUAAUUGUCAUUGCAAACAUGUUUAAUCAUAAUAAGCUGAAUUGAGAACGACGGGCUCAUCAUAUUUACAAAAACAAAAGAGGUCGAGUUCAUACCAGCUUUUCUCAUCUCAGUCAGUCCAUCAUAUAUAAUCAUAAUUGCCUUUCACUUGCACGACCGAACGGUGUGAAUAAUAAUAAGAGUGCACGUGCAUUGGACUAAGUUGGAAUCUGCGAGCAUUCAAUAAAAAGGAGAAGACAAGGCAAUAUGGGCUCUUGGUUAAAUCAACAAUAAUGCAUAUAAGAGCCACUUCAGCAAUUUAAUUAUGGUCUUCUCCUACUGACCUCCAAAUAAAAGAAAAGAAAUAAAACUAUUUACACGGGAAAGCUCCCAACAAGCAAAAGAAGAACGGGAAAUAUUUUUGGGUUUUCUUUUUAAUUAUUACUACUACAGCAGAAAAAUAAACUAUUACUAAUUUUUUUUGGUUUUUCUUAAGGUUUAACAAGCACACAAGAAGAAAGCAGGAAAAAGAAAAUAAACUAGCAUGGAUGAUACAAUGAAAAAGGUAUGAGCACCGACAUCUAGCAAUGAGUGUGUGUGAACAUAAAUGUAAUGUCGGUGAGAAAUAUGUACUCCCCCAAGCUUAGGCUUUUGGCCUAAGUUGGUCUAUGGCCAGGGCUAGCCUGGCGGAUAUCCAUAAUAAUAGUUGUUGGGGUCGUACUGUGACGAGGAAGAAUCGUUGGGAUCAUACUGAUGUGCAGCGGUUAUCGCUUGUUGAGCUGCAGCGUGGAGUCGAGCUGCCUUCGCUCUCCUCUCGUACUCUUCUGCCUCCUCUCUGGUAAUAACAUAUCUCCCUUUUGUCUGUGAAUCAAAGAAGGCAGGAGCAGGGAGAGUAAUACGGAAAACACGUCGUUUAUCAAAAAUUAAACGAUAUAAGAGAGGUGAUUCAGACCUCUCGACAAACUGGUGCGAAGCCAUAGAGUUAUAAUCUAAAUAUGUAGGAGGCAACUCUGUAUCACCCUCACGAAUAUCUAUCUCAAGAAAAUUAGCUAAACGGGUUGCAUAAAUUCCUCCAAAGAAAUCUUCAUUAUGUCUAUUGUGAUGCAACCUACGAGCUACAAUGGCUCCCAUAUGGUAAGAUUGGUCUCCUAACACAACACUCCUAAGAAUGCUAAGAUCGGGACACACAUGUCACAUGCUUCAUCCUUAGCAUUUAUGCAUCUACCGAUGAAGAGAGCAAAAUAAUGUAUAGCAGGAAAGUGAAUGCUCCCUAUGGUAGCCUGCGUUAUAUCUCUAGAUUCCCCCACAGUUAUACUAGCAAGAAAGUUUCUAAAUUCAGAUUUAGGGGGAUCCCUAACACUACCCCAUGAUGGAAGUUUGCAUGCAAGAGUGAAAUCCUAUAGGUCCAUGGUAUAGGAUUUGUCAUAAAGAUCAAACAUGACUGAAGGAGAAUUACGCGAAGAUGAAUACUCAAACCUCCUCACAAAUGAACUUGUGAGAUCACGAUACUGGGGGCAUUUGUUAGCCUCAAAAUCCUCAAGACCAGCAUUGCCCAAAUAUGCUUUGAACUCUUCUUUAAUUCCCACACGGUCCAUAAAAUUUUCCGAUGGCCAUUUGCAAGGUCGUACCGGAGCAUCUCUUGGUGGAUCCUCGUCAGCAUCGCGCAUAGCAAUCCUGGGUCCUUGCUUCUUAGAAGAACCACCUUGGAACAUCUUCCUAAGCAUAUUGUUUUUCUCUGAAAAAUUCUGAAAUUUUUAGUAACUUCAAAAUAAAAGUAAACCAAACUCAAUAAAACGGAUAGCAACUACUCCUACAAGUGCCUAGAGCCUAAACAAGCAUUAGAACUACUUGGAACCAUAUAAAUUUGACAUGCAAGCUCAAGAACAUGGUCACCUAUGCAGCACAAUUUGCAAAGAAUAAAGCAGUAGAACAAAAACUAAUUGGGCCAAUGGAGGACUCACAUACCAAGGAACAAUCUCCCCAAGAAGUUUUGUGAGAGGUGCUUUGAGCAAGGAGAUCGAAAAUGGCAGCAAAAUGAGCUUGGACUCGGGUUUGAGUUGGUUUUUCGGGUUUGUGUGAGAUAAAGGAAGAAGAUGGGUGCUGGGAUAAGUGGAGGAGGGCCACCGUGGGCCCACGAGGCAGGGGCGUGCCCUAGAGGGGGGGCGCCCACCACCCUCGUGGCCAGGUGGCAGCUCCUCCCUCAGUAAUUUUUGCACAGUAAAUCCUCAAAUAUUCCCGAAAAAAUCAUAUUAAAUUGGCAUGUCAUUCUGAGGACUUUUAUUUUCGGGGUAUUUUUAUAUUGCACGGAUAAGUCAGGAAAUAGACAGAAAAAUACUAUUUUUACUUUAUUUCUACUAAUUAACAGAAAAUAUAGAGAGGGUACAGAAGGUUUGUGCUUCUAGUUACAUCCAUCUCAUGCUCAUCAAAAAGAAUCCACUAACAAGGUUGAUCAAGUCUUGUUAACAUACUCAUUCCGAUAAUCAUGAAACCGGAGAAAUUUCGAAUAACACUAAGUUACCUCAAUGGGGAUAUCCACAUCCCCUAUAAUAAGAAUAUCAUAUUUCUUCUUGACAGUAGGAAGAGGAAAUUCAAAACCUCCAAAUAUAAUCGAUGGAAUUUUUCCAAUAGAGUUGAUACUAUAAACUUAAGGUUGUUUCCUCGGAAAGUGUACCGUAUGCUCAUUACCAUUAACAUGAAAAGUGACAUUGCCUUUGUUGCAAUCAAUAACAGCCCCUGCAAUAUUAAGAAAAGGUCUUCCAAGAAUAAUAGACAUACUAUCAUCCUCGGGAAUAUCAAGAAUAACAAAGUCCGUUAAAAUAGUAACGUUUGCAACCACAACAGGCACAUCCUCACAGAUACCGACAGGUAUAGCAGUUGAUUUAUCAGCCAUUUGCAAAGAUAUUUCAGUAGGUGUCAACUUAUUCAAGUCAAGUCUACGAUAUAAAGAGAGAGGCAUAACACUAACACCGGCUCCAAGAUCACAUAAAGUAGUUUUAAUAUAAUUUCUUUUAAUGGAGCAAGGUAUAGUAGGUACUCCGGGGUCUCCAAGUUUCUUUGGUAAUCCACCCUUAAAAGUAUAAUUAGCAAGCAUGGUGGAAAUUUCAGCUUCCGGUAUCUUUCUUUUAUUAGUAAUGAUAUCCUUCAUAUAUUUAGCAUAAGGAUUUGUUUUAAGCACAUCAGUUAAUCGCAUACGCAAGAAGAUAGGCCUAAUCAUUUCAGCAAAGCGCUCAAAAUCCUCAUCAUCCUUUUUUCUUGGAUGGUUUCAGAGGAAAACGCAUGGGUUUCUGAACCCAUGGUUCUCUUUCUUUACUAUGUUUCCUAGCAAGAAAGUCUCUAUUAUCAUAACAUUGAUUCUUUUACCAUGUUUGCUAACAAGUUUAAGUUCACUUUUAAUAUUAGCCAUAUAAUCACCCAAGUAUUUAAGCAUAUCAGAAUCAUAUUUCAAUUGUCUACCAAAAUAAGCAUUGAAGUCGUCUUGCUUAAACAUAAAGUUAUCAAACUCAUCCAAGCACUGACUAGCAAUUUUAGUAGGAGGGACAUCAGCUUUAUCUUAUCUAUAAAGUGAAUUUACCUUUACUACCUGUGUCGGGAUAUCGGGAUCAGGAGGUUCUUCAAUAAAUAAAGAAUGGAGAUCAUAUGUUUCUUCAACAGGCGGUAUAAUAAGACCAUGUAUUUCUUCAAUAGGCGGUAAAUUCUUAACAUCUUCAGCUUUAAUACCUUUUUCUUUCAUAGAUUUCUUUGCCUCUUGCAUAUCUUCAGGACUGAGAAAUAGAACACCUCUCUUCUUAGGAGUUGGUUUAGGAAUAGGCUCAGUAAUUGGAGCAGGAGCUGGCUCAGGAGGUGCCCAAUUAUUUUCAUUUGUCAACAUAUUAUUCAAUAGAAUUUCAGCUUCAUCCGGUGUUCUUUCCCUGAAAAGAGAACCAGCAUAACUAUCCAGGUAAUCUCUAGAAGCAUCGGUUAGUCCAUUAUAAAAGAUAUCAAGUAUUUCAUGUUUCUUAAGAGGAUGCUCAGGCAAAGCAUUAAGUAACUUGAGAAGCCUCCCCCAAGCUUAUGGGAGACUCUCUUCUUCAAUUUGCACAAAAUUAUAUAUAUCCCUCAAAGCAGCUUGUUUCUUAUGAGCAGGGAAAUAUUUAGCAGAGAAGUAAUAAAUCAUAUCCUGGGGACUACGCACACAACCAGGAUCAAGAGAAUUAAACCAUAUCUUAGCAUCACCCCUUAAUGAGAACGGAAAUAUUUUGAGUAUAUAUAAGUAACACGAUCUCUCAUCAUUUGUAAACAGGGCAGCUAUAUCAUUUAACUUAGUAAGAUGCGCCACAACAGUUUCAGAUCCAUAGCCAUAAAACGGAUCAGAUUCAACCAAAGUAAUUAUAUCAGGAUCAACAGAGAAUUCAUAAUCCUUAUCAGGAACACAAAUAGGUGAAGUAGAAAAAGCAGGGUCGGGUUUCAUUUUAUCUCUAAGUGAUUCUUUGUUCCAUUUAAUUAAUAACCUCUUAAGUUCAUAUCUAUCUUUGCAAGCUAAAAUAGCGGUAGAAGAUUCCAUAUAAAAAAGAUAGCCCUCAGGAAUAACAAGCAUAUUUUCAUCAUCACUAUCAUCAUUGUAUUCAAAUUCAAUAAUUUCUUUUUCUCUAGCCCUAGCAAUUUGUUCAUCAAGAAAUCAACAAGGGGCACAGUAGUAUCAGACAUAGAAGCAGUUUCAUCAUAAAUAUCAUGCAUAGCAGAAGUGGCAUCAUCAAUAACAUGCGACAUAUCAGAACGAAUAGCAGAAGCAGGUGUAGGUGUCGCAAACUUACUCAUAAUAGAAGGUGAAUCAAGUGCAGAGCUAGAUGGCAGUUCCUUACCUCCCCUCGUAGUUGAGGGAUAGAUCUUGGUUUUUGGAUCUCUCAAGUUCUUCAUAGUGUCCAACAGAUAUAAAUCCCAAGUGACUCAAAGAAUAGACUUAUGCUCCCUGGCAACGGUGCCAGAAAUUAUUCUUGAUAACCCACAAGUAUAGGGGAUCGCAACAGCUUUCGAGGGUAGAGUAUUCAACCCAAAUUUAUUGAUUCGACACAAGGGGAGCCAAAGAAUAUUCUCAAGUAUUAGCAGCUGAGUUGUCAAUUCAACCACACCUGGAAACUUAGUAUCUGCAGCAAAGUGUUUAGUAGCAAAGUAAUAUGAUAGUGGUGGUAGCAGCAACAAAAGUAAAGAUAGCAAAAACAAUGUUUUUGGUAUUUUGUAGUGAUUGUAAAAGUAGCAGCGGGAAAGUAAAUAAGCGUAAACCAGUAUAUGGAAAACUCGUAGGCACCGGAUCAGUGAUGGAUAAUUAUGCCGGAUGCGGUUCAUCAUGUAACAGUCAUAACAUAGGGUGACACAGAACUAGCUCCAAUUCGUCAAUAUAAUGUAGGCAUGUAUUCCGUAUAUAGUCAUACGUGCUUAUGGAAAAGAACUCCCGUGGCAUCUUUUGUCCUACGCUCCCGUGGCAGCGGGGUCCUAUUGGAAACUAAGGGAUAUUAAGGCCUCCUUUUAAUAGAGAACCGGAACAAAGCAUUAGCACAUAGUGAAUACAUGAACUCCUUAAACUAUGGUCAUCACCGGGAGUGGUCCCGAUUAUUGUCACUUCGGGGUUGCCGGAUCAUAGCACAUAGUAGGUGACUAUAGACUUGCAAGAUGGGAUCAAGAACUCACAUAUAUUCAUGAAAACAUAAUAGGUUCGGAUCUGAAAUCAUGGCACCCGGGCCCUAGUGACAAGCAUUAAGCAUAGCAAAGUCAUAGCAACAUCAAUCUCAGAACAUAAUGGAUACUAGGGAUCAAACCCUAACAAAACUAACUUGAUUACAUGAUAAAUCUCAUCCAACCCAUCACCGUCCAGCAAGCCUAUGAUGGAAUUACUCACGCACGACGGUGAGCAUCAUGAAAUUGGUGAUGGAGGAUGGUUGAUGAUGAUGACGGCGACGAAUCCCCCUCUCCGGAGCCCCGAACGGACUCCAGAUCAGCCCUCCCGAGAGGUUUUAGGGCUUGGCGGCGGCUCCGUAUCAUAAAACGCGAUGAUUUCUUCUCUCUGAUUUUUUUCUCUCCGAAAGACAAUAUAUAGAGUUGGAGUUGGCGUCAGAGGGUUUCCAGGGGGCCCACGUGGUAGGGGGCGCGCCCUAGGGGGGCGCCCCCCACCCUCGUGAGAAGGGUGUGGGCCCCCUGGUCUUCAUCUUUGGCGAGGAUUUUUUAUUGUUUUUUCUAAGAUGUUCCAUGGAGUUUCAGGUCAUUCCGAGAAUAUUUGUUUUCUACACAUAAAACAACAUCAUGGCAAUUCUGCUGAAAACAGCGUUAGUCCAGGUUAGUUCCAUUCAAAUCAUACAAGUUAGAGUCCAAAACAAGGGCAAAAGUGUUUGGAAAAGUAGAUACGACGGAGACGUAUCAGUUAGCAAUUGUGAAAGACUAAAUGAUAGUUGAGUAUGUGGACUUGCUGAAAAGCUCUUAUAUUGACUCUUUCCUAUGUUAUGAUAAAUUGCAAUUGCCUCAAUGAUUGAGAUUAGAGUUUGUUCGUUCUCAAUGAAGUUAUGAUUCAUACUUGAAAUUCUGAUUGAAUUGUUACUUUAGCAUAAUGGAUCAUAUAUAUAUAUAUAUAUAUAUAUAUAUAUAUAUAUAUAUAUAUAUAUAUAUAUUGCUGUUCUAAGAAUGAUCAUGAUGCCCUCAUGUCUGUAUUUUAUUUUAUCGACACCUCUAUCUCUAAACAUGUGGACAUAUUUUUCGAUUUCGGCUUUCGCUUGAGGACAAGCGGGGUCUAAGCUCGGGGGAGUUGAUACGUCCAUUUUGCAUCAUGCUUUUAUAUCGAUAUUUAUUGCAUUAUGGGAUGUUAUUACACAUUAUGUCACAAUACUUAUACCUAUUCUCUCUUAUUUUACAAGGUUUACAUGAAGGGGGGAAUUCCGGCAGCUGGAAUUCUGGGCUGGAAAAUGUGCAAAUAUUAGAGACCUAUUCUGCACAGCUCCGAAAGUCCUAAAACUUCACGGAAGUCAUUUUUGGAAUUAAUAAAAAUACUGGAGAAAGAAUCCACCAGAGGGGGCCCACACCUGGCCACGAGGGUGGGGGGCGCGCCCUACCCCCCUGGGCCCUCCCCCUGCCUCGUGGGCCCCCUGGUGGCCCUCUGAUGCCCAUCUUCUGAUAUAUGAGGUCUUUUGUCCGAGAAAAAAAAUCAUAAGCAAGCUUACGGGAUGAAACUCCGCCGCCACUUGGCGGAACCAAUCUAGGGCUCCGGCAGAGCUGUUCUGCCGGGGAAACUUCCCUCCAGGAGGGGGAAAUCAUCACCAUCGUCAUCACCAACGAUCCUCUCAUCGGGAGGGGGUCAAUCUCCAUCAACAUUUUCACCAGCACCAUCUCAUCGCAAACCCUAGUUCAUCUCUUGUAUCCAAUCUUUGUAUCUAAACCUCAGAUUGGUACCUGUGGGUUGCUAGUAGUGUUGAUUACUCUUUAUAGUUGAUGCUAGUUGGUUUACUUGGUGGAAGAUCAUAUGUUCAGACCCAUUAUGCAUAUUAAUAACCCUCUGAUUAUGAACAUGAAUAUGAUUUGUGAGUAGUUACGUUUGUUCUUGAGGACAUGGGAGAAGUCUUGCUAUAAGUAGUCAUGUGAAUUUGGUAUUCGUUCGAUAUUUUGAUGAGAUGUAUGUUGUCAUCCCUCUAGUAGUGUCAUGUGAACGUCGACUACAUGACACUUCACCAUUGUCUGGGUCUAGAGGGAGGCAUUAGGAAGUAAUAAGUAGAUGAUGGGUUGCUAGAGUGACAGAAGCUUAAACCCUAGUUUAUGCGUUGCUUCUUAAGAGGCUGAUUUGGAUCCAUAUGUUUUCAUGCGAUGGUUAGGUUUACCUUAGUACUUCUGUUGUAGUUGCGGAUGCUUGCAAUGGGGGUUAAUCAUAAGUGGGAUGCUUGUCCAAGUAAGGGCAGUACCCAAGCACCGGUCCACCCACAUAUCAAAUUAUCAAAGUACCGAACGCGAAUCAUAUGAGCGUGAUGAAAACUAUCUUCACGAUAAUUCCCAUGUGUCCUCGGGAGCACUUUCCUUCAUAUAAGAGUUUGUCCAGGCUUGUCCUUUGCUACAAAAAGGAUUGGGCCAUCUUUGUAAGUGCAUCUAGUGCCACCCCUAGUUGGUUUUGGAGUAUUGACGACAAACCUGGUUGAGGGACUAGUGUGUUUGUGAGAAUUGCAGGAUAACACAGGUAGAAGUCCCUCAUUGAUUCGGUUUUCCUACCAGAGAUGACCCCUAAAAAUUUAUGAAGACAUUGAAGUCAAAGGUGGUAUGUGAAGACAUUCACAUUGAAGACUAUGAUAAGAGAAGACAUCGCGUGAAGACUAUGGAGUGCGAAGACUUAGCAGUUUCGUCGUUCUGUGUUUUUCUUUGUUGAGUCAUAGGAAUGACACUACUGUUAAGUGGGGUCCAAGAGAACCAGUCAGAAUGACUGAAGUGAUGCUUAACCAAAAUCCUAUGUCUUCGAGUGAGGACUAUGAGAGCAAAUCUUGUCCAGAGUUGGAUAAGUCAGCUUUGCUUGUAGUCCAAGUAAAGUUGACGUGUGUGUUUGAAAUCUGGCCGUUGCAACAUGUGUUAGUUCCUUAGUGACCAUGGGUCAUUUCGGACAAACCAGGUCGGGUUGCCCAAUGGCUAUAAAUAGCCCACCCCCUACAACCAUAAACGGUUGGCUACUCAGAGUUAGAGUACGGCUUUUGUCGUUUGAGAGCAACCCACCUCGAAGCCUUUGAGAGAGAAUUCCUUGCGAGGAUAAAGCCCUAAACACCCAGAGCCAAAGAGUGUUAGGCAUCACUUAAGUCUUCCUGUCUGUGUGAUCUGAAGACUUAUUACACUUGAGGACUGUGAAUCCUCCAGCCGGUUAGGCGUCUCGUUCUGAGCAUCCAAGAGUCAUUGUGGAUCGCCGGUGAACGAAGUCUGUGAAGGUUUGGAAGUCUACCUUAAAGACUUACCAGAGUGAUUGGGCGAGGAUUGGGUGUCCUUAGCUCAAGGGGAAUAAGGUGAAGACGAGGUCUUCUGAGUUGAAUCUCAGCCUCCCUAACCAGACGUAUAGUUGUCACAGCAACUGGAACUAGUCCAACAAAUCAUUGUCUUCAACGAGUCACUGGUUUCAUCUUUGCCAUCCCUUUACUUACUGUUGGUCCUUGUGAAGUCAUUGUAUCAUUGCAUUAUCUUUUGUAUUCACUGAGUGACUGCUUGUUCUGAUGGCUUCACAAUAUCUUCCUACCUGCUCUUUACUGCCUAGCUACUAUUAGUCAUUGUGCUUUCACUUCAUUGAAUACUUGACUAUGGUUUGCCUAGUGUAGUCUACCUUUCGCUGCAUGGUAAUAGGUUUAUUUCUAUCGUUUGUCUUCGAAACUUCCAUGUUUUGAAGACUUUCAUAAAAAUCGCCUAUUCACCCCCCCCUCUAGUCGAUCACUAGCACUUUCAAUUGGUAUCAGAGCAAGGUACUCCCUUGUUCUGUGUGAUUCGGUUUAACCACCUGGAGUUUUAGCUAUUUCGACUGCAGGGAUAAUUAAAGUCUCCGCUGCAUACCCCGUCUUUGAUGGAACUGAAUAUCCCUACUGGAAGAAUAAUAUGCGCAUGCAUCUUGAAGCCAUUGAUGUCGACCUAUGGUAUGUCGUCAAGAAUGGCGUUCCCAAGGCUGGUGAAGGUGUCACAGCUGCUGAUGUUAAGAAGUUCGUUCAACUGGACUCCACUGCCAAGAACAUCAUCUGUGGUCAUCUAACCAAAGGACAGUAUGGCCGCAUGAGUGCUUUGGAAACAUCUAAGCUAGUCUAGGACUGGCUCUCCAAGGUCAAUCAAGGCGUCUCAACCCAGAGAGAUCAGAGAAUCAGUGUCCUCCGCAACCUCUUCAACCGCUUCAAGAGAAAUGACAAUGAGAAUGUCCAGCUCACGUUUGAUCGACUCGCUGACAUCACAAAUGAGCUUCAAGGUCUCGGCGCCACUGAGAUCACCAAGCAUGAAGUUGUCAAGACACUCCUGAGAUCACUUGACAGCUCGUUUUACACCCUAGCCCUGAUGAUUCAAGAACGUCCUGACUUCAAGACACUCGAUCCGUCUGACAUACUUGAGAGGCUCAACACACACGAGUUUCAGCUUUCUGAGAAAAGAGACAUCUACGGUCCCAACUAUGGGCGAACUCGUGCCUUGAAGGCAAAAGUUGUCUCCUCAUCUGAAGAAGAAUCUGACAGCAGUUCUGAUGAUCCUGAAGACAUUGGAAAGGAGCUUUCUAUGCUUGUGAAUAAGUUCCAAAAAUUCACCAAGAAGAAAGGCUUCAAAAAGUCUUCACGAUCAAGCUCAAGGAAUGAUGAAGCUUCUGCUCAUGACUACAAGAAGAGAACAUGCCACAAGUGCAAGAAACCUGGCCACUACAUCUCUGAGUGUCCCCAGUGGGACAAUGAGAACAAGAAGAAGAAGAAGAAGGAGGAGGAGGAGAAGAAGAAGAAGAGCAAGGAGUAUGACUCUGACGACAAGAAGAAGAAGAAAUACUCAAAGUCUUCUUCCAAGUCUUCCUCAAAGUCUUCAUCACACAAGAAGAGCUCAUCUGGCAAGGCACGUGCAUUUGUUGGCAAGGAAAUGGAUUCAGAGGAGGAGUCCGCUUCUGAGGAGGCGGAGGUGGAGUCUGAGGAGGAGGCCGAUUCUGGCGUUGCGAGUCUGGCUACAGCAUACGUUGCCAAGUCCAUCUUCAACACUGAAGACAAUGACUUCAUCACCAACACCGAUGCAAAUGACAAGGACUACUCCGCUCCUACCUACUGCUUCAUGGCACGCGGUGCCAAGGUAAACACGCGCACUACUCACUAUCAAACAUCUAGUGAAGAUGACUCUGAUUGUGGUUCCAAACCCAGCUACAAAACACUUGCUAAAAUCGCAACUGAACAACAGAAAGCUAUGGAACAUAUUCAAAAAUUGUUAGACAAAAGCGAUGAUCUGUUAGACGCUGAAAUGACUCGACCUCAGUCCUUAAUUGAAGACAUAAAAAAUCUUCACGUUAAGUAUGAGGAACUUGAAAGUCGUCAUGAAACGCUCUCAACAACUCAUGAAAAGCUUUCCUAUGAUUAUCUUCAAAGGAAGCAAGAUCUUGAGAAAUUGAGAGUGGCUCAUGAAGAUCUUCAAAAGGAAAACGAGUCACUUCGUGCCAAACAGAUCAGUUCAGCUCAGGAAGGAUUUGAACCACCAUGUCUUAAAUGCAUCGAGCAUGACAACGCUACUUCUGUUGUUGGGUGUUCUACUACUGCUACUAUUGCAAUAUCUUCAACUGUUGAUGUGGUAACUAACCCCUCUGCUGAGGAUACCACUGCUAUUGCUGAUGAGAAUGCUAGGUUGAAGACAUUGCUUGAAACAGGGAUGUACAAAAGUCUCAAAGGGCAUCAGACACUAUGUGAUGUCCUCAAAAGGCAGAUCCUGAACCGAAACCCUAGGAAAGAGGGUGUUGGGUUCGAAAGGAAAAUGAAUGCUGAUGGCUCUUACUGGAAACCUGAGCAGUACCCCAAAACCACAUGGUUUGCUGCAAAGGAACCUUCAGCGGAUCCAUCCACCCUAUCUGGCUUCACUUGUGCUAAUCCCAUUGUUAUUGAUGAAUCCUUUGAUGCAAACUAUAAACUGUUUAAGAAUCAGAAUGGUGAAGUGUUUGCCAGGUAUAUUGGUAGUAACUGCAGGAAUGGGCCGCCUAUGAAGAAAGUCUGGGUGCCAAAAAGGUGUUUGGAGAAUCUUCCUGUGAAUAUCGUCAUGACACCACAAGUGAAGAAGACAAACCCUAGACCACAGGCUUCAUAUGGUCCAAAGGCUUCAUACAGACAGAGGACUCACCUGAGUCGCACUAACGCAAAUGUUUUGCAGGGAAACCUUACUCAGGCCUAUGAAUAUGAGCGCGUUUCAUCAAACCGCCAUGUUCAUAAGACCAAAAACUAUUCUGCUUAUCCUUAUGAGUACUAUUGUCCACCUGCAAGACUUUUUGCUAGGGCUCCAAAGCCAAAGUUCUCAGAUGAUGCACUUAGACUCAUUUCUUCGAAGCCACCCUUGAAGAUGUGGGUGGCUAAGAAAGCUUAACUCUCUUUUGCAGGGAAAGGUCUCCAGCCGAAAACCAAAAUCAUCGGAAGCUAUUGCUGGGGACCUUAAACAUCUUGUAGGGUGCAAGAUCAAAUGCCCAAAUGGUCUUAUUAUGUAUUUUGUUCCUGAGUCACUUGCCACUUGCCCUAUCAGUCCUAACCUCGAUCUAAGCUUUCAUAAUCCACUUGCUCGUCAAAUGUUUAUGCUUCACAAUUCUCUUCGUGAAGCCUAUCCCCCUAACUGCACUGUAGGGUAUGACACCAGCUGCUUCAGAAUGGAUUAUUGAUAGUGGGUGUACUAAUCACAUGACUGGCAAGCGAAACCUUCUUAUGGACUCAACCUUAUGUCCAUCUGACAAAAGUCACAUCACAUUUGCUGACACUGGUAAAAGCAAGGUAUUGGGUCUAGGUAGAGUUGCAAUCUCAAAGGAUCAACACAUGGAUAAAGUCAUGCUUGUUGAAUCCCUUGGUUUCAACUUAAUGUCUGUCUCCAUGCUUUGUGAUUUAAACAUGAUUGUAAUGUUUGGAAAAUAUCGUUGCCUUGUUCUAAUGGAAUCUGACAAGUCUCUAGUGUUUGAAGGGUAUCGGAAAGAUGAUUUAUACGUGGUAGAUUUCUCAGCAGGACCACAACUUGCCAUAUGUCUUCUAGCAAAAGCUUCUGAAUGUUGGCUCUGGCAUCGGAGGCUAGGGCAUGCUGGCAUGAGGAACCUGCACACCCUUGCAAGGAAGAAGCAUGUCAUAGGCAUCAAGGGCGUCAAGUUCAAGAAAGAUCAAUUAUGCGGUGCCUGUGAAGCAGGAAAGAUGACGAGGGCCAAGCAUCCCUCGAAGACAAUCAUGGCAACGACUCAACCCUUCGAACUGCUCCACAUGGACCUUUUCGGUCCCACUCAUUACUCAAAUCUUACUACUACUGCUUGUCUCUAUGGCUUUGUCAUUGUUGAUGAUUAUUCAAGAUAUACCUGGGUGCAUAUAAUCCUCUACAAGACUGAAGUGCAGGAUGUCUUCAGACGCUUCGCCAAUCGAGCCACGAACAACUAUGCCAUCAAGAUCAAGCACAUCAGAAGUGACAAUGGCACUGAAUUCAAGAACACUGGUCUAGACACUUAUCUUGAUACUUUGGGCAUUACACAUGAAUUCUCAGCUCCGUACACACCGCAGCAGAAUGGCGUCGUGGAAUGCAAGAACAGAACACUCAUUGAGAUGGCCCGAACAAUGCUUGAUGAAUACAAGACUCCAAGAAAGUUCUGGCCCGAAGCCAUUGAUACUGCAUGCCAUAUCAUCAACCGUGUUUGUCUUCACAAACUUUUCAACAAGACAUCCUAUGAGCUCCUUACAGGCAAGAAGCCAAAUGUCAGUUACUUCAGAGUAUUUGGUGCUAGGUGCUGGAUCAAGGAUCCACAUCACACUUCAAAAUUUUCACCAAAAGCACAUGAAGGUUUUAUGCUUGGAUAUGGAAAGGAUUCACACUUCUACAGAGUCUUCAACCUUUUUCACUAUAAAGUGGUUGAAACAGUGGAUGUGUGGUUCGAUGAGACUAACGGCUCACAAAGAGAGCACCUGCCAAAUGUGCUAGAUGAAGUUCCAUCCAGUGAAUCAAUCAAACUUAUGGGAACUGGAGAAAUCAUACCAUCUGAAUCUCAGCCUGAAGAGGAACUUAUCAUCUCCGCACCUGAUCAAACAGAAGACAAUGCUCAGCCUGAAGACAAUCCUUCUAACGAUGGCAAUGAUCGGCAAGAGCAAAAUCUUCGUCCUGUACAUCCUCGUGUUGCAAAUGAAGUACAGAUUGAGAGAAUAAUUCAUAGCAUCAAUGCACCAGGUCCACUCACUCGUUCAAGGGCAACACAGCUAGCAAAUUUCUGUGGGCACUUCGCAUUCGUCUCAAUAUCUGAACCCAAGAAAGUUGAAGAAGCCUUCAUGGAACCUGAAUGGAUUCAAGCUAUGCAAGAAGAGCUUCAACAGUUUGAGCUGAAUAAUGUAUGGGAACUGAUUAAGCGUCCUGAUCCUCGCAAGCACAAUAUAAUAGGCACCAAAUGGAUAUAUCGCAACAAGCAACAUGAGCAUGGUCAAGUUGCCAGAAACAAAGCUCGUCUCAUUGCUCAAGGGUACACUCAAGUUGAAGGGAUUGACUUCGAUGAAACAUUUGCUCCUGUGGCUAGACUUGAAGCCAUACGCAUACUGCUGGCCUAUGAAAAUCAUCAUAACAUUCUUCUGUAUCAAAUUGAUGUGAAGAGCGCCUUUCUCAAUGGCAAGAUUGAAGAAGAAGUGUAUGUUGCACAACCGUCUGGCUUUGAAGAUCCAAAACAUCCUGACAUGGUGUACAAGCUCAACAAGGCACUGUAUGGCCUCAAACAAGCCCCUCGGGCUUGGUAUGACACACUCAAAGACUUCCUAAAGAGCAAAGGCUUCAAACCUGGUUCCCUCAACCCCACUCUCUUCACGAAGACAUAUGAUGGUGAACUGUUUGUGUGCCAAAUAUAUGUGGAUGACAUUAUCUUCGGCUGCACCAAUCAGAAAUACAGUGAAGACUUUGGAUAUAUGAUGCAAGAGCAAUAUUAGAUGUCCAUGAUGGGUGAGCUGAAGUUCUUCCUUGGUCUUCAAAUACGUCAGCAACGCAACGACAUCUUCAUAUCUCAAGAGAAGUACCUUAAAGAUUGCCUGAAGAAAUUUGGGAUGCAAGACUGCAAAGGCUUCACGACGCCAAUGCCAGCCAAACAUCAUCUGGGUCCCGACGACAAUGGUAAAGAGUUUGAUCAAAAGGUAUAUUGCUCCAUGAUUGGUUCUUUGCUUUAUCUAUGUGCAUCUAGGCCAGAUAUUAUGCUUAGUGUUUGCAUGUGUGCUCGAUUCCAAGCGGCACUAAAGGAAUCGCAUCACUUAGCUGUGAAGCAAAUUCUUCAAUAUUUGGCUUACACCCCAACAUUAGGAUUAUGGUAUCCAAAGGGCUCAUUUUGAUCUGGUUGGAUUCUCGGAUGCUGAUUAUGCUGGUGACAAGGUGGAUCGCAAGUCUACAUCAUGCACAUGUCAUUUUCUAGGACGAUCACUUGUAUGUUGGUCUUCAGAGAAGCAGAACUGUGUAUCUCUCUCCACUGCUGAAUCUGAAUACAUUGCUGCUGGAUCUUGCUGCGCUCAGCUUCUAUGGAUGAAGCAAACACUCAAAGACUAUGGCAUUCAUCUGAACCAAAUGCCACUCUACUGCGACAACGAAAGCGCCAUCAAGAUUGCCAACAACCCAGUUCAGCACUCGAAGACAAAGCACAUUGAAAUUCGUCAAGAUUGCCAACAACCUAGUUCAGCACUCGAAGACAAAGCGCAUUGAAAUUCGUCAUCACUUUCUCAGAGAUCAUGUUGUGAAGGAAGAUAUUGAUAUUAUACACAUCAACGCUGAAGACCAAUUGGCAGAUAUCUUCACCAAGCCCUUGGAUGAGAAGAGGUUUUGCAAGUUACGGUGUGAGCUAAAUAUCUUGGAAUCCUCAAAUGUCCUGUGAUCAGGCACACAUCCUAACACUUAUGCAUAUUGAUGACUUAGAUGUGCAACACACGAAGUAAAGUAUAUCUUCAAUCAAUGAAGACUUACAUUCUAAGUGUGAAUACAUUAAUGUGGAAUUUGACUUCGGAGCGCCACGAUAAUUGUGCGCCGUGUCUGGGUCUAAUACUUCCUAUACGGUGGGUAAUGCCACCACCAAAUUUUUCUGUUUGAAGUGUUUCACUCAUGGCGUUACGUUUGCUAUGUCUUCACAUUUGGUUUGGCUUCAAUCUCAACUUGUCUUCAUGAUUAUCUUCACUAUGUUGAUUUGAUUGUCUUUCUCUUAUAUAUAUAUAUAUAUAUAUAUAUAUAUAUAUAUAUAUAUAUAUACUAGUGUUCUGUCCUCUACAGCAUUCACUUAUAGCUAUGUCUUCUUGUUGAAUCUUUUGAACUAAGUGAAUGUGAUCUGACCCUAACCUCUCUAUGCUUUCUAUCUCAAAAUCUAUCUCUCCAAAUCAUAUGCAUUCUAUUGAAACCGUCGAAUAUCUUCUCUGCGCCCUUGUCAGCAGAAGAUACAGAGACAAACAUUAAGUUUGUUUUCAAUGCUAAAUCCUUUCACCUAAAACCCGGAGAAGUGGGAACGACCACCCAACAAUCCAGGCAUGCGUGGGAACAUGGAACAACCUCCGAUAUGUUGCAUGAUAGCCACGUGCCCUUCAGAUGUGAAUUGCCAGGGGCACCUGUGUAAUAACACUGUGCCGUCCCUGUCCCUAUAAAUACACGCCUCACCACAGUCAUUAUCCUUUCUUCCACUCUCGCACAAACCCUAGCGCCACCGCUAGCCCUCGACGACACCGGCGACGAAGAGCUUAGCUGCCGCGACCUCACCGACGCCAUCUUCACACCGGCUGCGGACAUCGUCUUCUCCGCCGUCGCCGUAGGUGUCCUCUGUCGCCAAGUUAGGGCACGGACGAUCGAAUUGCUCGGCCUCCUCUCCCACUCCGUCUAGCAGUUCUUUGUGUGGUAAAUAAAACUUCCUUUUUACGGCCCCUUUGAUCCUAUAGAUUCAUCACUUUCUACCACAAGCAGUUUAUGUUCACAUAAGUUGGAUCUAUUUCAUACUGCAUCUCAUAAUAUGCCUAGUAUGUUCACUUAUGUUUCACAAAGUAGUUAGAUUCCUCACUUGUACUUAUUCGUGGAUUCGUACAAAUCUGGAACCAACUCUCUAUCUAUGAGUGAAUGUCUUCGCACUAUGAGGGCAAUGUCUUCUAAACUGAUUUAUCUUCAAAAUCUUCUGAGAAUGCAUAUGACCUCUUCCCCUUCCCUCGCACCUUAAUGCUGUCACAGGUACAUGUCCGUGGGAGAAUCCCUUGGUACUCAUAGUCUGCAUUCAUUUGCAGAAUUCUUACAACAUCAUAUAAAUUCUCCCGAAGCCGGUUCCUGUUUGACCAGCAAGCGGAAGCCUUUGAAACCUUUGAACGUGUUGAAGCCAUUCAGUUUGAAGUUCAUGGCUACGGUGAAAUCAGCAAGGAAGGGUGGCAGAUAGCGUCAAGGGGGAACAUCAAGAGAUCCGCCUGAUGACCUCUCAGAGUUGUACAAGACAGAUCCAGAAGAGGAUUACAAUCAGCGCAAGACACGAAUCCAAUGGAUUCGAAGAUACUGGGUCGAGCAAUGGUUCAAGUACAAGUUUGUGACCCAGGAAUAUGCUGAGAAGAAUGCCAUCAAGCGACCAUGGGGAGACAUCCUAUACAGAAAUCUUCAACCCAGGUCCAGAGAUGAAGCCAUUGAACAAGGCUUCUAUCCCUGCAUGGUCCGUGGACCACAGCCUGCGGAUGCAGACCCAUCGUCAUUGCUAUGGUGUCGUGACGACAAUCUGUUCAAGCGCAACUUCCAGUUUGCCAAGAAUUCGGCUAAGCAAAACAAGAAGUCAUUGGGACUAGACUUCAACCCUGGUCCUUCUGCUCCCCGUGUCGAUGGCACCCGCGAAGCUGAACCCAAUCUUGUUGGGCCCUUCUACAACCUGGAAGGUCUCAUCACUCAUAUCAUGGUUCAAGGGACAGCCGUGGAUGAGCCUGCAGAUGACGCUGAAUCUGAUGAAGCGCCUGCACUAAGCCAAAGAAACCGAAGAAGCCUAAAGCUUCAAAGCCUGCUCCUGCACCAAAGGUCUUACAGGCGAAGCCUCUGGCCACUGCACCUCCUGAACACAGUGUGCAGUCUGAAGAUUUGUCACGCAUCUCCAAGCCCUCGAGAGUAAAGAUGCCCGUGCAACCCACCCGCCAAGAACUGAUUGCUGCUGCUAUUCUGCGCAACGACGCCAUUGAUCUGUCCAGCGAUGAAGAUCUUGCAGAUGACGCGCUUGAGCAACUGAUUAAGAGCAAGGAAGAAGCAGAAAUAUUCAAUGAUUUGCCUCUCUUUGACGUGGCAAUCAUCCACAACUUCAUUGAUGAGUGGUUCGAAACCCCCAAUCUCAGCUUUGAAGAUCUGCAGCUUCCAAUUGGCCUCAUUGUCGCCUUCACUGGCGCCAUUGCUUUUGAGCUAGCUCUAGCUCAGCGCAUCGUUGAACUGAAGCAAAAGAUCGACUAUGAGAAAGCUCAGUUCAAGAAGCACAUGGCCAAGCUCAGCGUGCAAGAUGUGAAAAACUUCAAGAUUAUGCUACACGAGCUCAAGGAAGCCUUUCUCAAGAAGCUAAAGGCUCUCGUGAGCGCAUGAAGAGCCUGGCUGACAAGUGUGUGCAAGCCUACAAUGAGGCUGAGAAGCGCAAGGCUCUUGGUCGUCCUGGCAUCGACCCAAGAAUGGCUGCAAAGAAGAAGAAGCCAUCAACAGACCAAUCUGCACCUUCAAGGCGGGAAGAGCCACGCGUAGUCUUUCCAAGCAGCAUGACUGGCUCAAAGCCAAAGGUCCGGUCAACCGCUUCAGAACUGAAGAAGAUGAGGACUGCCGAGGCUGAAGCUAGAAAGAGGAAAAAUCCUGACUCUUCUGAUGUCGCUCCCUCCAAGAAGAAGCGCAAAACCAAGAGAGAUCGGGCUGCUCACACAGAGCCCCUUGUUGUCGAGCUCAUCUCGGUUGCUCGUCCUAAAUCUUCGCAUCAAGAACGACGGAUAGUAGUUCAUGAGCCUACUUCCACAGAGGCUCCUGAAGCUGAAGACAUUCCAGCAAUUGACUACACCGCUGCUGAAUACAUUGGUCACCAUGACAAUGUUGAAGAUGAUGAAGUCCUUCCUCAUAUCGAGCACCAACUGAUAUCAUCGCCUGUGCUCACGCACAGCGAACUCAUCAGCAUUGGUCGUCCUCUGACGCCAACUACUCAGGAUGCAUCAUGGGCUGAUCACCCACAACAACAAGACACCCCGAGUACUCCCCAACAACAACAAGUCACACCACCUGUGCAAGACGAAGAAGACGACUUUGAGGCCCAGCCAACUCCAUCUCCAUAGGCGUCGCCAGCGCUACGCAGGCUUCGCAAAGGACCAAGGCCUCAAGUCCCUCUUUCGAGCGUUCCAGAAGGAGAAGUGCACCACCAAUCUAUUGCACGUCAAGUGUUUCCAGAUGCCACUCCUACUGUGACUAUCUCUGAAUCCGAUGCCAAAAUGGCUGAAGAUGUUCCGGCUGCAUCAGCCGAUGAAGAAGAAGCCCCUAGAGUUGCUACACCCCCGUCUCACCAAGAAGUUGUUCUCGAGGAGAACGUGACCGACCCUCCAGCUUCUGAAGUGGAGGUUGAGAAUCCUGAGGCUGCCACCACUAACACCACUGAAGCCAAUGACGUGGUCAUGGCUGAAGACACUCCGGAGCCUGCACCUAACACUGUGCGAGAGGCCAAUGAAGCCAAUGAUGCACCUGCAACAGAUGUGCAGCCUGACGCCUCUGUUGAUGCCACUACUCCUGUUCCGCCACCAAGGCCACACACUAUCGAGCAAGCAUUCAACUAUGGCCAACUUAUCACUGUCAAAUCGCCUUUUCUGACUCCUCCGCCUGCUGUUGGUCCUCAGUUUGACUAUCACAUUGAGCACAGGCCUCAGGUUCAGAAGCCAAUGCCAAGGUUGCCCAGGUUUCCAGGUACUGCAUCUGCACCCGGAUCUUUCAAUAUCAAUGGUUUCAAGGUACACAACACCUUGUUUGAUAGCGCCAAGAACCCCUACACCAAGGCAAGAAUAUCUUCUGAUUGGUUCUGGAGCUAUCAGCAGCGUAGUUAUUACUCAUGCAUUCUGUACAAUCAAGGUCGCAUUUUCCCACAUAUGCGUCUUGACACUGAAGCCAUAACUGGUCUGCCUUGUUUGGAAGAAGCCCUGGAUUGCUUCAGAGAGUCUGGAUUGUUGCCGUUCGUCACUGACAAGGAGCACUGGAACGAAGAAUUGCUGCUCCAAUUCUAUGCCACUCUUCAUAUUCGUGGCUACAACCGAGAUCCGAAGACUUGGGUCCUUGAGUGGAUGACAGGCAAUGUUCAUCACGAAGCCAAAGCCUUUGAUAUCAUUGAGCUCACUGGUCUACCCACUCCAGGAGAUCUUUAUGAACCUGGUUGUCAGCUUCACAGUGCCGCUAUGGAGAGCAUUUUUCACAAGCCUGAACCAAACAUGAGUCAGAUGCUUAGCAUGAUGAAGCCUUUGCCUCCAAAUGCUGCAUAUCCUAAGGAUUUCUUUGUUGAAGACCUUGAGUAUCUGCCACGCACUAUCUAUCACAUUAUAAGGCGAACUCUCUGGCCCAUCAAAGGACAUUCUCCACAUGCAAAGCUGGAAGGUGCAAUGAAGACUUUGGUCUUCCAUAUUCUUCACGGCAAAUGCUUCAAUGCACAAGACUUCUUCAUCCGCCAACUUGCUGCAUCAGGAUCUGAUCUCUUUGGCUUGAAGUUUUACGCUCCAUGGAUUAUGUGGCUCAUCAAACUACACUCAGCUGUCACCUAUCAGCCCUCUGCUCGCAAUCAUCGGAUCUUUCUGCCUGACGUCAAUAUGUCAGUUGAAGCCAUCUAUCCAGAGCCUGCCAAGGAGCCCCUUAGUCUUCAGAAUGCUGAUAAGCAAAGUUUCUCUCAACACAUUGAAGGCGACCCAGCAGUCACUCGUGUUUAUCCACUGGCUGGUACUACCCGUGCACCUCAUCGUGCCCUCACUGAAGCCACUGAAAGCACCAUUGCACAACGGCCCAAGAAGCGAUCCCGUGUUCUCAAUGACCGAGAGCUUCUGGUUGCCCUUCAUCAGAAACAUGAUAAGCAUCAUGACUAGCUAAAGCGCCAAAUGCAAAGCCUCUUGGUGGACGUAAACAGGAUUCGCAACCUUGCCACCAAGAAUGCCUUUGUCGCCCAUGAAACUUGUCGGCGUACAUGGAAAGGGCUGACGCUUAUGUGUUCUGAAGAUGAUCUUCAAGAGGAUGGUUUCUCUAAACGCUUCAAGUUUGACUCAACACCUCCAAGAAGGACUGUGUUGCGACGAACUCCGUCUCUUGAAGACUCUGAGUUCUCCUCCUCUGCUGCAACAGUGAAUGCACGUGUCAUCGAUGAUGAAGACGAUGCUACUUCACCACCUUCAGCACGAAUCAACACUGUACCGAGUUCGUCUGCACCGCCAACCAAAUCCGACGACCCUGCUGCAUCACCAACUCCUCAUGGGAACGAGUAGGUGCUCUAUGUCUUCAAACCUUUUUGGUCCUUACUGAGAAAAGGGGGAGAAGCAUAUGAGUUUGAUAGUCUUCAAGCGGGUCCAUAUGGGCGGUGGUUUUAUAUUUUGCCUAGUGUUUACAACUCUCGCGUUUUGAUACAUUUGGUUCUUUGAGUUGUAACACUCAAACUCGAUGGUCGUCUGCUACUUAUUUGCUUUUCUGUGAUGCGAUGAUAAAUUCCGCAUGUGCGACGAUAAAUUCUGCACUUAGAUCAUUUUGCAGACGUCCAUUUUUCAUUAUGCAUGUCAUUAUCUUCACAUACUUUUCAUGCAUGAUGAAUUGUCAUCAUAAGUUGAAGAGGAUCUCCACAAGUACAACCUGCCAUGUGUAUUUGCAUACCAAAAGAAAAUUACUUAUAUGCACAUCUUCAGGGGGAGCCUUUGCCACUUAUGAAGACAAUAACCUAUCCUUUACAAUUUCACAUAUUUUAUUCCCUGUCGAAAACUUCAACCAGUUUGUCAUCAAUCACCAAAAAGGGGGAGAUUGUAAGUGCAUCCAGUGCCAUCCCUAGUUGGUUUUGGAGUAUUGACGACAAACCUGGUUGAGGGACUAAUGUGUUUGUGAGAAUUGCAGGACAACACAGGUAGAAGACCCUCAUUGAUUCGGUUUUCCUACCGGAGAUGACCCCUAAAAAUGUAUGAAGACAUUGAAGUCAAAGGUGGUAUGUGAAGACAUUCACAUUGAAGACUAUGAUAAGAGAAGACAUCGCGUGAAGACUAUGAAGCGUGAAGACUUAGCAGAUUCGUCGUUCUGUGUUUUUCUUUUUUGAGUCAUAGGAACCACCGUACUGUUAAGUGGGGUCCAAGAGAACCAGUCAGAAUGACUGAAGUGAUGCUUAACCAAAAUCCUAUGUCUUCGAGUGAAGACUAUGAGAGCAAAUCUUGUCCAGAGUUGGAUAAGUCAACUUUGCUUGUAGUCCAAGUAAAGUUGCCGUGUGUGUUUGAAAUCUGACCGUUGGAACACGUGUCAGUUCCUUAGUGACCAAGGGUCAUUUCGGACAAACCAGGUCGGGUUGCCCAGUGGCUAUAAAUAGCCCACCCCCUACAACCAUAAACGGUUGGCUGCUCAGAGUUAGAGUACGGCUUUUGUCGUUUGAGAGCAACCCACCUCGAAGCCUUUGAGAGAGAAUUCCUUGCGAGGAUAAAGCCCUAAACACCCAGAGCCAAAGAGUGUUAGGCAUCACUUAAGUCUUCCUAUCUGUGUGAUCUGAAGACUUAUUACACUUGAGGACUGUGAAUCCUCCAGCCAGUUAGGCGUCGCGUUCUGAGCAUCCAAGAGUCAUUGUGGAUCACCGGUGAACGAAGUCUGUGAAGGUUUGGAAGUCUACCUUGAAGACUUACCAGAGUGAUUGGGCGAGGACUGGGUGUCCUUAGCUCAAGGGGAAUAAGGUGAAGACGAGGUCUUCUGAGUUGAAUCUCAGCCUCCCUAACCAGACGUACAGUUGUCACAGCAACUGGAACUGGUCCAACAAAUCAUUGUCUUCAACGAGUCACUGGUUUCAUCCUUCCCUUCCCUUUACUUACUGUUGGUCCUUGUGAAGUCAUUGUAUGAUUUGCAUUAUCUUUUGUCUUCACUGAGUGACUGCUUGUUCUGAUUGGCUUCACAAUAUCUUCCUACCUGAUCUUUACUACCUAGCUGCUAUUAGUCAUUGUGCUUUCACUUCAUUGAAUACUUGACUAUGGUUUGCCUAGUGUAGUCUUCCUUCCGCUGCAUGGUAAUAGGUUUAUUUCUACCGUUUGUCUUCGAAACUUCCAUGUUUUGAAGACUUUCAUAAAAAUCACCUAUUCACCCUCCCCUCUAGUCGAUCACUAGCACUUUCAAUCUUGCUGCACCUUAUUUACUUUUAAUACUUGCUACUCGUUACAAAUUACCUUAUCACGAAACUAUCUGUUACCGACAAUUUCAGUGCUUGUAGAGAAUACCUUACUGAAUACUGCUUAUCAUUUCCUUCUGCUCCUCGUUGGGUUCGACACUCUUACUUAUCGAAAAUGCUACGGUAGAUCCCCUACACAUGUGGGUCAUCAAUCAUCAUACCUAGUUCAAUCUCGUUACCGGCAAGUCUCUUUAAUCGUUCCGUAAUGCAUCAUCCCGCAACUAACUCAUUGGUCACAUUGCUUGCAAGGCUCAUAGUGAUGUACAUUACCGAGAGGGCCUAGAGAUACCUCUUCGAUAGACGGAGUGAAAAAUCCUAAUCUCGAUCUAUGCCAACUCAACAAACACCAUCGGAGACACCUGUAGAGCAUUUUUAUAAUCACCCAGUUACGUUGUGACGUUUGAUAGCACACAAGGUGUUCCUCUGGUAUUCGAGAGUUGCAUAAUCUCAUAGUCAGAGGAACAUGUAUAAGUCAUGAAGAAAGCAGUAGCAAUAAAACUGAAUGAUCAUGAUGCUAAGCUAACGAAUGGGUCUUGUCCAUCAUAUAGUCAGAUGCUCUACAGAUUCUCUAAUGAUGUGAUCUCGUUCAUCAAAUGACAACACAUGUCCAAGGCUAGGAAACUUAACCAUCUUUGAUUAACGAGCUAGUCAAGUAGAGGCAUACUAGGGACACUCUGUUUGUCUAUGUAUUCACACAUGUACUAAGUUUCCCGUUAAUACAAUUCUAGCAUGAAUAAUAAACAUUUAUCAUGCUAUAAUGAAAUAUAAAUAAUAACUUUAUUAUUGCCUCUAGGGCAUAUUUCCUUCAGUAUCAUGCCUGCUCCAGCACUCCCAUCCGCCAUCAGGAAGGACGUAAAACACUGACGCCUACACUGCUUUCGGCAGGCAAAGGAAGGAUGUAAAACACUGACGCCUACACUACGGAUGAAGAUUUAGACUAGAUAAAAAAAUGUGAUAUGUUUUUCGUUUAGUUGAAAUAUGUUAAAAAUGUAAUGAAUUUCGUCUCGCUUAAAUAAAAAUCAUUAGAUUUGCAUAAAAGUUGUUCUGUUUGUAAUUAUUGACGUAUAAUGUGUUGCCUAGUUUUUUACAUCAGAUCGGUCUUUUGGUUGCAUUGGCUAGAGCAUGCACUUCUAUAUGGUAUCAGAGCCAAGAGGUCUUGUGUUCAAGACCCGGCUGGCGCAAUUAUAUUGCAACCCAGUUUCGGUCCAUGUUUAGGCUGAGGAAGGCCACACGUGAAGGGAAGUGUUAAUGUAUAAUGUGUUGCCUAGUUUUUUCCAUCAGAUCAGUCUUUUGGUUGCAUUGGUUAGAACAUGCACGGGCUAGAGCAUGCACUUCUACAGUAAUUUCAUUUGAAAUAUAUGAGGACGUCACGCUCGUUCUCUUUGUAAUUUUAUUUGAGAGAUUUGAGGUAAUUUCAUUUGAAAUGUAUGCACAUGUUUGAGACACACUCGUUCUGUUUGUAAUUUUAUUCGAGAGAUUUGACGUAAUUAGAGAUGAGGUAAUUUCAUUUGAAAUGUAUGCGCAUGUCUGAGGUAUGCAGUUGCAUGAUCAGUAUCAAUGUGCACAACUGCACAUACACGACGCCUACAUGGCCGGCGAAGAUUUAGACUAGAUAUAAAUGUGUCAUCUGCUUUUUUUCAAAUUUGAAAUAUGUCAAAUAUAAUAAAUUUGAUCCGAUUUAAAUAAAAAUCAUCUGGUUGGCAAGAGUUGUCCUGUUUAUUCAAAUUUCAUAUAAAAUGUACAGAAUUGCGUGAUCAGCUAUCGGAUGACUCAUGUGAAACACAGACAGCCUGCAAAGAUUCAGAUUUGAACCAGGUUAAAAAUGUCAUCUGCUUUUUAGUUGAAAUAUGUCAAAAAUAUAAUGAAUUUUUCUGGUUCAGAUAAAAAUCAUCUGGUUUGCGUGAAAUUCGUCUUGUUUGUUCAAACAAAUAACGAUGUAUGCUUUAGAGGGUCGCGGUGGAGAUGCCAUAACAAACACGACGCACGCUAGAAUGGCAUCUUAGGGCGUGUUUGGUUGCCCACAUGCAGCCCAACCAGGCCCGCGCGGGAUGUGCACGACCUGUUUGGUUGCCUGGGCUGCAUGUGGUUUGUGGCCCACACGGACCUUAAAGCAACCCGCAGCCUCGGCAGUUUCUCGCGAGCCUGGCUAGGCGCGGCCACACCUGCGAGGCAGUUGCACGCCUCGGGCAACACGGGAGACGGAAGGGACGUCUCAUAACUCGCCCCCACUCUCCUGCCACCGCCCAAUCGCACUGUUCCCACCGCUCCCUCUCUCCCUCACCGCCCCUUCCUCUCCUCUCUUCCGAUGGCUCCGCCUCGCCCAUCGUCGCUCCGCCCUCUGACCCCUGUGACGAGCGCAUCGCCAGCAUCUAGGAGCGCUGCCUGGCCGGGCUCCAGAACUCGAGGUGGGACCUGGCGUCGGCGCUGCUAGCGCCGUCCCCCAUCUGCUGUAGCCACCACCGCCGCCGGCCAAUGCGGUGCCGGCCGUUCCUGCUCUGCCGCGGAUUCCUGACCUCGUGGUCCUGGGCUCGGCAUCGGCGCCGUCGAGGGAGCUGCUGCUUGUUGGGACCCUAUUAGGCAAGGGGGUUUUCUUGACCCCCGUCCAAGGGUUUUCUCCUAUCGGCGGGCCGUCCUCCUCGACCUCCGGCAUGGCGAUGAGCACGGGGCCGAUGCCGCAGGCCGUCGUCAGGGCCGGCUCCUCCUCUGCUCCGCCACCUCUCUCCUUCCCGCUGGUGUUUUCACCUGGCCGCGGUUCGCUGCGACUGCGCGUGCUCCGGUGAGUCAAACCCCCUCAAUGCUUGCUCGUAGAUGUAGAUUAGGUGUUUAAUUCUUAGGCAUGUGAUAGUAGUUAGUGGAUUCGAUACGAUUAGAUGGGAUUGGAGUAGAUUCGAUUGGAUCCAAUCGGACCGAUCUGUUCUUAUUUCAUACAGUGUGUGUCCUAGGAUCUGCUACUGCUACUGCUAGUGUGUCCUAGGAUCUUUGUUCAUGCUAGUAGUUGUGUUCAUGCUAGAAUCCCAAUGGUAGUGUGCUUUGCUAUGAUAUGUGUCCAUGGUAGGGUCUUGCUAGGAUGUGUGUUCAUGAAAAUGGCGUGUUCAUGCUCAAGCUAGGAUCAUGUUCAUGUUGUUGUUCAUGUUGCUAACAUACAUAUUCAAGCUAGGGUUUGUAUUGAUUGUUAUACGUGCAUGUAAUAGUACCAUUUUAGGAUGCUGCCAAAUGUGCAUGGCUGCAUAUGAGUGCUAUUGGCACCUGCUGUUGUUAUUUUUAGAUGUCGUCAUGCUUAGGAUAGUGCACUGAUGAGUGGCAGUUGCGGAAAAGCAAAUGGCACUGAUCAUUGGCACUUGCUAUUGGGCAAGUCCACUGAUCAUUGCCACUGAUCAGUGACAUUGCCACUUGCUGUUGGCAAAAAUGUCACUUAUAAAUGGCACUUGUUAUUGGACAAGUCCACUAAUCAGUGCCAUUUGCCUAACAACAAGUGGCAUUGAUAAGUGGCAUUUGCUCUUGGGCAAAUGUCUCUGAUCAGUGCCAUUUUGCAAAGAGUUUGUGCACUAAUACUUGUUAUUUUACCUGACAAGAUAUUGAAGACUGUCUGAAAUAUGGCGGAUGGAGGAGCUCAGACGGUGGCCGGAGCUGAGGGCGUCGAGGAUUUCAUCCCCAUGAACAUGUGGCUCGGGACGGUGGACCUGCCUGGCAGGAUCGCCUUCAUAAGCCUGCCUCGUUCAAGGGGACGAUCUUCGAGGCAGGGCCACGAGGAGGGGAUGUGGGAGCCACUACGCUUCUACCAGCAGAUUAAGGACAAUGAGGACUUCACCAUGCUCGUCAUCCCUCACAAUUUCACCUGGCUGAUCAUUAAGCAGCUCCCGCGCGUGGUUAGGCUGUCGGCGAACAAGCAAUGUGUGUUCUGGGUGCAGGUUUAAAACUUCGAGGGGCACAUGAUGCUUGGCCAGUGCUGGAACUACUUCUGCCGUCGCCACUGGAUCGUCCCCGACAACCUUAUCGUUAUGCGCAUCUCAGGACUCGGCCUGAAGGUUCAGAUCUACUUGAAUUCAAGAGUCAUCUACAGGAGGUAUGCUUCCAUGUGUGCCGAAGAAGCGUCUUAUCAUUAUACGCUGUUUAUCCAAUCAAAAACUUCUUCGUUUAGUUGGUAGAACCACGCCAAUAUCAUAUUGACUAUCUCUCGUCUAAUAAGACAACCACGACUCCUCAGUUAUGUGUUGGUUUCGUUGCAGCAGGCACAACUGCGUUGGUGACAUUGAGCAUGCUAUGUAGUUAAGUUAAGUAAAAUGUUAAUAUUGAACUUUUAUGAUGUGUGACGAGACUUAUGGGUACUUGUGCUAGGAACUUGUUCAUAUUUUGGUCAGGGUACGUGGUGCAGGGAAGGAGGAUGCUCCUGCUGUUAAUCUAGUUAAGUAGUUUGCUGUUAUUUGCUUGCUUGAUUUGUUUGAUUUCAUUUGCUUUGUUUUGCUGUUGUGCCGAUCAUGUGGUGGUAAGGCCACCACAUUUGAAUAUGGUGAGCAGAACAUAAAUACUGUUUGCGACCAAACAAAAGUUCGCAUCUGCUCACAUUCUAAGCACAAAAACGGAAACCAAACACGAAGGGUAAAUGCCCUCUAUGCGAUGCAGGCAGGCAACCUAUUGAUUGCAUCUGUUGCAUAUGAGGCUGCAUUUAAAGAAUCAGGCUCCCUGACGAUGAACAUGCAAUGCAACUACUGUUAACUGCAACCAAACACACCCUUAAAUAUUCGCAGGCAUCUUAUUUACUCAGCUCAAGCUUAACUCAAGAGGGCUAGUCGGCAGCGGACAGCCAGUCGGGGCCGGCAGCUCAGUGCUGUCCGGGCAGCUUCUCCUUGAUCUUGUCCAUGAGUCCCUUCUUCUCGCCGGCGCCAGCACCGGCCAUUCGUGCGUGCCCUUGCUGCCCGUAAUCUCCGCCGGUCCCAGUUCCCGCGGCCGUGUGCUGCCCGUAGGCCCCGCCAGCUCCGGUUCCCGCGGCCAUGUGCUGCUGACUGUCUUUGUGGCCACCGGGGAGCUUCUCCUUGAUCUUCUCCUUCACGCCCUUCUUCCUCCUCCCGCCCAUGCCGUCAUCCUCAGAAGACUGCAAACACGUACACACAACAGCGACGGAGAUCAGCAGAUGCACAUAUGUCUGAAAGACUGGAACAUACUACCAAAGAAAACGUUUUCUGAAAUGGAAGUAUGGAACACGCAGAGGUAGAAACCGCACCGAGCUGGAGCUGGAGCUGCCGGAGCGGUGCAGUAUCCCGCCGGUCUUGUGCUCCUCCCUGCCGUGCUGGAGCUGCCCGCCGGCGCCCGUGAACGCGCCGGCGGCGGAGCGUGCCACAGGGUUGCCGUGCCCGGCCACGGGGUCGCCGUGCUCGUCGACGGCGUGACCGUGCUGCCCCUGGUACUCCUCCAUCUUUGUUACUACUACCGUUGUUGGACUUGCUGCUGUAUCUAUCCCCUGAACCGGUCCCAAAAUGGACUCCAAAGCCUAGUUUUGUAGCGCUACACGGUGGGUGUUUAUACUGCGGCGCGAGCCAGACCCACGGCAGCGAGGUGCGUGCGCAACCCAUACGUGGUGGGUUGGGACUUGGGAGGUGGACGUGGCUAGCUGUCCUCGGCGACAGACCGGCAAGUGCGUGUAUGCGCCGUGGCGCCCGGAGCGCGGCAGGUGCGCCUUGGGUUAUUCUGGAGGCCGGUGACUCGACAGAUCGGCUCGUUCUGGUGUUCUUCUCUUCUUCUGAUGACAAACGACGGUGCGUUUCGUUGUUGCUCUGCCCGCUAGACGAAGCUCUGCGUGUCGCCGCGUGAUCGAUUGCAACUGUAAGCAGAACGGAAAAAGGCUCGAUCGGCCGUAUGACUCAGGACCGUGGCAGACGUACAACUUACAAGCAGCUAUGCAUAUAAGCUUGGGUGUGGCUAGAUCCAACUCAAAACUUAAUUAAAUCUCAGUCAAAUGACACAACAUAUGAAAAAAGAAAAAAAAAUAACAGAAUUUUUUUUACAUGAAUCUCUAAUAUAAGAUUUCAUGACUGUAGCAUCGACGAAGUUUUCGUCCCAGUUGACUGAGAUUUAACAAUUUCAUAUAAGCUUUGUACGCCCAUCCUUACACGAUUUGAUCCCAGAGCAUAUCUGGUUUUGAUUUCCGGUUGGUUCAUUCGUUUCGUCGAUUUUAAGCCACUGGUCCAAUCGUAUAAAUGGUAGGUUUAACGGGGGCAACAAACAACAUAUAUCUCUGAUGUAUUUGGGAGAAACCGUAUUAGAAAAAAGACUACUGUGAGCAAUAUCUACAUUUUUGAUAAAUAGUGGAUUUUGUUGACUCAAAAUGAAACAUCAACGUGAUACAAACACAAGAAGCACACAUCCCGUCUUUAUGGUGAGACCUAAAGGAAAAGGUGGAAUGGGGUUUAAAGACCUUCGGACGUUCGACACACGUACACAAAAAUGCGCCGGCAAGCAGUCAUACAAGACCAAAACUAUGCAUAAGCGAGUAAAGAAAAAACUGAUUCAAUCGCAUUCAUGAUCGGCAAACUACAACAAUGACCAUAUCCACACCAACCAUCUCAUGACACCACACAUACGACGAGGUCCUUCAAUAGCAACGCCUUCAGAAAGAAAACGCCGCUCAAACGCUGCCGUCACCGAAUCAAACCACUCAAGGUUAGAAUCUAGGUUUUCACCCUGAAGAAUCAGUCCGAGCAAUGCCUUUAACAAAGUAACAACAUAAAAACAUGCAGUAGCUAGGUAUAACCAACUCGAAUCAGACUUAAGCUUUCACUCCAGAGCUCAGUGUAUCUGCAUAGAGAUCUUAGACGAUGGCUAGGACCACACUGUAUUCCACAAGGAGCAAAUACUUGGCAGUGGAAACAAGUUCAGGCACCUAGUGGUCAAGAGGUUUUCCUUUUUGAGACACUAGUCAAGAGGGGUAAGCUCGAGGGGGCGUCUUGCAUCCACAAUGAUAACAUCCCUAUAAGGUGUGUACUCUGACAUUUCUCGAUGUGAAGAAACAAAAGAGACCGCAACAGGCAUCACAUAGGGCCAAGUGGGCAAGUGGCGGUGCCAACUUAGAAAGGCUCAGAAAGUACUUCCUUCGUCUCAUAAUUUAAGAGCGUUUUAACUUUUGGGAGUAGCAACCAGCGCAAAUAGGUUCAGACGAUGGCACCAACUUAGCAAAAAGGUUGUUUACAAAUUUUGCAAUAAUAAAGAGUAACCCCGACCUCGAAAAGAGCUUCGAGAUCAAGCCUAACUAGGUCGCAGUUGCCAUGGUGAAGAUGCUAGCGAGCCUUGAGGGCAAAUCCAUGUAUCCAAGGAGGCCCAGCUGCCACACGGUGGAAUAUAGGCUAAUGAACUUCAAGACCAAGCCUGACGAGGUCCCAGCUGCCAUGUUAGAGCAUAUGUGCAUACGCCCCAAGCUUUGCAAAUUUUCAUGUAUUUUUAUUCAAGUUCUUGUGCGGUCCAUCAAAUGGAAGCAAAUUUGUAUGGUGAUACAAUCAACUACUCCCUCCGUCCCAACGCUCUUAUAUUAUGUUAUGGGACAGAGGGAGUUGCUCGCACUCUUAGAACUUGCGCUCCUAGACAGUAGAUUUAAUUGGUCAAACAAUCAAGCAUAACCAACUUUGUAGUCUUGACGGAGCCUUCUUCAACCUAGCUUGGAAUGACUCUUUUUCAAACACAACCCAAAAGGCUAGCUAGUCAUUAUUAUUGGAAAGUCUCGGCCGAGUGAAAUAUAACAUAAAUUACACCACUGAAAUAAGAGAGAGAGAGAGAGAGAGAGAGAGAGAGAGAGAGAGAGAAAGCUGGUCUCAUGCGCUAUAGCUGCACCCAUGCUUAUCAGUUCUGGUUCUUGUUCUUGUGCACAUUAAAUUUUGAAAUACUAGUUUUUAUUUUUCUAGUGGUCAACGAAAUUGAACAACAAGGAUGAUAAAAACAAGAAGAAAAAUUACUUAUUUCAGAACUGUAAUCCAUAGGCCAUAACAUAUGAGUCGAGUCAAGUAGAAAAACAUACUCAUUUUAUAACUGUAAUCCAUAGGCCAUAACAUAUGAGUUGAGUCAAGAAGAAAAACAUACUUAUUUUACAACUAUAAUCCAUGGGCCAUAACAUAUGUGUUGAGUCAUGGAUCGUCGGUGCUAUCUAUAUCAGGAGGUGUCAUAAAAGAAUUGAAUGGCCGCACUAGCAUAUCUCUCUUGCGAAAGAAUUCUUUUUCGUGAUCUUGUUUUCCACAGAAAAAAUCUGCACUGCUUGGGUGCAAGACAUUGGAUUCAUCUGGACAAAAUGCACACGAGGCUCUAAAGCGGCACAACGGCUUUUCUGUUGACAUUACAGAGAAAGAUAAAGACAGAAUUAGCUGCAAGUUACAUUAAUGAUAUGGAUAUACUCAAGUGGCUAGCAAACACAGUAUGGCGAAUGUAAAGAUAAAUUUAGGUAGUACCUAAGAUAGUGCAUGUUUCAACGACUAUUUGGCACCAGCGUCUAUCAAAAUAUAGCUCGGCAAAGAAGUGUUGCGUCUCGGCGGUGGCAUCCACUGGGCGAGCCGAAAAGCCGAGGUGGUACCAGAAAGUUUCCCUAAAACCGAUGCAGACGGCGUUCAUCUCUGUGGUGGGAGGAUACUCAGGAUACUCGAACUCGGCACCCUGCAUCUCAGCGAUCGAUCUCAAACCCUCAAUCAUAAGUAUUAAGUACUCGCCUGGAUGUAUGAGAGGGAGAGACGGAGAGAGUAUCAUACCGGGUUGUUGGAGUUGUAAUGUUCAAGGGCGACGUCAACAAGCUGAGAAAUUCGGAAGGCGACGAUAUCUCUGUCUCCAAAUAAACAAGGGUACACCAAAUAAAUAAACAUAAUAAGUACUCCUAUAAGAAUAGAAAUACAUGCAAGCAAUUGAGGAAAUUUACAGAAAUAAUAUAUCCAGUAGCUACGAAUUACAUACUCUUUUGACAUACGGCUGCCUGGGGGAGGGUUGGCGUAAUCAAAGGCAGCGGCGCCGCCGUCGCCGCCGGCAGUGGAAGAGAAUAAGGAACCCAUCGAUGGAUCAAUGUCCCGGUGCCUCUUGGCGGCUGGCCAAAGUAAAUAGAAGGAUUUCCCCGUAUAUGUCAGUAUAUGGUUAAGCCGAUCGGGAUCGGAGACUAGGAGUCCCUUUGCGUUACGGAAGAUAAAUAGCCUACGUUUGUUUAUGCUCCACAACAAAUAGCGUGUAGGCAGGCCGGCUGGUUGGAUCUGGGCCGCAGGAGGGCCGUGUGUCCACUGUCCAGCGGGGGGUUACGCCCUAAUAGCCUACGUUUUUUGCGUGCCUUGAUUUUCUUGUCUUUGUUUCUCAAAUCUCUGGUGAUUGCAACCCGUAGACUGCCGCUGCUUGCUUGUACAGGCGCAGGUACGAGUUACAAAACCGACUCGUGCUAGACCAAGCAAACUCCAAACCGACUUAAGCUAAGCUUUCCAAUUGUACUUGCACACGUAGCCUACUAAGCACAAAGACAUUUUCCUAACCCUAAUGAUAAAUGCCACACGUGGGAUGUGUGGCACUCCAGCCCUGACGUUUUUCGAUGACAAGGCACGCAAGGAUGGCAAAUUCUAGUGGCACGCGGCAAGUUUCUUUCAAAAACAAACAAAAGCACAAAAGUUGCCAUGCUUGCCUCAAAUCAUUUUGACCGACAUAACCCUACUUCCCAUUCAUCUCGCGACGAACCACAUUCCACGGUUGUUGGUGAGAGCGGCAGUGGCGGCGGGGUACAUAGGGGGCUGAGAGCCGUAGUCGUGGCAAGGAUGAUGGCGAUGUUGGGAUGGACACGUGUUGCACAGUGGAUGUCUCUUUUUCAGACGUUGAAGCUGAGCGAUUCCCUUUUUCUUUUUUCUUUUCCUUUUCUCCUCCUUUACUUUUUUUUCAGUUUUUUGAAUUUUCUUUUUCCAAGUGCCAAACAUUUUUUUAUUCAUCAAAUUAAGAAAAUGUUCAUCAAUUUCGAAACUUGUUCAUAGUUUUCAAAAAAAAUCAUCAAAUACAAAAUUUGUUCAUUGAAUUCAAUAUUUGUUCAUCCAUUUUUCAAAAAAUGGUUCUUGAAUAAAACUUUUGUUCAUCAAGUUCAAUUUUCUUUAUCAAAAAAUUAUUCUAAAAUAAAAAAUGCUCAAUUUUUUCAUCAAAAUAAAAAAUUCAUUCUUCUGAUAUUGCGAACAUUUUUUAAUUCAAGAACUAUUUUGUACAAUUCAAAAUUUUAUGAAAUUUAAGAACCCAUCCCGUAUUAUUUUAAGAUAUAGAAUAAAACAAAAAGUGAAAAUAGGAGGAAAAGUAAAAAAGGGAAAACAAAAUGGGGGGCGUCCGCCCUGUGCGGAGGUGUGUGUUCCUGCGUCUUGGGGCGCACAGGCCGCUAAAUUGGACCUCCCUUCGAAGGGAGGUCUUUUUUUUCCUAGUCCCUUCGUGGACAUAUUCCACGUCUCACGCCCGCUCUAAUUCUUGCAAACGCUUGUGAAAAUUUGAAGCAUGGUAUAGUACAUUGUUACAGGGCCUCGGCAAGGUGUGCAUGCAUGGUUUCAAAUUCUGAAUAUGGUUUUUGAUGAUGAAUAAAUAAAAUCUUUCAUCCCUCAAGAAAAAGAACCUGUGAAAGUGCCAAGGUGCAAAAAAGAUGUUGCAGCCUUAAGGCUGGAUUCAGCCAGCGAUGAGCGCGUACGUACGUGAUUCUUGCACUUUGCACUGCAGGGUACGGGGCAGAAGGAGAUCAUAGGCAUUCGAGAAGGUCUCUGAUUGUUGAUGUUGAGUCAGACAACCUUGAAGCAGUGAAGAUGAUUGAAGAGAUGGAUAGAUCAAAAUAUGCUUUUCUGAUAGGGGAGAUCAAAGCUAGUUUGAUUGAGCAUAAUUCUUGUAUUUCGUCCGUUUCAAAUUACUCGUCGCAGAAAUGGAUGUAUCUAAAUGUACCUAGAACUUCUAGAUACAUCCAUUUCUGCGACGAGUAAUUUGGAACGGAGGGAGUAUUACUCAUGUUGUGCGCAGCAAAAAUAAUGCUAGUCACUUUUUAGCAAAUUUUGGACGAUCACAAUGCCGAACUGUUGUGUGGCUUGGAUCGAUCCUGAUGAACUCCUUAACAUUGCCGGUCGUGAUUGUAACCCUGGAUAGUUUUGAGUAAUACUAUACAAGAGUAUUAUCCCGCAAAAAAAAAAGGUACAGGGCAGAAGAAGAAGAAGGCGAAUGUACGCGGGGCACUUCUUGAUUGAUUCUUGUGCUAUGCGCAGCAAUAUAAAUACGGGAGGGCAGCACCCCCAACCAACGGCCCAACCGCCUCCCCAACCAAUUCUUCUUCAAACUCCCGCCACCCCCAACGGCCGCCUCCAUGGCCUCGUCCUCCUCCUCCUCCAUGCCCUCCACCGCCGCCUCCUCCUCGCGGCCCCCCGCCGACGGAGCGCUCGCGCCGAGCCUCGACUACGACACGGCCUUUCCGGUUCUGGGGAGUUUGCCACCGCGUCCUCCCAGGGGCGGGAGAGCAGCGCCGCCGCCGCGUCCUCCGAGGAGGAGCGAGGACCGUCGGCGAGGAGGGAAGACGCCCAGCUACACGUUCGACGGGGACACCGUAGGCAUGUCGCUUGGUUCGCUCUACGGGCGCGCGGACAAUGCCGCAGCGGAGACGACUGCGGCCACGGCCGAGGCGGACGCCGCAGCGGGGACGACCUCGGCGACUCCUCCGAACUCUGUCGAUCCCGCCACGACGACCAAGGCGGGGACCUUCGCCGCAGCGAAGGCGGUUCUCUCAGGUGCGAUCAGUCCCCUCCCGGCCGAGUUCUCCUGUUGAUUUCUUGUUCUUGCUUUCUUGCAAACUAAUCGGAGGAAUUCGUUCAGGGCUUCCCGCCCUGUUGCCUGCUGUGCAGGUGUUCGGCGACUACCGCUUCGGGUACACGAUGGGCGACCUCUUCCAGGACCUCGAGAAGCUCCAGCUCGGGUCGCCGAACGUCAACGAGCCGAUGCAUCCGCCGCCGCUCCAGUUUCAGGUCCAGCCGCCGCUCCGAUCCCAGCGGCUUCAGGCCCCCCGCUACUUCAACGCGCCGAUGGCUCAGGUUCAGCUCCAGGGGCCUCCGCCCCAGUUCGCGCCGCCACGCUUCGGCGGGCAGCAGCCUCAGGUCCCAGCUCGCCCGCUACACGCCAUGGAAGUUCCACGGCUACCCGUUGGCGUCGAGCCCUCCGGUGUUCAUACGGGUUCAGUUCGAGCAUCAGCAGGGAUCUUUCACGGGUUUCGUCAGGGUACAGGGCAGGUACACUACGAUUUUGCACAGGAAUUUGUCAUGAACUGCAACUGGUGGUGUUCACAUUUUGGUGUAGAUGCUAUUAGCUGCAUUGCAAUGAUCUCUUGGGUUAUAUUUUUGUGCUAAUCUGCUUGUGCUUGAUACAGUUUACUGAAACUGUUUUAGUCCAAGAAACAGUUAACUGAAACUGUUGUAGUCUGAAAAAACAGUUAACUGAAACUCUUGUAGUCUGAAAAAACAGUUUUCUGACACUCUUGUGGUCUAAAACUGACAGGUGUUGGGGAUUGUCUGCAACUGUUGUAAUCUUGUUGAUAAGUAGAUUAAGAUCUGUUAUUGGGGAAAUAAAUCAUUAUGGAACUUAAAACUCCAAAUCAUUUGAAUUAGCCCAUUUGUCAGGACAGGUACACCACGAUUUUGCACAGGAAUUUGUCAUGAACUGCAACUGAAGGUCUUUGAUUAAAUUGUCAUGCACAACGUUCAGAUUCUGGUGUAGAUGCUGUUUGCUGCAAUACAAUGAUCUUUUGGGGUUUAUUAUUGCGCUAAUCUGCUACUGCUUGAUACGAUUUACUGAAACUUUUUUACUCCCAGAAACAGUUUACUGAAACUGUUGUAUGAAAAAACAGUUAACUGAAACUCUUGUAGUCUAAAACUGAUAGGUUUUGGGAAUUGUCUGCAUGCAACUUUUUUUUUAGGAAUUGUCUGCAUGCAACUGUUGUAAUCUUGUAGAUAAGUAAAAUAAGAUCUGUUAUUGGGGGAAUAAAUCAUUAUGGAACUUAAAACACCCACUCAGUUGAUUCAUCUCCUUUUGUCCUUAGCAUAGAAGAUGCUGUGGUAUCCAUUUGAAUUAGCGUCGAAUAACUAUGUGAAAAUUAAAUGAGAUUUCAGGUUCUAACAAUACUAAAUUAAAUGAAUCUGAUUUCUGCACAUAAGCUAUAUUCAGGUUUUGUACAUUAGCUGUAAUCUUAGUUGUUUCUUUUUAUUCUACAAAAUUCUGAGAUUUAGAUUGUUCAUCUGCCUCCUUCUGAUCUUCUUUGGCGAGAAUGUACUCUGAUCUUGAAUCUAUUAUGCAGAAUCUACAGAUGUUGGUGUAGAUACUAUUUUACUACAUGAAAAUAUUUAGAAUCUUACUUUAGUUGAGUGCUAAUCUGAUCGUGCUUGGAAAAAGGUUACUAUAGAAGAGUAAAAGUAGUUCAUUUAGGAUUUGGUAGUAGUCUGAAACUGUUGCAGUCUUAUGGAAGAGUAAAAGUAGUUCAUUUAGGAUUUGGUAGUUGCCUGAAACUGUUGCAGUCUAAUAGAAGAGUAAAAGUAGUUUGAUUUGCCUUGUGAAUUUUUUCACUCCUUGAUUCAUAUAAUUCAGUUCCAUUCUGGAACAUUUGCCUAUAGAUAAAUAGGCAAAUCAAGUUCAGUCAUCUGAUUUCACCUUUGCAUAGUAAUAUACUAAUUUUCUAACCUCUGAAUUAAUUCCUCAAAAAACAAACCUCUGGACAUAAUUCAGUUAGUAUUUGUACAAUAUCACAUUUAUAAUCAUUACAACUUUACAAGGAUGGCACAUUACAUUGUUUGAAGGUACAGGACAGGUACACUAACAUUUUGCACAGGAAUUUGUCAUGCACAGUAACUGAAGGUCUUUGAUUUAAUUUGUCAUCCACUACGUUCAGAUUCUAGUGUAGAUGCUUUUUGCUGCAUUACAAUGAUCUUUUGGGGUUUAUUAUUGUGCUAAUCUUCUUGUGCUUGAUACGGUUUACUGAAACUUUUUUACUCCCAGAAACAGUUUACUGAAACUGUUGUAGGAUAAAACAGUUAAAUGAACUCAUGUAGUCUAAAAGACUAAAACUGGCAGGUUUUGGGAAUUGUCUGCAUGCAACUGUUGUAAUCUUGUAGACAAGUAAAAGAAGAUGCGUUAUUGGGGGAAUACAUUAUUAUGAAACUUAAAACUCCAAAUCAGUUGAUUCAUCUCCUUUUGGCCUUAACAUAGAAGAUGGUGAUAUCCAUUUGAUUUAGCCCAUUUUACUUGCGUCGAAUCAGUCUGUGAACAAAAUUCAGGUUCCAACAAUUCUAAUUAAAUGAAUCAUAUUUCUGCCCAGGAGCUGUAUUCAGGUUUUGUACAUGAGCUGUAAUCUUGGUCUUGUUUUUCUUUAUCUGCAAAAUUCUGAGAUUUAGAGCAAUUCUUGUCCCGUUCUUUCUGAAUCUGCGGUUUCUAAACGAUUCUUUGCGACCAAAUGCAGGGGAGGCAGUACUUGGUGCAGCCCCGCCGCGGCGACUCCGGCAGCUGCGGGGUCAUUCUCCUCCGCACGGGGGCGCUGGACUGGGAGGUUCGCUGUGUCCGGUCGGCAGGCGAUGGCGAUAACGCCAUGCCAAGCACGAGUGGUAACGCCAUCACGUCGGGCACCGCUGGUGAGAUGCUCCCUGCAUGUCUCUAGCUAACUGCACCGUACCUUGGUUGUUAUGCAAGAAUUUUUAGUCUUGAUCCAUCACUGAGAUUGUUCAUCUGUGUUUUGUAGAUAGAUUACAAGAAAUUUAUUUACCCUAAAUAAAGGUUAAAAGAAACACCUUAGCAUGUCUGUUUUGACACUACUUUGGCCACACCAAAUUUUGACACUGCUUGGCCACUGUUCAACUGCUUUGCUCUUGAUGACUUCAGCUAAAGUCGGAGGCCCGAAGGCGGCGAGGGACGUGUUGUUGGCGCGUGGGAGGUUCGGGGGCGGGGUGGCGAUCCGACUCAGGGUGGCCACCAACAUUGGGGCCACGUACUGGUUCCUGGGGCUCAAGGACUGGGUCGGUGAGCUCAUGGGUGCACCGCCACGGUAUCGCCCCACGGAGUCGUGGAGCUGGCUAGAUAUUAUGGGAUGUCCAAUCCCCCAGGACAUAAAGGGUGAGUCAGGCUUGCACUCAAGGAAUUAAUGCAUCAUCAACAUCAUGAUUAUUAUUCCUUCUUGAGCUAGCUAGCUAGCUAGCUCGGCCGGCUGGGCCUGGGCUGACCUUGUUGUGUUGUGAUUUCAGACACGUGCAGUCAGAGCUCCUGCCUGAUGUGCUUGGAGGCCCAGCACCGGCUGGCGUUCGAGAGGAGGCACGGCAGCGAUACGUUCCCGUAUUACAUCCCUGAUUCCACGGCCACGGACUUGGUGAAGAGAUGCAAAGCUGCCCGCGUCUGGAACCGCAAGGACGGCGCCACCAUUGACAACGUGCUGAAGCAAAUCCAGCGGGCCGGCGGGGCGGAGGCUUGGCCAGACCAGGACGGCUGGGGGCGGCGGUGCAACCUCCAGGUAAAGUCAUGGGAAACCUGGUCGUUCAAGCGGCUGCCCUCGGCCUCCAGCCUCGCGCGUAUGAUCCGCACUGAGGGGCCACUCAUCGGUGGUUUGGUCGUCGGAGAGGAUUACUACGCGGAUGGCUGGGAGAAGCGAGUAUACAGGGGAGGCUCGGGAAAGAAGGCAGGGCCUCACGGCGUGGUCUGCACGGGAUACCGGUACGAGCAGGGCGAGGAGAAGAUACAGGUGGUGGAGAACCACGAUUGGGAUGGGCCAGCCCGGUGGAUUUACAGGACGGCCUUCACGGACUUUACCCAGAUCAAGGUUGAGCCGCUGGACGCCUCCCCUCUCUUUAUCGGGAAGGAGGUGAGCUGGUGGCGCCGCCUUGAGCGCAGGCUUUGGAGGGAAGAGACGUGCUGGUGGCUCCGCCGCCAUGGUAUUAGCGAGCAAUGGAACAAGACCAUGGCUCUUGACAUGAAGCACUAGGUUUCACCUGUAGGACAGUCGGAAAAAGGACACUGGUACAUGAGUGACUAUUAUUGAUUCCCUACAUGCAAUGCAAGACCCUUCACUUUUUCUUUUCUUUUUGAAAUGUGCAACACCCUUCGCUUGACAGGCACACUUAGGACUAGCUAGCUAGGCAGUUUAGAUUCUAAUCAAGCAAUGGUAUGAUGUAUUCAUGUACAAGUGAUCAUUUAUAAUUUUAAUAAUAACUAGCACAAAUGCCCGCACGUUGCAAUGCAAGAAAAAGAAUAGGAAAACACUACGACAUGACGGGCAUAUGUCCCGACAGGCAUACACAUUGGCGUCUCACCCAUGAUGUCAUCAUCACAUAAGCAAUGGGUUGUACAUCUCCACUCCUUGACGAGAUCAGACGGCACUAGUAUGGUUGGCUGGUUGCACACCGCGAUGAACGCUUGCACCGUAUCUUUAAAAAAAAGAAGAAGUAUAGAACACCCUUACCCUAAUUAAUAAGAAAGGCUCAAGGACCCUCUCCACCUGUCCACGCCCUCAAUAUCAAAACGGAAUACCACAUUGACACCGCUUAUCCUCCAUCCCACCCCUUGCCAACGAUAGCUUACGGAUGUUAAAUAACAACUAUGCUAAAAUUAUUUAGUGAUUUGUAUUUAUAACCCAUCUCACAUCAUAUAAUGAUAUAAGAAGAUGUAAAGAAACAUCAUUUGGAAAAUAAUUUCUAGAUUAUUAUGCUGUUUAGAAUUAUUACUAUAGAGUUUUAAAUAAGUAAUUUUGAAUUAGCAAGUUGGAAGGAAAUUGCACACUGUAAUUUCAAGUCCAACAGUCCAACUUAGAAGGCUCCAUCAAAUAUAUAUGCUGUUUAGAAUUAUUACUAUAGAGUUUAAAAUAAGUAAAUUUGAAUUAGCAAGUUGGAAGGAAAUUGCACACUGUAAUUUCAAGUCCAACAGUCCAACUUAGAAGGCUCCAUCAAAUAUAUAUGUUGUUUAGAAUUAUUACUAUAGAGUUUAAAAUAAGUAAAUUUGAAUUAGCAAGUUGGAAGGAAAUUGUAUACUGUAAUUUCAAGUCCAACAGUCCAACUUAGAAGGCUCCAUCAAAUAUAUAUGUUGUUUAGAAUUACUACUAUAGAGUUUAAAAUAAGAAAAUUUGAAUUAGCAAGUUGGAAGGAAAUUGUACACUAUAAUUUCAAGUAUAGGUUAGACGGAUCCAUCAAAUAUAAUGUACAUCUAUGGUCUGAAUUCUUCCCUUUUUAAGACAUCCAUGAACAUUCAGUUACAUUUUAGUUCCAUAGCCCAAGAUCAAUUGUGAAUCAUGAACCCUAAGAAACGGGAUCAAGGAGUCAAUAUUGAACUUCAAAAUGGAAAGAUGAAACAUUAUGGUGCAUACAUGUUCCUGUGGGGAACCUCUGUACCUCUCCGUAGCGCACUGUAGCAUCACAUGAAGCCACCUUGUCAAAAGUAUAUCCCCCCAAAAAACCUAGCAUCAACUGUAAAUCAAACCAAGAGCUUCUUCCAUAGAGUGUAGAUGUCAUAGCACCGCAACAGCACACGCUCCACAAUGUUAGUAGCAGAAUCUUGUGCAUCCAUAUUUUGUGAAGGCGGCGAGGCGCUCGUCCAAGACUAGCCGUUGAUGGCAUCCACUGCGUGACCACGCCCACGACAAGUCAUCCUGUUGACGGUAUCCUAGGCUAGGGGGUACCAACCUAGCCGGUCCAUGCACUUCAGGCUGGGCCAAAGGGCUCUCAUUCUUCACAAGAUGGACUCCGGGGGUCGUACGCCGGGGAGAAGAUCAAGACCGCAUCUAUCAAAGACUUGCCAUAUACUCCAAGACCUCUUCCGCCGCCUCCAAGCCAUGAUACCAACCUUGUAACCCUAGAUGCCCUACUCGGCGUGUAUAUAAGCCGAGGGGUUUAGCCCAUAGAGGGGACAUAAACGCAAUCUCAUUCUCCUAGCCCUAGAGUUAGAACACAUUUGAAGAUCUCGAGGUAGAUCAACUCUGUACUUGUAACAUCUCCGUCAAUAUAAACAAGAGCAGGCCAUAGGGUUUUACCUGCAUUAAGAGGGCCCGAACCUAGGAAAACAUCAUCUCCCUGUUCCGGUUACCAUCUGCCCAAGAUCUACAACUCGGGACCCCCUACCCCGAGAUCUGCCGGUUUCUACACUGACACUGGUGCUUUCAUUAAGAUUUCCGCUGUGAGAUCGAUAGAAGGAUCGAUGGCUCAUCUGCAAAUAACUUGUGACAACCAUUGCGGGAACGUUUAUGUCCCCGCCCAACUCUUUGUGUUCGACGGCAUGACCUUCUGCGCUGACUCGGCUGGCCAUCUGGCUUCUGAGCAGAACUAUGCCCCAGGUCAGAUCGUGACCUUUGAAGGCUUGGAUUACACCACGGAUUCCCGUGGAGAGCUCAUCCUGACAAGCUGGACUCCCAGCUAGGGGGUGGAGUCUCCUGACAACAGAAUCGCAACUCCGGGACCGACCUUCGUUGAGAAUGUCGGGCUGCGAUCUUUGGCAUUGCCGGAGAGUCCUGACGUAACGACCCCGGAUGAUCUCUCCUCGACCCCUGCUCCCGAUUCAAAUCCGGCCCCUAUCUCUGAAUCUGCAUCAAAUUCAGAGUAGAACCAUCCACGGGUCCUCUCCGUGCUGAGACCACACCGAGCUUAUGCCGGCCAUACUUCAAGUCAGCCCUGCCUAUAGGUAGGCCGUGACUAUCGAAGAGCUGUCUCGCUUAAACGAGAUGCUUGCCCGCAUCCAGAGCAUGUCAAUCAUGGACGGCAAGACUUCGGUUUACGACAAAAUCGGACUUAAAAUCAAUGACUGGGAAAUUUACAUCCCACCACCACCCACCUAGUCGCCACCGUUGAUGAUUUAACCGAUAUACUCGACAACGAUGAAGCAAACGACAUGGAUGAAGAUGUUGAGGGCCUCUCUGGAAACACCUCGCCGUUGAGAAAAACCGGUAAAUGGAUAGCAACAUCAACCUGCGAUGUCUACAUGGUCGACACCCCAAAAUCCCCUCUAAGAUGUCGGUGCAGACACAGAAGGGGUACCAAUGGGGAACCCAGCGGGAAGAACGCUACUGCCGACACAGCGGCCAAAGAGGCAUAGCGUCCAGGGGAGGACUUUCAAGCCUCCCCAGAUCGCCAUGUCGAUCCUGAAUGAAUCCCAGGAACUCGGAUCCCGGCGACCUCUUUGAAGGGGCCGAUGAUAUCUACAUGCCGGAAUCCGAGGAGGAUGUGAGCCUCGGAACUGAAGACCUCAUAGUUCCAGAAAACCCCGUUGAGCAGGAACGCUUCCGGCGGCGCCUAGUCGCUACCGCUCGUAGCAUGAAGCGGAAACAACAACAACAGCUGCAGGCCAAUGAAGAUGCAUUAAAUAACAAGUGGGUCAAAAUACUUUCGGCCGAACGAGACCUUGAAGAGCGGCACCAUACCGCGCCUAAAUCUUACCCACGUAGACGCUUACUACCUGAAUUCGACGACGAACUAACCGUUGAUGUACCUGACCGUCCCCCUUGAGGACGAGACAAACUAGCAUGGGAGGAUUUCCACACUCAACCCACUCAUUGUCGUUAUGGCAAGGACCUAGUGGAUUAUUUAGAACCUCACGACAUUCAACGACAUAUCGAGGCAAACCGGGCGCCUCCUCAGUCCAUCUAUGGAUCACGAGGACGUGCGCUUAUCGGGCCGGACGGUUACAAUGCCUGGUUAGACAGGAACAGUCGGGCCCAAGACCAAGCCUACACACGGCUUUCUCCCGACCUCCGAUGGGAUACCACUCAGUACCGAGGUCUAGCGCACCCGAGUUGUUUUACAUACAGGGUAAUGGAACAUCAAUUCCCAGAAGGGUUUAAGCCUAUCAAUACAGAAUCAUACGAUGGCACUACAGACCCAUCAGUACGGAUUGAAGAUUUUCUUCUCCAUAUUCAUAUAGCUAAUGGAUAUGACCUCCAGGCCAUCAAAUACUUGUCGCUCAAGUUAAAAGGGACAACAAGGCAUUGGCUUAACAGCCUGCCUCCGCAAUAUGAUUGGAAAGUUUGCCCACUGGUUGAAGUUCACGUCAUAAGUGAUGUCCACAUCAAUGGCUCAAUCAGACCACGAUCUUAAAUCACUCACUUUCAAUGUGGAGAGAUGUUGAUUUGAGCGGGAGCGCACUUUAUAUUAAAAUUUGUUUAAACAUUAGUGCAUCUUAAUUAUAAACAAUGCCUAAGUUUAGGUUGCAUUAUAGUUGUAGAAUUAGGGAUCACAGUUCCACCUUUUAUGUUGAAAUUGAUUGAGAUGUUUUAUUUGGUUAUAUCUUUAUGAUUGCUAAACAUAAUUAGAGGAUCGCCCUAUAGAGUGCCGAGAUUACACACUUACAAUACUGUUGACCCACAAGUAUAGGGGAUCUAUCGUAGUCCUUUCGAUAAGUAAGAGUGUCGAACCCAAUGAGGAGCAGAAGGAAAUGAUAAGCGGUUUUCAGCAAGGUAUUCUCUGCAAGCACUGAAAUAAUAAGUAAUAGAUAGUUUUGUGAUAGGAUAAUCUGUAACGAGCAACAAGUAACAAAAGUAAACAAAGUGCAGCAAGGUGGCCCAAUCCUUUUUGUAGCAAAGGACAAGCCUGGACAAACUCUUAUAUAGAGAAAAGCGCUCCCGAGGACACAUGGGAAUUAUCGUCAAGCUAGUUUUCAUCACGUUCAUAUGAUUCGCGUUCGGUACUUUGCUAAUUUGAUAUGUGGGUGGACCGGUGCUUGGGUGUUGUUCUUACUUGAACAAGCAUCCCACUUAUGAUUAACCUCUAUUGCAAGCAUCCACAACUACAACAAAAGUAUUAAGGUAAACCUAACCAUAGCAUGAAACAUAUGGAUCCAAAUCAGCCCCUUACGAAGCAACGCAUAAACUAGGGUUUAAGCUUCUGUCACUCUAGCAACCCAUUAUCUACUUAUUACUUCCCAAUUCCUUCAUCUAGGCCGAAAUAAUGGUGAAGUGUCAUGUAGUCGACGUUCACAUAACACCACUAGAGGAGAGACAACAUACAUCUCAUCAAAAUAUCGAAUGAAUACCAAAUUCACAUGACUACUAAUAGCAAGACUUGUCCCAUGUCCUCAAAAACAAACGUAACUACUCACAAAUCAUAUUCAUGUUCAUAAUCAGAGGGGUAUUAAUAUGCAUAAAGGAUUUGAACAUAUGAUCUUCCACCAAAUAAACCAACUAGCAUCAACUACAAGGAGUAAUCAACACUACUCGCAACCUACAGGCACCAAUCCUGGACUUAGAGACAAGAAUUGGAUACAAGAGAUGAACUAGGGUUUUGAGAGGAGAUGGUGCCGGUGAAGAUGUUGAUGGAGAUUGCCCUCUCCCGAUGAGAGGAGCGUUGGUGAUGACAAUGGCGAUGAUUUCCCCUCCCGGAGGGAAGUGUCCCCGGCAGAACAGCUCUGCCGGAGCCCUAGAUUGGUUCCGCCAAGGUUCCGCCUCGUGGCGGCGGAGUCUCGUCCCGAAGGUUUGCUUAUGAUUUUUCUUCGGACGAAAGACUUCAUAUAGCAGAAGAUGGCCACCGGAGAGCCAACACGGGGCCCACGAGGCAGGGGGGCGCCCCCCCACCCUCAUGGACAUGUGGUGGCCCCCCUUACGUAUUUUUUCCGCUCAGUAUUUUUUAUUAUUUCCAAAAAUAACUUUCGUGGACUUUCAGGACUUUUGGAGUUGUGUAGAAUAGGUCUCCAAUAUUUGCUCCUUUUCCAGCCCAGAAUUCCAACUGCCGGCAUUCUCCCUUCUUAUGUAAACCUUGUAAAAUGAGAGAGAAUAGGCAUAAGUAUUGUGACAUAACGUGUAAUAACAUCCCAUAAUGCAAUAAAUAUCGAUAUAAAAGCAUGAUGCAAAAUGGACGUAUCAACUCCCCCAAGCUUAGACCUCGCUUGUCCUCAAGCGGAAGCCGAUAACGAUAAAUAUGUCCACAUGUUUAGAGGUAGAGGUGUCGAUAAAAUAAAAUACGGACAUGAGGGCAUCAUGAUUAUUCUCAUAAUAGCAACAUAUGUGGAUAUUUUCAUAUCAUUUCUUAUGCUCAAGUAAUAAUCUAUUCACAAUGCAAAGUAUGAAUCAGAAACUUUAUUGAGAACUAACAAACUAUAAUCUCAGUCAUUGAAGCAAUUGCAAUUUAUCAUAUCAUCAUAAAGAGUCUAUGUUAGAGCUUUCUAGCAAGUCCACAUACUCAACUAUCAUUUAGUCUUUCAUAAUUGCUAACACUCACGCAAUACUUGUGGUUACAGAGCUUUAAUCGGACACAGAGAAAGAUAGGGGCUUAUAGUUUCGCCUCCCAACCUUUUACCUCAAGGGUAAUGUCAACAAUAAUAACUCAUGCUAACUUACAUCCAAUUAGAUAUAUCUAUUAGGAUCUUUCCAACACCAUGUGCUUGCCAAAGGAUAAAAUGUAAAAAGGAAAGGUGAAGAUCACCAUGACUCUUGCAUAAGGUAGAAGAUAAUAAUAAAAGAUAGGCCCUUCGUAGAGGGAAGCAGAGGUUGCCAUGCGCUUUCAGGGUCGGAUGCACAAAAUCUUAAUGCGAAAGAACGUCACUUUAUAUUGCCACUUGUGAUAUGGACCUUUAUUAUGCAGUCCGUCGCUUUUAUUUCUUCCACAUCACAAUAUCGUAUAAAGCUUAUUUUCUCCACACCAAUCAAUCAUACAUAUUUAGAGAGCAAUUUUUAUUGCUUGCACCGAUGACAACUUACUUGAAGGAUCUUACUCAAUCCAUAGGUAGAUAUGAUGGACUCUCAUGGCAAAACUGGUUUAAGGAUAUUCGGAAGCACAAGUAGUAUCUCUACUUAGUGCAAAGAAUUUGGCUAGCAUGAGGGGGAAAGGCAAGCUCAACAUGUUGGAUGAUCCAUGACAAUAUACUUUAUCUCAGAUAUAAGAAAACAUAACCCAUUACGUUGUCUUCCUUGUCCAACAUCAACUCUUUAGCAUGUCAUAUUUUAAUGAGUGCUCACAAUCAUAAAAGAUGUCCAAGAUAGUAUAUUUAUAUGUGAAACCUUUCUUUCUUUAUUACUUCCUAUUAAUUGCAACGAUGACCAAAGCUAUGUUUGUUAACUCUCAACAAAUUUUAAUCAUCAUACUCUUUCUAUGUGAAGUCAUUACUCUCAAUAAGAUCAAUAUGAUCUCUUUAUUUAUUUUUAUUCUUUUCUCUAUAUUUUUUUCUUUUAUUCACUCAAGAUCAUGGCAAAAUAAUCAAGCCCUUGACUCAACACUAAUCUUUAUUAUAUAGCUCACAGACUCGAUUACAUAGAGAGAUCAUAAAGUCGAUUACAUAGAGAGAUCAUAAAGCAAAACUCAAAACUAGAUCAUACCAAAACUUUAUUCUACUAGAUCAAGAUACUACUAAAAGGAUCGAACUUAGAAAAACGGUAAAGAUAGGAGUGUGAUGGUGAUACGAUACCGGGGCAUCUCCCCCAAGCUUGCCAGUUGUCAAGGGGAGUGCCCAUACCCAUGUGAUUAUGUCUCCUUCUUCGGGGAUGGUGAUGUGAUUGUUGAUGAUGUAGGCUUGUCGUCCAUCUUCCAAGGCAUAGGCUCACCAUCAUAGAAGGAUGAUCGAGUCUCCGGGAUCCUUAAAUCUGCAGCCAAACUCAUCCUCUUGAAUCUAUAUUCAUACUCACAGUUUUGGUUUUGCAGGUCAUAGAUUUGGGCUUGGAGGUGCUCGAUUUUCUCGUGAAGCUUGAAGAUGGCCUCCCCAAUGUCCUUGGCAUCCAGCUUGUGGUUGUUGGUGAACUCCGUGAUCAUUAUGUGAUUGGAGUCAAGUCCACGCUCCACCAUCUCCUGGCACUUGAAAACUUGUUGCUCCAUUGCUUCAAGCCUUGUCUCCAUGCUUCCGGUCCUCCGUGGUCCCUCAACAUCGCGGAUGUGCAGCACCCCCUCACGCAUCUCAAUGGUUUGAGGGUCUUGCAGCACCUCCGCGAGGUAGGGGUUCAUGACCUUCUCGAAGAACUUGUCCUUGGGGGUACUUGGAGACGUCAUGAUGAUCUAGAUCUGUUAGAAAAACAGCUCGAAACAAGAACAGAGGAUAUUUGCGUGAUACAGGAUUCAAAACCUUCAGGAGAUUAUAUAAUGAAUUUUUACCGACCAAAAUACGUAACAUGCAAGAAAACGGAGUCCGGAGAGCACACGAGGUGCCCACGAGGUAGGGGGCGCGCCCAAGGGGGUAGGGCGCGCCCUCCACCCUCGUGUCCUUCCCGGACUGCUUCUUAUUUUUCUAUUUUUCUAAAUAUUCCAAAACAGGGAAAUAUUACCAUUAGAAUUGUUUUGGAGUCGGUUUACUUACCGUACCACAUACCUAUUCCUUUUCGGAGCCUGAAAUGUUCCGAAAAGUGUCCCUUAUGUAUUCCUCCGGGGUUACGGUUUCAAUAACAUUGGUUUCAACAUUUAUGGGAUUACCUGAGAUAUAAUGUUUGAUUCUUUGACCGUUCACCACCUUCGGAUUUGUGCCUUCGAAGUUGUUUAUUUUUAUGGCACCGGAACGAUAGACCUCCUCGAUAACGUAAGGGCCUUCCCAUUUAGAGAGAAGUUUUCCUACAAAAAAUCUUAAACGAGAGUUGUAUAGCAAUACAUAAUCACCAACAUUAAACUCACGCUUUUGUAUCCUUUUGUCAUGCCAUCUUUUAACUUUUUCUUUAAACGACUUGGCAUUCUCAUAAGUUUGGGUUCUCCAUUCAUCAAGUGAGCUAAUGUCAAACAACAUCUUCUCACCGGCAAGUUUGAAAUCAUAAUUGAGCUCAUUAAUAGCCCAAUAUGCCUUAUGUUCUAGUUCGAGAGGUAAGUGACAUGCUUUUCCAUAAACCAUUUUAUACGGAGACAUACCCAUAGGAUUUUUAUAUGCAGUUCUAUAGGCACAUAAUGCAUCAUCAAGUUUCUUGGACCAAUUCUUUCUAGAUCUAUUAACAGUCUUUUGCAAAAUUAAUUUGAGUUCUCUAUUACUCAAUUCUACUUGACCACUAGACUGCGGAUGAUAAGGAGACGCAAUUCUAUGAUUAACAUCAUAUUUAUCAAGCAUUUUACGGAAAGCACCAUGAAUAAAAUGUGAACCACCAUCAGUCAUUAAAUAUCUAGGGACUCCAAGCCUCAAAAAAAUAACUUCCUUAAGCAUCUUAAUAGAAGUGUUAUGAUCAGCACUACUAGUUGGAAUAGCUUCUACCCACUUAGUAACGUAAUCAACAUCAACUAAAAUAUGUGUAUAACCAUUAGAGGCAGGAAAGGGUCCCAUAUAAUCAAAGCCCCAAACAUUAAAUGAUUCAAUAACGAGCGAAUAAUUCAUAGACAUUUCUCGACGUCUACUAAUAUUACCAAUUCUUUGACAUUCAUCACAAGACAAGACAAACUUAUGGGCAUCCUUGAAGAGAGUAGGCCAAUAAAAACCGGAUUGCAAUACCUUAUGUGCAGUUCUGUCUCCAGCGUGGUGUCCUCCAUAAGCCUCGGAGUGGCACGUGCGUAGGAUGUGUUCCUGUUCAUGCUCAGGUACACAAAGUCUAAUAACACCAUCUACUCCUUCUUUAUAAAGAUGUGGGUCAUCCCAGAAGUAAUGUCUCAAAUCAUAGAAAAACUUUUUAUUUUGUUGGUAUGUGAAACUAGGUGGUAUAAAUUUAGCAACGAUGUAACUAGCAUAAUCAGCAUACCAUGGAGUAAUACGAGAAGCAUUUAUGACAUUUAAUUUCUCAUCAGGAAAGCUAUCAUCAAUAGGUAGUGUGUCAUCAAGAACAUUUUCUAACCUAGACAAGUUGUCUGCGACGAGGUUCUCAGCUCCUUUUCUAUCAACAAUAUGCAAAUCAAAUUCUUGUAGCAAGAGAACCCAUCUAAUGAGCCUAGGUUUAGCAUCUUUCUUUUCCAUAAGAUAUUUAAUAGCAGCAUGAUCUGUGUGAAUAGUUACUUUAGAAUCAACAAUAUAAGGCCUGAACUUAUCACAAGCAAAUACAACUGCUAAGAAUUCUUUUUCAGUACUAGCAUAAUUUCUUUGAGCAUUGUCUAGAGUUUUACUAGCAUAUUGAAUAACAUUUAAUUUCUUAUCAACUCUUUGCCCUAGAACAGCACCUACAACAUAAUCACUAGCAUCACACAUAAUUUCAAAGGGUAAAUUCCAAUCAGGUGGCUGAACAAUCGGUGCAGAAAUCAAUGAUUUCUUAAGUAUUUCAAAUGCUUCGACACAAUCAUCAUCAAAGACAAAUGGUAUAUAUUUUUGUAAUAAAUUUGUCAGAGGCCGAGAAAUUUUUGAGAAGUCCUUAAUGAACCUCCUAUAGAAUCUGGUGUGACCAAGGAAACUUCUUAUACCUUUGAUGUCCUUGGGACAUGGCAUCUUUUCAAUAGCAUCAACCUUGGCUUUAUCAACCUCAAUACCUCUUUCAGAAACUUUAUGCCCCAAAACAAUACCUUCAUUAACCAUAAAGUGGCACUUUUCCCAAUUCAAGACAAGAUUAGUUUCUUCACAUCUCUGCAAAACUCGAUCAAGGUUUCAAGCAAUCAUCAAAAGAGGACCCAUAGACGGAGAAGUCGUCCAUGAAAACCUCACAAAUCUUUUCACAAAAGUCAGAGAAUAUAGCCAUCAUGCAUCUUUGAAAGGUAGCAAGUGCAUUACAUAAACCAAAAGGCAUACGUCUAUAAGCAAAAGUACCAAAAGGGCAAGUAAAAGUAGUCUUUGAUUGAUCAUUGGCUGACACAGGUAUUUGAGAGAAACCAUAAUAACCAUCUACAAAGCAAAAAUGUGUAUGUUUGGAUAAUCUUUCUAGCAUUUGAUCGAUAAAAGGUAAGGGGUAAUGAUCCUUUUUAGUAGCCUUAUUUAAUUUGCGGAAAUCAAUUACCAUCCUAUAACCUGUAAUAAUUCUUUGCGGAAUCAAUUCAUCUUUACCAUUAGGAACUACGGUAAUACCUCCCUUCUUAGGGACACAAUGGACAGGACUUACCCACUGACUAUCAGCAACGAGAUAAAUUAUACCUGCCUCAGGAAGCUUUAGUAUUUCUUUUCUUACCACUUCUUUAUCUUAGGAUUCAGCCGUCAUUGAUGAUCACGAACUGGUUUGGCAUCUUCUUCCAAAUUUAUUUUAUGUUGACAUAGAGUGGGACUAAUGCCCUUAAGAUCAUCAAGAGUAUAUCCAAUAGCAGCACGGUGCUUCUUCAGAGUUUUCAAUAAUCUCUCUUCUUCAUGCUCUAAAAGGUUAGCACUAAUAAUAACAGGAUAUAUCUUUUUCUCAUCAAGAUAAGCAUAUUUGAGUGUAUCAGGCAAUGGUUUAAGCUCAAACACGGGAUCACCCUUGGGUGGAGGAGGAUCCCCUAGGAUUUCAACAGGCAAAUUGUGUUUCAGGAUGGGUUCCUAUUUAAAGAAUACUUCAUCUAUUUCCCUUCUUUCAUUCAUAAACAUAUCAUUUUCAUGGUCCAGCAAAUAUUGUUCUAAAGGAUCACUAGGAGGUACGGUAAUAGAAGCAAGACCAAUAAUUUCAUCCUUACUAGGUAAUUCUUCUUCACAGUGUUGUCUACAAAAUUUAGAGAAAUUGAACUCAUGAGACAUAUCACCUAGACCAAUAGUAACAACAUCCUUUUCGAAGUCUAUUCUAGCAUUAACAGUGUUCAAGAAGGGUCUACCAAAUAUAAUGGGACAAAAGCUAUCUUGUGGGGAACCAAGAACAAGAAAAUUAGCAGGAUAUUUAGUUUUCCCACAUGUCGGUGUCAAAACCGGCGGAUCCCGGGUAGGGGGUCCCGAAUUGUGCGUCUAGGCGGAUGGUGUUGGGGAAUGUAGUAAUUUCAAAAUUUUCCUAUGCACACGCAAGAUCAUGGUGAUGCAUAGCAACGAGAGGGGAGAGUGUGAUCUACGUACCCUUGUAGAUCGACAAUGGAAGCGUUUGGUUGAUGUAGUCGUACGUCUCCACGGCCCGACCGAUCAAGCACCGAAACUACGACACCUCCGAGUUCUAGCACACGUUCAGCUCGAUGACGAUCCCCGGACUCCGAUCCAGCAAAGUGUCGGGGAAGAGUUCCGUCAGCACGACGGUGUGGUGACGAUCUUGAUGUACUACCGUCGCAGGGCUUCGCCUAAGCACCGCUACAAUAUUAUCGAGGAUUAUGGUGGAAGGGGGCACCGCACAUGGUUAAGAAUAUGAUCACAUGGAUCAACUUGUGUCUCUAGGGGUGCCCCUGCCUCCGUAUAUAAAGGUUCAAGAGGGGGAGGCCGGCCGGCCAUCAUAGGGUGCGCCAGGAGGAGUCCUACUCCCUCCGGGAGUAGGACUUCCCCCCCAAUCCUAGUUGGAAUAGGAUUCGCGAGGUGGGAACAGAGAGAGAGAGAAGGAGGGGGGCGCCGGCCCCCUCUCUCCUUGUCCUAUUCGGACUAGGGGGGAGGGGCGCGCGGCCCAGCUCUGGCCGCCUCUCCUCUUCUUCCACUAAGGCCCAUUAAGGCCCAUGUACCUCCCGGGGGUUCCGGUAACCUCCCGGUUUUCCGGUAAAAUCCCGAUUUCACCCGGAACACUUCCGAUAUCCAAAUAUAGGCUUCCAAUAUAUCAAUCUUUAUGUCUCGACCAUUUCGAGACUCCUCGUCAUGUCCGUGAUCACAUCCGGGACUCCGAACAAACUUCAGUACAUCAAAAUGCAUAAACUCAUAAUAUAACUGUCAUCGUAACCUUAAGCGUGCGGACCCUACGAGUUCGAGAAAAAUGUAGACAUGACCGAGACACAUCUCUGGUCAAUAACCAAUAGCGGAACCUGGAUGCUCAUAUUGGUUCCUACAUAUUCUACAAAGAUCUUUUAUCGUUCAGACCGCAUAACAACAUACGUUGUUCCCUUUGUCAUCGGUAUGUUACUUGCCCGAGAUUCGAUCGUCGGAAUCCAAUACCUAGUUCAAUCUCGUUACCGGCAAGUCUCUUUACUCGUUCCGUAAUACAUCAUCCUGCAACUAACUCAUUAGUUGCAAUGCUUGCAAGGCUUAACUGAUGUGCAUUACCGAGAGGGCCUAGAGAUACCUCUCCGACGAUCGGAGUGACAAAUCCUAAUCUCGAAAUACGUCAACCCAACAUGUACCUUUGGAGACACCUGUAGAACACCUUUAUAAUCACCCAGUUACGUUGUGACGUUUGGUAGCACACAAAGUGUUCCUCCGGCACACGGGAGUUACAUAAUCUCAUAGUCAUAGGAACAUGUAUAAGUCAUGAAGAAAGCAAUAGCAACAUACUAAACGAUCGGGUGCUAAGCUAAUGGAAUGGGUCAUGUCAAUUAGAUCAUUCAACUAAUGAUGUGAUCCCGUUAACCAAAUGACAACUCUUUGUCCAUGGUUAGGAAACAUAACCAUCUUUGAUUAACGAGCUAGUCAAGUAGAGGCAUACUAGUGACACUCUGUUUGUCUAUGUAUUCACACAUGUAUUAUGUUUUCGGUUAAUACAAUUCUAGCAUGAAUAAUAAACUUUUAUCAUGAUAUAAGGAAAUAAAUAAUAACUUUAUUAUUGCCUCUAGGGCAUAUUUCCAUCAGUCUCCCACUUGCACUAGAGUCAAUAAUCUAGAUUAUACAGUAAUGAUUCUAACACCCAUGGAGCCACGGUGCUGAUCAUGUUUUGCUCGUGGAAGAGGCUUAGUCAAUGGGUCUGCUACAUUCAGAUCCGUAUGUAUCUUGCAAAUCUCUAUGUCUCCCACCUGGACUAGAUCCCGGAUGGAAUUGAAGUGUCUCUUGAUGUGUUUGGUUCUCUUGUGAAAUCUGGAUUCCUUCGCCAAGGCAAUUGCACCAGUAUUGUCACAAAAGAUUUUCAUUGGACCCGAUGCACUAGGUAUGACACCUAGAUCAGAUAUGAAUUCCUUCAUCCAGACUCCUUCGUUUGCUACUUCCGAAGCAGCUAUGUACUCCGCUUCACAUGUAGAUCCCGCCACGAAGCUUUGUUUAGAAUUGCACCAACUGACAGCUCCACCGUUUAAUGUAAACACGUAUCCGGUUUGCGAUUUAGAAUCGUUCGGAUCAGUGUCAAAGCUUGCAUCAACGUAACCGUUUACGAUGAGCUCUUUGUCACCUCCAUAUACGAGAAACAUAUCCUUAGUCCUUUUCAGGUACUUCAGGAUGUUCUUGACCGCUGUCCAGCGAUCCACUCCUGGAUUACUUUGGUACCUCCCUGCUAGACUUAUAGCAAGGCACACAUCAGGUCUGGUACACAGCAUUGCAUACAUGAUAGAGCCUAUGGCUGAAGCAUAGGGAACACCUUUCAUUUUCUCUCUAUCUUCUGUAGUGGUCGGGCAUUGAGUCUGACUCAACUUCACACCAUGUAACACAGGCAAGAACCCUUUCUUUGUUUGAUCCAUUUUGAACUUCUUCAAAAUCUUGUCAAGGUAUGUGCUUUGUGAAAGUCCAAUUAAGCAUCUUGAUCUAUCUCUAUAGAUCUUUAUGCCUAAUAUGUAAGCAGCUUCACCGAGGUCUUUCAUCGAAAAACUCUUAUUCAAGUAUCCCUUUAUGCUAUCCAGAAAUUCUAUAUCAUUUCCAAUCAGUAAUAUGUCAUCCACAUAUAAUAUCAGAAAUGCUACAGAGCUCCCACUCACUUUCUUGUAAAUACAGGCUUCUCCGAAAGUCUGUAUAAAACCAAAUGCUUUGAUCACACUAUCAAAGCGUUUAUUCCAACUCCGAGAGGCUUGCACCAGUCCAUAAAUGGAUCGCUGGAGCUUUCACUCUUUGUUAGCUCCCUUUGGAUCAACAAAACCUUCCGGUUGCAUCAUAUACAACUCUUCUUCCAGAAAUCCAUUCAGGAAUGCAAUUUUGACAUCCAUCUGCCAAAUUUCAUAAUCAUAAAAUGCGGCAAUUGCAAACAUGAUUCGGACAGACUUAAGCAUCGCUACGGGUGAGCAGAUCUCAUCGUAGUCAACCCCUUGAACUUGUCGAAAACCUUUUGCAACAAGUCGAGCUUUGUAGGCAGUAAUAUUACCGUCAACGUCAGUCUUCUUCUUGAAGAUCCAUUUAUUCUCAAUUGCUUGCCGAUCAACGGGCAAGUCAACCAAAGUCCAUACUUUGUUCUCAUACAUGGAUCCCAUCUCAGAUUUCAUGGCUUCAAGCCAUUUUACGGAAUCUGGGCUCACCAUCGCUUCUUCAUAGUUCGUAGGUUCGUCAUGAUCUAGUAGCAUGAUUUCCAGAACAGGGUUACCGUACCACUCUGGCGCGGAUCUUACUCUGGUGGAUCUACGAGGUUCAGUAGUAUCUUGUUCUGAAGUUUCAUGAUCAUUAUCAUUAGCUUCCUCACUAAUUGGUGUAGGUGUCGCAGAAACAGGUUUCUGUGAUGUACUACUUUCCAAUAAGGGAGCAGGUACAGUUACCUCGUCAAGUUUUACUUUCCUCCCACUCACUUCUUUCGAGAGAAACUCCUUCUCUAGAAAGGAUCCAUUCUUAGCAACGAAUGUCUUGCCUUCGGAUCUGUGAUAGAAGGUGUACCCAACAGUCUCCUUUGUGUAUCCUAUGAAGACACAUUUCUCCGAUUUGGGUUCGAGCUUAUUAGGUUGAAGCUUUUUCACAUAAGCAUCGCAGCCCCAAACUUUAAGAAACGACAACUUUGGUUUCUUGCCAAACCAUAGUUCAUAAGGCGUCGUCUCAACAGAUUUUGAUGGUGCCCUAUUUAACGUGCAUGCGGCCGUCUCUAAAGAAUAACACCUAAACGAUAGCGGUAAAUGUUGGGGAACGUAGUAAUUUCAAAAAAAUUCCUAUGCACACGCAAGAUCAUGGUGAUGCAUAGCAACGAGGGGGAGAGUCUGAUCUACGUACCCUUGUAGAUCGCAACGGAAGCGUUGACACAACGUAGAGGAAGUAGUCGUACGUCUUCUUCCCGAUCCGACCGAUCCAAGCACCGUUACUCCGGCACCUCCGAGUUCUUAGCACACGUUCAGCUCGAUGACGAUCCUCGGGCUCCGAUCCAGCAAAGCGUCGAGGAAGAGUUCCGUCGGCACGACGGCGUGGUGAUGAUCUUGAUGUACUACCGACGCAGGGCUUCGCCUAAGCACUACAACGGUAUGAUCGAGGUGGAAUUUGGUGGCAGGGAGCACCGCACAUGGCUAAGGAACGAUCUCAAUGAUCAACUUGUGUGUCUAGAGGUGUCCCCUGCCCCUGUAUAUAAAGGAUCCAAGGGGGAGGGCUGGCCGGCCAGGGAGGAGGGCGCAGGAGGAGUCCUACUCCUACCGGGAGUAGGACUCCCCCCCAAUCCUAUUCCUAAUAGGACUCCCAAGGGGGAAAGAGAGAGAGAGGUGGCCGGCCACCUCUCCUAGUCCUAAUAGGACUAGGGGAGGGGGGAGGCACGCAGCCCACCUUGGGCUGCCCCUUUCACCUUUCCACCAAGGCCCAACAAGGCCCAUAUGGUUCCCGGGGGGUUCCGGUAACCUCCCGGUACUCCGGUAAAAUCCCGAUUUCACCCGGAACACUUCCGAUGUCCAAACAUAGGCUUCCAAUAUAUCAAUCUUUAUGUCUCGACCAUUUCGAGACUCCUCAUCAUGUCUGUGAUCACAUCCGGGACUCCGAACUCCUUCGGUACAUCAAAACUCAUAAACUCAUAAUAUAACUGUCAUCGAAACCUUAAGCGUGCGGACCCUACGGUUCGAGAACAAUGUAGACAUGACCGAGACACGUCUCCGGUCAAUAACCAAUAGCGGGACCUGGAUGCCCAUAUUGGCUCCUACAUAUUCUACGAAGAUCUUUAUCGGUCAGACCGCAUAACAACAUACGUUGUUCCCUUUGUCAUCGGUAUGUUACUUGCCCGAGAUUCGAUCGUCGGUAUCCAAUACCUAGUUCAAUCUCGUUACCGGCAAGUCUCUUUACUCGUUCUGUAAUACAUCAUCCCACAACUAACUCAUUAGUUGCAAUGCUUGCAAGGCUUAUGUGAUGUGCAUUACCGAGAGGGCCUAGAGAUACCUCUCCGACAAUCGGAGUGACAAAUCCUAUUCUCGAAAUACGCCAACCCAACAUCUACCUUUGGAGACACCUGUAGUACUCCUUUAUAAUCACCCAGUUACGUUGUGACGUUUGGUAGUACCCAAAGUGUUCCUCCGGUAAACGGGAGUUGCAUAAUCUCAUAGUCAUAGGAACAUGUAUAAGUCAUGAAGAAAGCAAUAGCAACAUACUAAACGAUCGGGUGCUAAGCUAAUGGAAUGGAUCAUGUCAAUCAGAUCAUUCAACUAAUGAUGUGAUCCCGUUAAUCAAAUAACAACUCCUUUGUCUAUGGUUAGGAAACAUAACCAUCUUUGAUUAACGAGCUAGUCAAGUAGAGGCAUACUAGUGACACUCUGUUUGUCUAUGUAUUCACACAUGUAUUAUGUUUCCGGUUAAUACAAUUCUAGCAUGAAUAAUAAACAUUUAUCAUGAUAUAAGGAAAUAAAUAAUAAGUUUAUUAUUGCCUCUAUGGCAUAUUUCCUUCAGUAAAUCAGUAAGAUACAUCAUAGAUCACACCAUAUCUAGUAAAGUACGAUUACGACGUUCGGAUACACCAUUACGCUGUGGUGUUCCGGGUGGCGUGAGUUGCGAAACUAUUCCGCAUUGUUUCAAAUAUACACCAAACUCGUAACUCAAAUAUUCUCCUCCACGAUCAGAUCGUAGAAACUUUAUUUUCUUGUUACGAUGCUUUUCAACUUCACUAUGAAAUUCUUUGAACUUUUCAAAUGUUUCAGACUUAUGUUUCAUUAAGUAUAUACACCUAUAUCUGCUUAAGUCAUCUGUGAAGGUGAGAAAAUAACGAUAUCCGCCACGAGCCUCAAUAUUCAUCGGACCACAUACAUCUGUAUGUAUGAUUUCUAACAAAUCUGUUGCUCUCUCCAUAGUACCAGAGAACGGUGUUUUAGUCAUCUUGCCCAUGAGGCACGGUUCGCAAGUACCAAGUGAUUCAUAAUCAAGUGGUUCUAAAAGUCCAUCAGUAUGGAGUUUCUUCAUGCCCUUUAUACCGAUAUGACCUAAACGGCAGUGCCACAAAUAAGUUGCACUAUCAUUAUCAACUCUGCAUCUUUUGGCUUCAACAUUAGGAAUAUGUGUUUUACUACUAUCAGGAUUCAUCAAAAAUAGACCACUCUUCAAAGGUGCAUGACCAUAAAAGAUAUUACUCAUAUAAAUAGAACAACCAUUAUUCUCUGAUUUAAAUGAAUAACCGUCUCACAUUAAACAACAUCCAGAUAUAAUGUUCAUGCUCAACGCUGGCACCAAAUAACAAUUAUUUAGGUCUAAUAUUAAUCUCGAAGGUAGAUGUAGAGGUAGCGUGCCGACCGCGAUCACAUCGACUUUGGAACCAUUUCCUACGCGCAUCGUCACCUCGUCCUUUGCAAGUGUUCGCUUAAUCCGUAGUCCCUGUUUUGAGUUACAAAUAUUAGAAACAUAACCAGUAUCAAAUACCCAGGUGCUACUGCAAGUUCUAGUAAGGUACACAUCAAUAACAUGUAUAUCACAUAUACCUUUGUUCACCUUGCCAUCCUUCUUAUCCGCCAAAUACUUGGGGCAGUUCCGCUUCCAGUGACCAGUCUGCUUGCAGUAGAAGCACUCAGUUUCAAGCUUAGGUCCAGACUUGGGUUUCUUCUCUUGAGCAGCAACUUGCUUGCUGUUCUUCUUGAAGUUCCCCGUCUUCUUCCCUUUGCCCUUUUUCAUGAAACUAGUGGUCUUGUUGACCAUCAACACUUGAUGCUCCCUUUUUGAUUUCUACCUCCGCAGCUUUCAGCAUUGCGAAGAGCUCGGGAAUAGUCUUAUUCAUCCCUUGCAUAUUAUAGUUCAUCACGAAGCUCUUGUAGCUUGGUGGCAGUGAUUGGAGAAUUCUGUCAAUGACGCAAUCAUCUGGAAGAUUAACUCCCAUCUGAAUCAAGUGAUUAUUAUACCAGACAUUUUGAGUAUAUGCUCACUGACAGAACUGUUCUCCUCCAUCUUGCAGCUAUAGAACUUAUUGGAGACUUCAUAUCUCUCAAUCCGGGCAUUUGCUUGAAAUAUUAACUUCAACUCCUGGAACAUCUCAUAUGCUCCAUGACAUUCAAAACAUCGUUGAAGUCCCGAUUCUAAGCCGUAAAGCAUGGCACACUGAACUAUCGAGUAGUCAUCAGCUUUGCUCUGCCAGACGUUCAUAACAUCUGGUGUUGCUCCAGCAGCAGGACUGGCACCCAGCGGUGCUUCCAGGACGUAAUUCUUCUGUGCAGCAAUGAGGAUAAUCCUCAAGUUACGGACCCAGUCCGUGUAAUUGCUACCAUCAUCUUUCAACUUUGCUUUCUCAAGGAACGCAUUAAAAUUCAACGGAACAACAGCACGGGCCAUCUAUCUACAAUCAAACAUACAUAAGCAAGAUACUAUCAGGUACUAAGUUCAUGAUAAAUUUAAGUUCAAUUAAUCAAAUUACUUAAAUAACUCCCACUUAGAUAGACAUCCCUCUAAUCCUCUAAGUGAUCACGUGAUCCAAAUCAACUAAACCAUAACCGAUCAUCACGUGAAAUGGAGUAGUUUUCAAUGGUGAACAUCGCUAUGUUGAUCAUAUCUACUAUAUGAUUCACGCUCGAUCUUUCGAUCUCAGUGUUCCGAGGCCAUAUCUGCAUAUGCUAGGCUCGUCAAGUUUAACCUGAGUAUGCUGCGUGUGCAAAACUGGCUUGCACCCGUUGUAGAUGGACGUAGAGCUUAUCACACCCGAUCAUCACGUGGUGUCUGGGCACGACGAACUUUGGCAAUGGUGCAUACUCAGGGAGAACACUUUUAUCUUGAUAAUUUAGUGAGAGAUUAUCUUAUAAUGCUACCAUCAAUCAAAGCAAGAUAAGAUGCAUAAAAGAUAAACAUCACAUGCAAUCAAUAUAAGUGAUAUGAUAUGGCCAUCAUCAUCUUGUGGCUGUGAUCUCCAUCUCCGAGGCACCGUCAUGAUCACCAUCGUCACCGGUGCGACACCUUGAUCUCCAUCGUAGCAUCGUUGUCGUCUCGCCAAUCUUAUGCUUCCACGACUAUCGCUACCGCUUAGUGAUAAAGUAAAGCAUUACAGCGCGAUUGCAUUGCAUACAAUAAAGCGACAACCAUAUGGCUCCUGCCAGUUGCCGAUAACUCGGUUACAAAAGAUGAUCAUCUCAUACAAUAAAAUUUAGCAUCAUGUCUUGACCAUAUCACAUCACAACAUGCCCUGCAAAAACAAGUUAGCCGUCCUCUACUUUGUUGUUGCAAGUUUUACGUGGCUGCUACGGGCUUAAGCAAGAACCAAUCUUACCUACGCAUCAAAACCACAACGAUAGUUUGUCAAGUUGGUGCUGUUUUAACCUUCGCAAGGACCGGUCGUAGCCACACUCGGUUCAACUAAAGUUGGAGAAACUGUCACCCGCAAGCCACCUAUGUGCAAAGCACGUCGGGAGAACCGGUCUCGCGUAAGCGUACCCGUAAUGUUGGUCCGGGCCGCUUCGUCCAACAAUACCGCCGAACCAAAGUAUGACAUGCUGGUAAGCAGUAUGACUUAUAUCGCCCACAACUCACUUGUGUUCUACUCGUGCAUAUAACAUCAACAUAUAAAACCUAGGCUCUGAUACCACUGUUAGGGAACGUAGUAAUUUGAAAAUUUUCCUACGCACACACAAGAUCAUGGUGAUGCAUAGCAACAAGAGGGAAGAGUGUGAUCUACGUACCCUUGUAGAUCGACAACGGAAGCGUUUGGUUGAUGUAGUCAUACGUCUCCACGGCCCGACCGAUCAAGUACCGAAACUACGGCACCUCCGAGUUCUAGCACACGUUCAGCUCGAUGAUGAUCCCCGGACUCCGAUCCAGCAAAGUGUCGGGGAAGAGUUCCGUCAGCACGACGGCGUGGUGACGAUCUUGAUGUACUACCGUCGCAGGGCUUCGCCUAAGCACCGCUACAAUAUUAUCGAGGAUUAUGGUGGAAGGGGGCACCGCACACGGUUAAGAAUACGAUCACGUGGAUCAACUUGUGUCUCUAGGGGUGCCCCUGCCUCUGUAUAUAAAGGUUCAAGAGGGGGAGGCCGGCCGGCCAUCAUAGGGCGCGCCAGGAGGAGUCCUACUCCCUCCGGGAGUAGGACUCCCCCCCCCAAUCCUAGUUGGAAUAGGAUUCGCGAGGUGGGAACAGAGCGAGAGAGAAGGAGGGGGGCGCCGGCCCCCUCUCUCCUUGUCUUAUUCGGACUAGGGGGGAGGGGCGCGCGGCCUAGCCCUGGCCGCCUCUCCUCUUCUUCCACUAAGGCCCAUUAAGGCCCAUGUACCUCCCGGGGGGUUCCGGUAACCUCCCGGUUUUCCGGUAAAAUCCCGAUUUCACCCGGAACACUUCCGAUAUCCAAAUAUAGGCUUCCAAUAUAUCAAUCUUUAUGUCUCAACCAUUUCGAGACUCCUCGUCAUGUCCGUGAUCACAUCCGAGACUCCGAACAACCUUCGGUACAUCAAAACGUAUAAACUCAUAAUAUAACUGUCAUCGAAACCUUAAGCGUGCGGACCCUACGGGUUCGAGAACAAUGUAGACAUGACCGAGACAUGUCUCCGGUCAAUAACCAAUAGCGGGACCUGGAUGCCCAUAUUGGCUCCUACAUAUUCUACGAAGAUCUUUAUCGGUCAGCCCGCAUAACAACAUACGUUGUUCCCUUUGUCAUCGGUAUGUUACUUGCCCGAGAUUCGAUCGUCGGUAUCCAAUACCUAGUUCAAUCCCGUUACCGGCAAGUCUCUUUACUCGUUCCGUAAUACAUCAUCUCGCAACUAACUCAUUAGUUGCAUUGCUUGCAAGGCUUAAGUGAUGUGCAUUACUAAGAGGGCCCAGAGAUACCUCUCCGACGAUCGGAGUAACAAAUCCUAAUCUCGAAAUACGUCAACCCAACAUGUACCUUUGGAGACACCUGUAGAGCACCUUUAUAAUCACCCAGUUACGUUGUGACAUUUGGUAGCACACAAAGUGUUCCUCCGGCACAUGGUAGUUACAUAAUCUCAUAGUCAUAGGAACAUGUAUAAGUCAUGAAGAAAGCAAUAGCAACAUACUAAACGAUCGGGUGCUAAGCUAAUGGAAUGGGUCAUGUCAAUCAGAUCAUUCAACUAAUGAUGUGAUCCCGUUAAUCAAAUGACAACUCUUUGUCCAUGGUUAUGAAACAUAACCAUCUUUGAUUAACGAGCUAGUCAAGUAGAGGCAUACUAGUGACACUCUGUUUGUCUAUGUAUUCACACAUGUAUUAUGUUUCCGGUUAGUACAAUUCUAGCAUGAAUAAUAAACUUUUAUCAUGAUAUAAGGAAAUAAAUAAUAACUUUAUUAUUGCCUCUAGGGCAUAUUUCCUUCAGAUGGUAACAGGAGACAAGGGACACGAUGUUUUUACCCAGGUUCGGGCCCUCUCGAUGGAGGUAAAACCCUACUCCUGCUUGAUUAAUAUUGAUGAGAUGGGUAGUACAAGAUUUGAUCUACCACGAGAUCAGAGAGGCUAAAUCCUAGAAGCUAGCCUUUGCUAUGAUUGUUGUUAUCAUCCUACGGACUAAAUCCUCCGGUUUAUAUAGAUCGGAGGGGGCUAGGGUUACACAGAUUCGUUACAAGGAAGGAGAUCUACAUAUCUGUAUUGCCAAGCUUGCCUUCCACGCCAAGGAGAGUCCCAUCCAGACACGGGACAAUGUCUUCAAUCUUGUAUCUUCAUAGUCCAAUAGUCCGGCCAAAGGUUAUAGUCCAGCUGUCCGGAUACCGCCUAAUCAAGGACUCCCUCACCACACAAGACUUCAACAUCUCUAACAAUUCCCAUCAGUGAAAUAGUAUCUCUAUUGGCAAGUUUAAUUGUGACAUCAAUAUCUUCUAACUCAGUAGGUGCAAUAUCAUGCUUAAUUUCUUUGUAUAAGUCAAUAGGUAUUGCACUAGCACUAGCACCCAUAUCACAUAAGCCAUGAUAACAAUGAUCUCCUAUUUUAACAGAAAUAACAGGCAUGCCUACCAUAGGUCUAUGUUUAUCUUUAGCACAAGGUUAAUUCUAGCAGUUUCAUCUCGGAAAUGAAUAACAUGCCCAUCAAUAUUAUCAGACAAGAGAUCUUUAAUAAUAGCAACAUUAGGUUCAACUUUAAUAUGCUCAGGAGGUGUAUAAGUUCUAAUUUUGCUUUGAUGAACCACAGUUGAAGCUUUAGCAUGAUCCUUUAUUCUAACAGGGAAGGGUGGUUUCUCAACAUAAGUAGUAGGAACAAUAGGAUCAUUAUAAGUGAUAGUCUUUUCUUCAACUUUAAUAGGUGCAACUACUUUUACUUCUAUGGGAGGAUGAUAUUUAAACCACUUCUCCUUGGGGAGAUCAACAUAAGUAGCAAAAGAUUCACAGAAAGAAGCUACCAUCUCAGAGUCAAGUCCAUAUUUAGUGCUAAACUUACGGAAAACAUCGGUAUCCAUAAAAGAUUUAACACAAUCAAACUUAGGUGUCAUACCUGACUCCUUACCUUCGUCGAGAUCCCAAUCUUUAGAGUUGCAUUUAAUUCUAUCCAAUAAACCCCAUUCGAAUUCAAUAGCCUUCAUCAUAAAAGAGCCAGCACAAGAAGUAUCAAGCAUGGUGCGAUUGUUAUCAGAAAGCCGAGCAUAAAAACUUUGAAUAAUUAUUUCUCUUGGGAGCUCAUGAUUGGGGCAUGAAUAUAACAUUGAUUUAAGCCUCCCCCAAGCUUGAGCGAUGCUUUCUCCUUUGCGAGGCCAAAAAUUAUAUAUAUAAUUGCGAUCAAGAUGAACAAGAUGCAUAGGAUAAAAUUUCUAAUGAAAUUCCAGUUUCAAUCGUUUGUAGUUCCAUGACCCCGUAUCAUCACAUAGCCUAUACCAUGUCGAUGCAUCUCCCUUCAAAGAUAGAGGGAAGACCUUCCUCUUAAUAACAUCAUCGAGUAUACCUGCAAGCUUAAAUAAUCCACAAACUUCAUCCACAUAUAUUAGGUGCUCAUCAGGAUGCUUUGUUCCAUCUCCUGCAAAGGGAUUAGCUAGCAAUUUUUCUAACAUACCCGAAGGAAUCUCAAAGUAGAUAUUUUCAUUUUCAUUUUUAGUAGGUUCAGUAGGUUGAGGAGCAACUCUUUGCUCUACUGGUUGGGGCGAAGAUACCCCGAACAAGCCCCUCAGAGGAUUACUUUCCAUAGUAACAAGUCAUAGUAAAUUUCAGCACACUAUAUAAAUUUUUCCUUACCAAAUUCCACCUACCAAAUACACUUCACUCCCCGGCAACGGUGCCAGAAAAGAGUCUUGAUGACCCACAAGUAUAGGGGAUCUAUCGUAGUCCUUUCGAUAAGUAAGAGUGUCGAACCCAACGAGGAGCAGAAGGAAAUGAUAAGCGGUUUUCAGCAAGGUAUUCUCUGCAAGCACUGAAAUAAUAGGUAAUAGAUAGUUUUGUGAUAGGAUAAUUUGUAACGAACAACAAGUAACAAAAGUAAACAAAGUGCAGCAAGGUGGCCCAAUCCUUUUUGUAGCAAAGGACAAGCCUGGACAAACUCUUAUAUAUAGAAAAGUGCUCCCGAGGAAACAUGGGAAUUAUCGUCAAGCUAGUUUUCAUCACGUUCAUAUGAUUUGCGUUCGGUACUUUGAUAAUUUGAUAUGUGGGUGGACCGGUGCUUGGGUGCUGUUCUUACUUGAACAAGCAUCCCACUUAUGAUUAACCUCUAUUGCAAGCAUCCGCAACUACAACAAAAGUAUUAAGGUAAACCUAACCAUAGCAUGAAACAUAUGGAUCCAAAUCAGCCCCUUACGAAGCAACACAUAAACUAGGGUUUAAGCUUCUGUCACUCUAGCAACCCAUCAUCUACUUAUUACUUCCCCAUGCCUUCCUCUAGGCCCACAUAGUGGUGAAGUGUCAUGUAGUCGACAUUCACAUAACACCACUAGAGGAGAGACAACAUACAUCUCAUCAAAAUAUCGAACGAAUACCAAAUUCACAUGACUACUAAUAGCAAGACUUGUCCCAUGUCCUCAGAAACAAACGUAACUACUCACAAAUCAUAUUCAUGUUCAUAAUCAGAGGGGUAUUAAUAUGCAUAAAGGAUCUGAACAUAUGAUCUUCCACCAAAUAAACCAACUAGCAUCAACUACAAGGAGUAAUCAACACUACUAGCAACCUACAAGCCCCAAUCCCGGACUUGGAGACACGAAUUGGAUACAAGAGAUGAACUAGGGUUUUGAGAGGAGAUGGUGCUGGUGAAGAUGUUGAUGGAGAUUGCCCUCUCCCGAUGAGAGGAGCGUUGGUGAUGACGAUGGCGAUGAUUUCCCCCUUCCGGAGGGAAGUGUCCCCGGCAGAACAGGUCUGCCGGAGCCCUAGAUUGGUUCUGCCAAGGUUCCGCCUCGUGGCGGCGGUGUCUCAUCCCGAAAGGUUGCCUAUGAUUUUUCUUCGGAUGAAAGACUUCAUAUAGCAGAAGAUGGCCACUGGUGAGCCAACAGGGGGCCCAUGAGGCAGGGGCGCGCCUAGCGGGUAGGGCGCGCCCCCACCCUCGUGGACAGGUGGUGGCCCCUCGACGUAUUUCUUCUGCUCAGUAUUUUUUUAUUAUUCCCAAAAAUAACUUUCGUGGAGUUUCAGAACUUUUGGAGUUGUGCAGAAUAGGUCUCCAAUAUUUGCUCCUUUUCCAGCCCAGAAUUCCAGCUGCCCGCAUUCUCCCUCCUUAUGUAAACCUUGUAAAAUGAGAGAGAAUAGGCAUAAGUAUUGUGACAUAACAUGUAAUAACAUCCCAUAAUGCAAUAAAUAUCGAUAUAAAAGCAUGAUGCAAAAUGGACGUAUCAAAUACUUUCCUGCUGAUGGUAUGGAUGAGGUGACUCAUGUCCCUCGAUCCAAAAGGCUAGAAUCCUAUCACAGUAUACUUCUAAAAGGCCCGAACUUCAAAAUGUUUGGGAUAGUCAUGUGAUAAUCUUGGAACUAUUUUUUCCAGAAACAAACAACGGCUAAAAGAGAUGCGAUAUCUAAAGAAGUGUUUGCUUGCAAGUUCUAAUGAAGCACUCAACUAUGUGUAAGACUGAAAUAUAUAGGAUCCGGGAGAAUACAAGUCAUGUGCCGAUGGUCAGAACUUAAAGAGAAAGAACAAAUCCAAAAGGAUGUAAUGAGACUUACACGCCUAGGGAAGUUCGAGGCCUACGCAACUCUUCAAGUUGGAUGCUUCUUCUAAGAGUAGGAGAAAUAUUAGAAGUAAAUCUAUAAGAACUAAAAAGGCAGAAAAAAAGAAGGCUGGAAUGUCCAGUUCAUGUAUGAAUGUCACAAGUUAUAAGAUGUUGGUAAAAUAAAAUGUAAUUCUUGGGAAAUGUGAUUAAAUUGUUAAUCAUUAAUUCUUCGACAUUGUGGUUAACAGUUUAUCGCAAGGACAUCAACUCGAUUACAUGUUGUUGCGAACCAUUGCAAGAAACUACAAUGGCCUAAAUGACCAACAAAUAAUGAUGUUAAAAUAUUUAAUGGAAACUUUGUAAAAGUUACAGUAUUCCCAUCAUUUUAUUUCCUCUAUACUUAUCAUAAUUCAUUUUAGAUUUUUGUACACUCUACCACACUCAUAGAAGUUGCAAGGAGGUUAUUCAUGAGAGAACAACAGUUGUUUGAUGUUCUGAACAAAAGGCCAUACUCCUAUUGUGAAUAAGAGGUAUGCUAUAAAUAUUGAUGAUAAAAUUUAUCAUCCAUAACACUGACGCUAAAUGCCGCAAGACUAAAAGAAUACCAUACUGUAUGGCACUGCAUUCAGUCACAUUGGGGAAACCAACAUGGAGAAAUUCCAUGGUAAUGGAUUUUGAGGUCAUCUGAUUAUGAAUCAUAUGACACUUGCAACUUUCGUCUAAUUCGUGAAGUGCACUAAAAUGCCGUUCAUGGGACAUAAAAAAAUGAGCAACAAAAUAAUUGGAAAUAUGCAUGUUGAUGUGUAUAGUCCAAUAGGUGUUGUUGCAAGUAGUGGAUUUAUUUAUCUUCAAGGAUGACUCAAGUAGAUAUUUAUUUACUUAUUGAGACAUAAAUAUAGAUCCUUUGAAAUGUUUUUGGAAGGUCUUCAGGAUGAAGUAGAACUUAUUGUAACAAGAUAAUUAUGUUUCUUCAAUUAGAUUGUGGAAAGGAAUAUUUGAGUUACAAAUUUAGCGGAUAUAUGAUGAGUUGUGAAAAGUACUUUAUAGCUUGCACCGCCCAGAGCAUUGCUAAGAGUAGAGUAUUUUGAGUAGAUGUAAUCAAACUAUGUAUGAUACGGUGAGAUCAAAGAUGACAUUAAUUAUUUCACCAAUAUAAUUUUUAGUGUGAUGCUUUAGUGACAGUGGCUUUUACAAUGAAAAGAGCGCCAUCAAAUUUGUUGAAAUAAGUACUACUUUGUAGGUCAUCCCAAAUGGUUGUGUAUUCCUCUAUCAUUACGCCAAGGCAAAGUAUUUUGCCAUAGAGUGCAUAAAUUUUGAAGUUCACUGCAAAAGAGUGAGUGGGAGGAUAGUGCAACUCGACAACAUUGCAGAAUCUUCAUGAUUAGGUCAAAGAAAAGAAACACCAGAAGUAAUUCUAUAAUUUCCUACCGUGACUAAUAUGAAAGUAUUUACAUGAGAUAUAAAGACUUUAGUCAAACUUGCAGUUGAACUACAUAGGUUGGGCAAAUUCGUACAGACAUUUGUGGUGUGCAGAUGAAAUAUAGUUGAACAAACAAUAACCUGUAAUACACAAAGAAGUAUUGAUGGGCCCUAACUCCGAAAAUUGCCUAUAUGCCAAAGUUAUCUGAGAUAGUAUCCAUUUACAUAAUUCAAGUUUAGAACAUGAUAAACCCUCUGGAAGACUUGGAGUCUGACGAAAAGUAAUGGAUCUAUAAACUCACAAAGAUAAAAAAAUGUUUUAUAAAGCUUGAAUUGUUACUACUAGCUUAUGACAAGAUCAAGAAUUUAACUAUAACAAAAUUGUCUCGUCAUAGAAAAACUUAAAGUUAGUUCGGGUUAAACUAGAAUGUUAAAUAUUUCAAUUUUGAGAUAUAAUAAUGGGUGUCAAAAUGAUUUCCAUGAGAUCAAAAUAGAACAAAGGUUGUAUAUGUGAGACGGUCCAAGAUAAUUUUUUGAUCUAGAAGAUGAGUAAGUGUGCAAACUUCAAGAGAUCCUAUAAUGGACUGAAGCAAGCACAAUGGAGUUGGAAUCUUUGUUCUAAUGGAAUGAUCAAAUAAUUUGAUUUCAUCGAGGAAAGCCAAGAUGUUUGUAUUUACAUGAAAGUAAGUGGGAGCAUGAUAAUAUUUCUAAACACUGUGUGUGCAUGACUCAUUCUUAAUUGGAAAUUAUAUAAAUUUCUUGACAGGAAUUAAAACUUUAUUGGGACUAGUUUUUCAGUAAAGUACUUAGGAAAUAGAGCCUUGGAAUUAGGUGCAAUGAUCUAUGGAGAUAGUAGUGUCUAAUCGGGCUUAGCCAAAAUAUGUAUUGACAAGAUACUAAAACAGUUUAGUAUGAAAAAACAUCAAGAAGAGUUUCUUGUGAUAGUCACGUGGAAGGAGUUUUAGCAAGAAUCGGUAUCCUGAAAUAGUGAUUAGUAGAACAUGAUUUUAAUCACACUUGUAUUCCAAGGUAUGUAAAUAUAUAAUCAGAUAUGUCCAGUACUCCAAGUUAGUUGUGGGUAAGUUACCAGAAUGAUCAAAUUGUGGAUAAUAGCAACUGUAGAAAUGUCGUUAAGUACUGAUGACAUGUUUCUCGCAUAUGGAGAAAAUGAAGAAAUUAUUGUAAGGAGUUACAUCAAUACAUACUCGUUGUAAGUACGUAGUACAUUGAUAAAAUCUUCAUCGGUGCUCCAAGCAAUUUUUGAUUUCAAAUCAAAUGAUUUAUGGUUGCGCAAUAAGUUGGAAUUUAUCCAAGAAAGUUAUUGUAGUGAAUUUUAUAACAAAAGACUGAGUAUAUUCUUGCUUUAAAAGCACCAAAUGGAGGGUGAUGAAUCAAAAGUUCAUUUAUGAACUUGCUACGAUUUCUAGAUGAUUGUGCUAUUGGAACACUGUUCUUAAUAGUGGUUCCACAACUCAGUCUAAGGAAUCAAUGGUCCUACUAUUCCAUACAUAGAAAGUCAGUUUCACACAAAUUAUGAAUUCUUGUGAAAGCAUAAUAGAUGCAAAGAAAUGUAAAUAAUACACAUGGAUCUAAAGUUGUAAAGAUCUGAUAGGAUAAAGGCUAUACAACAAGCAAAGCAUGGACAACACCGGAUUACCAUUCGUGUUAAAGAAAAUGUGCUAACUAGAUUGUUGACUCUAGUGUAAGUGGGAGACUGUUGGAAAUAUGCCCUAGAAGCAAUAAUAUUGUAUUAUUAUAUUUCCAUGUUUAUAAUUAAGAGUUUAUAUUCCGUGCUAUAACUGCUAUGAUCCUGGAAUAUGCGUAGCCGUGGAAAAAUAUACACGCGUGGAAUGAUAAACAGUAAAAUUUAAUUCCUAGCCCCGCCUCUAAGACUAGCUCAAGUGUUGUUUAUGAUCAUUUUGUCUGGAUCUUGAUAUAUCAUUAAGUGUAAUGAUAGUCUUAAAACAACAUUGAGGAUAUGAUGUUGUUGGGGAACGUAGUAAUUUCAAAAAAUUUCCUACGCACACGCAAGAUCAUGGUGAUGCAUAGCAACAAGAGGGGAGAGUGUGAUCUACGUACCCUUGUAGAUCGACAACGGAAGCGUUUGGUUGAUGUAGUCGUACGUCUUCACGGCCCGACCGAUCAAGCACCGAAACUACGACACCUCCGAGUUCUAGCACACGUUCAGCUCGAUGACGAUCCCCGGACUCCGAUCCAGCAAAGUGUCGGGGAAGAGUUCCGCCAGCACGACGGCAUGGUGACGAUCUUGAUGUACUAAUGUCGCGGGCUUCGCCUAAGCACUGCUACAAUAUUAUCGAGGACUAUGGUGGAAGGGGGCACCGCACACGGCUAAGAAUAUGAUCACGUGGAUCAACUUGUGUCUCUAGGGGGUGCCCCUGCCUUCGUAUAUAAAGGCUCAAAAGGGGGGGGGUGCGGCCCGCCAGGAGACGCGCGCCAGGAGGAGUCCUACUCCCUCUGGGAGUAGGACUCCCCCCUUUCCUAGUUGGAAUAGGAUUCACGGAGGGGGGGAAAGAGGAGAGAGAGGAGGAAGGGGGGCCGACCCCCUCUCCUUGUCCUAUUAAGACCAAGGGGGGGGGGGCACGCGGCCCACUUCUGGCUACCUCUCCUCUCUUCCACUAAGGCCCACUAAGGCCCAUAUACCUCCCGGUACUCCGGUAAAAUCCCGAUUUCACGCGGAACACUUCCGAUAUACAAACAUAGGCUUCCAAUAUAUCAAUCUUUAUGUCUCGAUCAUUUCGGGACUCCUCGUCAUGUCCGUGAUCACAUCCGAGACUCCGAACAACCUUCGGUACAUCAAAAUGCAUAAACUCAUAAUAUAACUGUCAUCGAAACCUUAAGCGUGCGGAACCUACGGGUUCGAGAACAAUGUAGACAUGACCGAGACAUGUCUCCGGUCAAUAACCAAUUGCGGGACCUGGAUGCCCAUAUUGGUUCCUACAUAUUCUACGAAGAUCUUUUAUCAGCCAGACCGCAUAACAACAUACGUUGUUCCCUUUGUCAUCGGUAUGUUACUUGCCCGAGAUUCGAUCAUCGGUAUCCAAUACCUAGUUCAAUCUCGUUACCGGCAAGUCUCUUUACUCGUUCCGUAAUACAUCAUCCCACAACUAACUCAUUAGUUGCAAUGCUUGCAAGGCUUAAGUGAUGUGCAUUACCGAGAGGGCCCAGAGAUACCUCUCUGACAAUCGGAGUGACAAAUCCCAAUCACGAAAUACGCCAACCCAACAUGUACCUUUGGAGACACCUGUAGAGCACCUUUAUAAUCACCCAGUUACGUUGUGACGUUUGGUAGCACAGAAAGUGUUCCCCUGGCACACGGGAGUUGCAUAAUCUCAUAGUCAUAGGAACAUGCAUAAGUCAUGAAGAAAGCAAUAGCAACAUACUAAACGAUCGGGGUGCUAAGCUAAUGGAAUGGGUCAUGUCAAUCAGAUCAUUCAACUAAUGAUGUGAUCCCGUUAAUCAAAUAACAACUCUUUGUCCAUGGUUAGGAAACAUAACCAUCUUUGAUUAACGAGCUAGUCAAGUAGAGGCAUACUAGUGACACUCUGUUUGUCUAUGUAUUCACACAUGUAUUAUGUUUCCGGUUAAUACAAUUCUAGCAUGAAUAAUAAACUUUUAUCAUGAUAUAAGGAAAUAAAUAAUAACUUUAUUAUUGCCUCUAGGGCAUAUUUCCUUCAGUCUCCCACUUGCACUAGAGUCAAUAAUCUAGAUUACACAGCAAUGAUCCUAACACCCAUGGAGCCUUCGUGCUGAUCAUGUUUUGCUCGUGGAAGAGGCUUAGUCAACGGGUCUGCUACAUUCAGAUCCGUAUGUAUCUUGCAAAUCUCUAUGUCUCCCACCUGGACUAGAUCCCGGAUGGAAUUGAAGCGUCUCUUGAUGUGCUUGGUUCUCUUGUGAAAUCUGGAUUCCCUCGCCAAGGCAAUUGCAUCAGUAUUGUCACAAAAGAUUUUCAUUGGACCCGAUGCAUUAGGUAUGACACCUAAAUCGGAUAUGAACUCCUUCGUUUGCUGCUUCCGAAGCAGCUAUGUAUUCUGCUUCACAUGUAGAUCCCGCCAUGACGCUUUGUUUAGAACUGCACCAACUGACAGCUCCACCGUUUAAUGUAAACACGUAUCCGGUUUGCGAUUUAGAAUCAUCCGGAUCAGUGUCAAAGCUUGCAUCAACGUAACCGUUUACGAUGAGCUCUUUGUCACCUCCAUAUACGAGAAACAUAUCCUUAGUCCUUUUCAGGUACUUCAGGAUGUUCUUGACCGCUGUCCAGCGAUCCACUCCUGGAUUACUUUGGUACCUCCCUGCUAGACUUAUAGCAAGGCACACAUCAGGUCUGGUACACAGCAUUGCAUACAUGAUAGAGCAUAUGGCUGAAGCAUAGGGAACACCUUUCAUUUUCUCUCUAUCUUCUGUAGUGGUCGGGCAUUGAGUCUGACUCAACUUCACACCUUGUAACACAGGCAAGAACCCUUUCUUUGUUUGAUCCAUUUUGAACUUCUUCAAAAUCUUGUCAAGGUAUGUGCUUUGUGAAAGUCCAAUUAAGCGUCUUGAUCUAUCUCUAUAGAUCUUUAUGCCUAAUAUGUAAGCAGCUUCACCGAGGUCUUUCAUCGAAAAACUCUUAUUCAAGUAUCCCUUUAUGCUAUCCAGAAAUUCUAUAUCAUUUCCAAUCAGUAAUAUGUCAUCCACAUAUAAUAUCAGAAAUGCUACAGAGCUCCCACUCACUUUCUUGUAAAUACAGGCUUCUCCGAAAGUCUGUAUAAAACCAAAUGCUUUGAUCACACUAUCAAAGCGUUUAUUCCAACUCCGAGAGGCUUGCACCAGUCCAUAAAUGGAUCGCUGGAGCUUUCACACUUUUUAGCUCCCUUUGGAUCAACAAAACCUUCCGGUUGCAUCAUAUACAACUCUUCUUCCAGAAAUCCAUUCAGGAAUGCAGUUUUGACAUCCAUCUGCCAAAUUUCAUAAUCAUAAAAUGCGGCAAUUGCAAACAUGAUUCGGACAGACUUAAGCAUCGCUACGGGUGAGAAGGUCUCAUCGUAGUCAACCCCUUGAACUUGUCGAAAACCUUUUGCAACAAGUCGAGCUUUGUAGACAGUAAUAUUACCGUCAACGUCAGUCUUCUUCUUGAAGAUCCAUUUAUUCUCAAUUGCUUGCCGAUCAACGGGCAAGUCAACCAAAGUCCAUACUUUGUUCUCAUACAUGGAUCCCAUCUCAGAUUUCAUGGCUUGAAGCCAUUUUACGGAAUCUGGGCUCACCAUCGCUUCUUCAUAGUUCAUAGGUUCAUCAUGAUCUAGUAGCAUGAUUCCAGAACAGGGUUACCGUACCACUUUGGUGCGGAUCUUACUCUGGUGGAUCUACGAGGUUCAGUAGUAUCUUGUUCUGAAGUUUCAUGAUCAUUAUCAUUAGCUUCCUCACUAAUUGUUGUAGGUGUCGCAGAAACAGGUUUCUGUGAUGUACUACUUUCCAAUAAGGGAGCAGGUACAGUUACCUCGUCAAGUUUUACUUUCCUCCCACUCACUUCUUUCGAGAGAAACUCCUUCUCUAGAAAGGAUCCAUUCUUAGCAACGAAUGUCUUGCCUUCGGAUCUGUGAUAGAAGGUGUACCCAACAGUCUCCUUUGCGUAUCCUAUGAAGACAUAUUUCUCCGAUUUGGGUUCGAGCUUAUCAGGUUGAAGCUUUUUCACAUAAGCAUCGCAGCCCCAAACUUUCAGAAACGACAACUUUGGUUUCUUGCCAAACCAUAGUUCAUAAGGCGUCGUCUCAACGGAUUUUGAUGAUGCCCUAUUUAACGUGAAUGCGGCCGUCUCUAAAGCAUAACCCCAAAACGAUAGCGGUAAAUCAGUAAGAGACAUCAUAGAUCACACCAUAUCUAGUAAAGUACGAUUACGACGUUCGAACACACCAUUACGCUGUGGUGUUCCGGGUGGCGUGAGUUAAGAAACUAUUCCGCAUUGUUUUAAAUGUACACCAAACUCGUAACUCAAAUAUUCUCCUCCACGUAUUCUCCUCCACGAUCAGAUCAUAGAAACUUUAUUUUCUUCUUACGAUGAUUUUCAACUUCACUCUAAAAUUCUUUGAAUCUUUUCAAACGUUUCAGACUUGUGUUUCAUUAAGUAGAUAUACCCAUAUCUGCUUUAAGUCAUCUGUGAAGGUGAUAAAAUAACGAUAUCCGCCACAAGGCUCAAUAUUCAUCGGACCACAUACAUCUGUAUGUAUGAUUUCCAACAAAUCUGUUGCUCUCUUCAUAGUUCCGGAGAACGGUGUUUUAGUCAUCUUGCCCAUGAGGCACGGUUCGCAAGUACCAAGUGAUUCAUAAUCAAGUGGUUCCAAAAGUCCAUCAGCAUGGAGUUUCUUCAUGCGCUUUAUACCGAUAUGACCUAAACGGCAGUGCCACAAAUAAGUUGCACCAUCAUUAUCAACUCUGCAUCUUUUGGCUUCAACAUUAUGAAUAUGUGUGUCACUACUAUCGAGAUUCAAUAAGAAUAGACCAUUCUUCAAGGGUGCAUGACCAUAAAAGAUAUUACUCAUAUAAAUAGAACAACCAUUAUUCUCUGAUUUAAAUGAAUAACCGUCUUGCAUCAAACAAGAUCGAGAUAUAAUGUUCAUGCUUAACGCUGGCACCAAAUAACAAUUAUUUAGGUCUAAUAUUAAUCCCGAAGGUAGAUGUAGAGGUAGCGUGCCGACCGCGAUCACAUCGACUUUGGAACCAUUUCCCACGCGCAUCGUCACCUCGUCCUUAGCUAAUCUUCGCUUAAUCCGUAGUCCCUGUUUCGAGUUGCAAAUAUUAGCAACAGAACCAGUAUCAAAUACCCAGGUGCUACUGCGAGCAUUAGUAAGGUACACAUCAAUAACAUGUAUAUCACAUAUACCUUUGUUCACCUUGCCAUCCUUCUUAUCCGCCAAAUACUUGGGGCAGUUCCGCUUCCACUGACCAGUCUGCUUGCAGUAGAAGCACUCAGUUUCAGGCUUAGGUCCAGACUUGGGUUUCUUCUCUUGAGCAGCAACUUUCUUGUUGUUCUUCUUGAAGUUCCACUUCUUCUUUCCUUUGCCCUUUUUCUUGAAACUAGUGGUCUUGCUGACCAUCAACACUUGAUGCUCCUUCUUGAUUUCUACCUCCGCAGCUUUCAGCAUUGCGAAGAGCUCGGGAAUAGUCUUAUUCAUCCCUUGCAUAUUAUAGUUCAUCACGAAGCUCUUGUAGCUUGGUGGCAGUGAUUGGAGAAUUCUGUCAAUGACGCAAUCAUCUGGAAGAUUAACUCCCAUUUGAAUCAAGUGAUUAUUAUACCCAGACAUUUUGAGUAUAUGCUCACUGACAGAACUAUUCUCUUCCAUCUUGCAGCUAUAGAACUUAUUGGAGACUUCAUAUCUCUCAAUCCCGGCAUUUGCUUGAAAUAUUAACUUCAACUCCUGGAACAUCUGAUAUGCUCCAUGACGUUCAAAACGUCGUUGAAGUCCCGGUUCUAAGCCGUAAAGCAUGGCACACUGAACUAUCGAGUAGUCAUCAGCUUUAGUCUGCCAGACGUUCAUAACAUCUGGUGUUGCUCCAGCAGCAGGCCUGGCACCCAGCGGUGCUUCUAGGACGUAAUUCUUCUGUGCAGCAAUGAGGAUAAUCCUCAAGUUACGGACCCAAUCCGUGUAAUUGCUACCAUCAUCUUUCAACUUUGAUUUCUCAAGGAACGCAUUAAAAUUCAACGGAACAACAGCAUGGGCCAUCUAUCUACAACCAAACAUACAUAAGCAAGAUACUAUCAGGUACUAAGUUCAUGAUAAUUUUAGGUUCAAUUAAUCAUAUUACUUAAAGAAGUCCCACUUAGAUAGACAUCCCUCUAAUCCUCUAAGUGAUUACGUGAUCCAAAUCAACUAAACCAUGUCCGAUCAUCACGUGAGAUGGAGUAGUUUCAUUGGUGAACAUAACUAUGUUGAUCAUAUCUACUAUAUGAUUCACGCUCGACCUUUCGGUCUCCGUGUUCCGAGGCCAUAUCUAUAUAUGCUUGGCUCGUCAAGUAUAACCUGAGUAUUCUGCGUGUGCAACUGUUUUGCACCCAUUGUAUUUGAACGUAGAGCCUAUCACACCCGAUCAUCACGUGGUGUCUCAGCACGAAGAACUUUCGCAACGGUGCAUACUCAGGGAGAAAACUUCUUGAUAAUUUUAGUGAGAGAUCAUCUUAUAAUGCUACCGUCAAUCAAAGCAAGAUAAGAUGCAUAAAAGAUAAACAUCACAUGCAAUCAAUAUAAGUGAUAUGAUAUGGCCAUCAUCAUCUUGUGCUUGUGAUCUCCAUCUCCGAAGCACCGUCGUGAUCACCAUCGUCACCGGCGCGACACCUUGAUCUCCAUCGUAGCAUCGUUGUCGUCUCGCCAAUCUUAUGCUUCCACGACUAUCGCUACUGCUUAGUGAUAAAGUAAAGCAUUACAGCGCGAUUGCAUUGCAUACAAUAAAGCGACAACCAUAUGGCUCCUGCCAGUUGCCGAUAACUCGGUUACAAAACAUGAUCAUCUCAUACAAUAAAAUUUAGCAUCAUGUCUUGACCAUAUCACAUCACAACAUGCCCUGCAAAAACAAGUUAGACGUCCUCUACUUUGUUGUUGCAAUUUUUACGUGGCUGCUACGGGCUUAAGCAAGAACCAAUCUUACCUACGCAUCAAAACCACAACGAUGGUUUGUCAAGGUGGUGCUGUUUUAACCUUCACAAGGACCGGGCGUAGCCACACUCAGUUUAACUAAAGUUGGAUAAACUGUCAGCCGCAAGCCACCUAUGUGCAAAGCACGUCGGGAGAACCGGUCUCGCGUAAGCGUACGCGUAAUGUCGGUCCGGGCCGCUUCGUCCAACAAUACCGCCGAACCAAAGUAUGACAUGCUGGUAAGCAGUAUGACUUAUAUCGCCCACAACUCACUUGUGUUCUACUCGUGCAUAUAACAUCAACACAUAAAACCUAGGCUCGGAUGCCACUGUUGGGGAACGUAGUAAUUUCAAAAAAAAUUCUACACACACGCAAGAUCAUGGUGAUGCAUAGCAACGAGAGGGGAGAGUGUGAUCUACGUACCCUUGUAGAUCGACAACGGAAGCGUUAGGUUGAUGUAGUCGUACGUCUUCACGGCCUGACCGAUCAAGCACCGAAACUACGGCACCUCCGAGUUCUAGCACACGUUCAGCUCGAUGACGAUCCCCGGACUCCAAUCCAGCAAAGUGUCGGGGAAGAGUUCCGUCAGCACAACGGCGUGGUGACAAUCUUGAUGUACUAAUGUCGCAGGGCUUCGCCUAAGCACUGCUACAAUAUUAUCGAGGACUAUGGUGGGAGGGGCACCGGACACGGCUAAGAAUAUGAUCACGUGGAUCAACUUGUGUCUCUAGGGGAUGCUCCUGCCUCCGUAUAUAAAGGCUCAAAAGGGGGGGGGGUGCGGCCGGCCAGGAGAGGCGCGCCAGGAGGAGUCCUACUCCCUCUGGGAGUAGGACUCCCCCCUUUCCUAGUUGGAAUAGGAUUCGCGGAGGGGGGAAAAGAGGAGAGAGAGGAGGAAGGGGGGCCGGCCCCCUCUCCUUGUCCUAUUCGGACCAAGGGGGGGAGGAGCGUGCAGCCCACUUCUGGCUACCUCUCCUCUCUUCCGCUAAGGCCCACUAAGGCCCAUAUACCUCCCGGGGGGUUCCGGUAAACUCCCGGUACUUCGGUAAAAUCCCGAUUUCACCCGGAACACUUCCGAUAUCCAAACAUAGGCUUCCAAUAUAUCAAUCUUUAUGUCUCGACAAUUUCGAGACUCCUCGUCAUGUCCGUGAUCACAUCCGGGACUCCGAACAACCUUCGGUACAUCAAAACGCAUAAACCCAUAAUAUAACUGUCAUCAAAACCUUAAGCGUGCGGACCCUACGGGUUCCAGAACAAUGUAGACAUGACCGAGACACGUCUCCGGUCAAUAACUAAUAGCGGGACCUGGAUGCCCAUAUUGGUUCCUACAUAUUCUAUGAAGAUCUUUUAUCGGUCAGACCGCAUAACAACAUACGUUGUUCCCUUUGUCAUCGGUAUGUUACUGGCCCGAGAUUCGAUCGUCGGUAUCCAAUACCUAGUUCAAUCUUGUUACCGGCAAGUCUCUUUACUCGUUCCGUAAUACAUCAUCCCACAACUAACUCAUUAGUUCCAAUGCUUGCAAGGCUUAAGUGAUGUGCAUUACCGAGAGGGCCCAGAGAUACCUCUCCGACGAUCGGAGUGACAAAUCCCAAUCUCGAAAUACGCCAACCCAACAUGUACCUUUGGAGACACCUGUAGAGCACCUUUAUAAUCACCCAGUUACGUUGUGACGUUUGGUAGCACACAAAGUGUUCCUCCGGCACACGGGAGUUGCAUAAUCUCAUAGUCAUUGGAACAUGUAUAAGUCAUGAAGAAAGCAAUAGCAACAUACUAAACGAUCGGGUGCUAAGCUAAUGGAAUGGGUCAUGUCAAUCAGAUCAUUUAACUAAUGAUGUGAUCUCGUUAAUCAAAUAACAACUCUUUGUCCAUGGUUAGGAAACAUAACCAUCUUUGAUUAACGAGCUAGUCAAGUAGAGGCAUACUAGUGACACUCUGUUUGUCUAUGUAUUCACACAUGUAUUAUGUUUCCGGUUAAUACAAUUCUAGCAUGAAUAAUAAACUUUUAUCAUGAUAUAAGGAAAUAAAUAAUAACUUUAUUAUUGCCUCUAGGGUAUAUUUCCUUCAGAUGUUAGAUGAAUGAUCACAUUGAAUUGACCCAACAUUGUUUGUUACACUUUGAGAAGGUAUCAUCACAAGUCAAUUAUUAUAACACAAAGAGUUAAUAUAUGCUUUAGUUCGUAGACCAUGAGAGUGUUGUAGUCACUUCUUACCGUACGAUGAACUUUGGAAUUGCUCAAACAUCAUAUGUAACACUGUGAUCAUAACAACAACUUACAGGUGCAUCGGAAAGUUUGACAAGGGACUAGAUAGCUCAACAGUGGGAUUUUCUCCUCCGACGAUGGAGGGAUACUCUUAAGGGCCCUCUCGGUAUGACGGCAUCUGCCAUCGUCUGGCCAGACACAGGUGACUAUGUCACUGGGCUGCCAGAACAUGUCAACGAGAAAGAAGAACAAAACCGGUAAUAGGGAGACCGGUAUAGUGAACAUGAUAAUGACUCAAGAGGAUACUGAUACAUAUCAUGAAGCAAAGGAAAUAGCUCAUGAUAACCGAAGGUUCACUCAAAUGUCAUUCGUGUACUCAUAGGGAUUGAUAUGGACGUCCAUGGUUUAAUUAUAGGUCAUUGAACGAAAGGGGUUUUAUUCAUAUCUAUGUUUUACCGAACCUAUUAGGUCACAAGUUUAAGGUAAUGACGAUGUGCUGAGUGUUAGUAGGACGAGAAUAAUGAGAACAUAUUAGUGAAAUAGUUUCACUAAUAUUCGAAAUAGUUUCGAGAUAAACCGGAAGCGUUUAGGGGUCACUAGAAGGGUUUCCGAGUUUAUCGGGCAAUACCGGGUAUUCUCGAUAAAUAAUAUAGCUGUGGGAAAUGUUUCUGUGAUGUUACAUUAGUAAUAAAAGUCUUUAAUAAUAAUUAAGAAGCUUUUAUAUUAAUUUAAUAUCAACGGGUCUUAAAAGGCCAAGUGAUGGAAGGCUACUUGGGCCGCUUGGGCCCAAAAGGGGUGGCGCCCCCUUCUCCCCAUGGAGAGGGGAGAGGAGGCCGAAUUGGAGGGGGAAUCCCCCUCCUCUUGGCCAACGCAACGGGGUAGUUCCUUCCCACCUUAUGACGCUCCCUCCCCUCUCCUCCGACCUAUAUAUACUAGAGGUUUUAGACACUUUUGAAUACACAAGUUUUGGAGCCUCCUCUAGUUUUCUAGUUCUAUUUCUAGUUGGUCCUAUUUGAUCUAAUUAGAGCUAGACCUAGAUUCUCUAAUCCUCAUAAUUAGAAAUCUAGUGUGGUUCUAAUAUCUUCCUUCUAAUUCUCUGGCGGUGAUUAGCUCUCGACGGUGAAGCGCUGUCGGAUCAUGAAGACCGUACACUUGCAAUUUAUGGAGAGGUCGUGCUUUUGGUCUUCUGUUCGAGUGACUGUUCGUGGGCGAUUCGCAGGAUCGAUCGGGCAUCUAUGGUUCGAGGGACUCCAAGUACGAUAUACACCGACGCAUCUUUUCCACUGCAACUCGGAGCUGGUAACGAUCUGAUCGAAACCCUUUAUUGCAUCUUCAUAGUGUUACUAGGUGAUCAUAGGGCGAUACUUUUUUGUUUUCUACUAUGUUUCCCAACAUCUUCAUCGUCCUGGCCACGACUACGGCUCUCAGCUCCCUGUGUACUCCGCCGCCACUGCCGCUCUCACCAACAACCGUGGAAUGUGGUUCAUCGCGAGAUGAAUGGAAAGUUGGGUUAUGUCGGUCAAAAUGAUUACAGACAAGGAAAAAUAUUAAUUACACCUCACAAAAAAUAUUAACAAAGCUGAUGGAUUACCUUUUUGCCCCUAACGUGUUGGUACUCCGUGUGUGUUUAAAUCAGUACUCCGUGAGAUUAGUGAUGGAGUACCAAAUCUUAUGAAACAGCGGAAUGGGAAAAAUGGACGGGCUAUAUUAAUUUCUGGAUACUGUAAAAGUGCUCUUGGAUUAGGGGAUGAUUGUUAGAUUAAUCCAAUCAUUUUGAGUUUAGCUUGGGGUGUGCUAGUUUAUUAUGCAAAUGUAGCCGUGCGUUCUUGUGUUCCGUUAGGAUUGGAUUAGUACUGUUGUGGUCAGCAUUGCCGGUUGAUUAGUUUAGAAAAGAAUCUUGAUAAAUGCCACACUCAUGUAUGGGCACAUAGUAACUUCUAACUUUUUAGUGGCAAGUUUCAUUACGCGAGGAUGACAACUUUAGUUGGCAAGCAUGACAACUUUUGUGCUUUUGUUUGUUUUUGAAAGAAACUUGCAGCGUGUCACUAGAAUUUACCAUCCUUGGGCGCCUUGUCAUUGAAAAACGCCAGGGCUGGAGUGCCACACAUCCCACACGUGGCAUUUAUCAUUAGGGUUAGGAAAAUGUCUUUGUGCUUAGUAGGCUACGUGUGCAAGUACAAUAGGAAAGCUUAGCUUAAGUCGGUUUGGAGUUUCCUUGUGCUAGCUUGCUUGGUCUAGCACGAGUCGGUUUUGUAACUCGUACCUGCGCCUUUACAAGCAAGCAGCGGCAGUCUACGGGUUGUAAUCACCAGAGAUUUGAGAAACAAAGACAAGAUGCACACACAGAAUACGUAGGCUAUUGGGGCGUAACCCCCGCUGGACAGUGGACACACAGCCCUCCUGCGGCCCAGAUCCAACCAGCCGGCCUGCCUACACGCUGUUUGUGGAGCAUAAACAAACGUAGGCUAUUUAUCUUCCGUAACGCAAAGGGACUCCUAGUCUCCGAUCCCGAUCGGCUUAACCAUAUACUGACAUAUACGGGGAAAUCCUUCUAUUUACUUUGGCCAGCCGCCAAGAGGCACCGGGACAUUGAUCCAUCGAUGGGUUCCUUAUUCUCUUCCACUGCCGGCGGCGACGGCGGCGCCGCUGCCUUUGAUUACGCCAACCCUCCCCCAGGCAGCCGUAUGUCAAAAGAGUAUGUAAUUCGUAGCUACUGGAUAUAUUAUUUCUGUAAAUUUCCUCAAUUGCUUGCAUGUAUUUCUAUUCUUAUAGGAGUACUUAUUAUGUUUAUUUAUUUGGUGUACCCUUGUUUAUUUGGAGACAGAGAUAUCGUCGCCUUUCGAAUUUCUCAGCUUGUCGACGUCGCCCUUGAACAUUACAACUCCAACAACCCGGUAUGAUACUCUAUCCGUCUCUCCCUCUCAUACAUCUAGGCGAGUACUUAAUACUUAUGAUUGAGAGUUUGAGAUCGAUCGCUGAGAUGCAGGGUGCCGAGUUCGAGUAUCCUGAGUAUCCUCCCACCACGGAGAUGAACGCCGUCUGCGUCGGUUUUAAGGGAACUUUCUGGUAUCACGUCGGCUUUUCGGCUCGCCCAGUGGACGCCACCGCCGAGACGCAACACUUCUUUGCCGAGCUAUAUUUUAAUAGACGCUGCCGCCAAAUAGCUGUUGAAACAUGCACUAUCCUAGGUACUACCUAAAUUUAUCUUUACAUUCCGCCAUACUGUGUUUGCUCGCCACUUGAGUAUAUCCAUAUCAUUAAUGUAACUUGCAGCUAAUUCUGUCUUUAUCUUUCUCUGCAAUGUCAACAGAAAAGCCGUUGUGCCGCUUUAGAGCCUCGUGUGCAUUUUGUCCAGAUGAAUCCAAUAUCUUGCACCCAAGCAGUGCAGAUUUUUUCUGUGGAAAACAAGAUCAUGAAAAAGAAUUCUUUCGCAAGAGAGAUAUGCUAGUGCGGCCAUUCAAUUCUUUUAUGACACCUCCUGAUAUAGAUAGCACCGACGACGCAUGACUCAACUCAUAUGUUAUGGCCUAUGGAUUACAGUUGUAAAAUAAGUAUGUUUUUCUUCUUGACUCGAGUCUUAUAUUAUGGCCUACGGAUUACAGUUGUAAAAUAAGUAUGUUUUUCUUCUUGUUUAUAUCGUCCUUGUUGUUCAAUUUCGUUGACCACUAGAAAAUUAAAAACUAGUAUUUCGAAAUUUAAUGUGCACAAGAACGAGAACCAGAACUGAUAAGCAUGGCUGCAGCUAUAGCGCAUAAGACCAGCCUUUCUCUCUCUUUCAUUUCAGUGGUGUAAUUUCUGUUAUAUUUCACUCGGCUGAGGCUUCCAAUGAUAAUGAUUAGCUAGCCUUUUGUGUUGUGGCAAUGCGAUGGAGACGUUAGGUUAUCCUAAUGUGUUUUUCCCAUGAUAGAACAUAUUGAUCGAGCUUUUAUAAAUCUCUCAUGGGAUCAACAAAAAAGGAAAAGGGAGCUCGAUCUACUGUUCCCAAACUCGUCUGUCUCAUCUCUCACAUGAUAUAUCUCUGACCACAUACCUGUGUUAAUUUCACCGUUGACAAAGCGAUUCAACGUCCCACGCUUUUCGAAUUUGAAACCUCCUGGGCUAAAAUAUUGGAUUGUCGGCUCUUAAUCUGUCUCAUCCCUCCAUGGGAUCAAUUCGUAAACCGGGUUUCCUAUUGGGCGUGCAGGUCNNNNNNNNNNNNNNNNNNNNNNNNNNNNNNNNNNNNNNNNNNNNNNNNNNNNNNNNNNNNNNNNNNNNNNNNNNNNNNNNNNNNNNNNNNNNNNNNNNNNNNNNNNNNNNNNNNNNNNNNNNNNNNNNNNNNNNNNNNNNNNNNNNNNNNNNNNNNNNNNNNNNNNNNNNNNNNNNNNNNNNNNNNNNNNNNNNNNNNNNNNNNNNNNNNNNNNNNNNNNNNNNNNNNNNNNNNNNNNNNNNNNNNNNNNNNNNNNNNNNNNNNNNNNNNNNNNNNNNNNNNNNNNNNNNNNNNNNNNNNNNNNNNNNNNNNNNNNNNNNNNNNNNNNNNNNNNNNNNNNNNNNNNNNNNNNNNNNNNNNNNNNNNNNNNNNNNNNNNNNNNNNNNNNNNNNNNNNNNNNNNNNNNNNNNNNNNNNNNNNNNNNNNNNNNNNNNNNNNNNNNNNNNNNNNNNNNNNNNNNNNNNNNNNNNNNNNUUUUUUAAUUUUCUUUUUUCAAGUUCCGAACAUUUUUUUGUUCAUCGAAUUCAGAACAUGUUCAUAAAUAUAAAAAAUGUUCACCUAAUUCAAUUUUUUGUUCAAUGGAUUAAAAAAUGUUCAUCAAUUUCGAAAUUUGUUCAUAGUUUUCAAAAAAUGUUCAUUGAAUUCAACAUUUGUUCAUUGAACUAAAGAAAAUUCAUCCAUUUUUCAUAAAAAGGUUCUUGAAUACAAAUUUUGUUCAUCAAGUGCCAUUUUUUAUGGAAAAAAUUUGUUUAUAAAAUACAAAAAAAUGUUGAUCGUUAUUAAAAAAUGCUCAUAAAAAUUGUUAAUCAAAAUAGAAAAAUUAUUAAAAUUCAAAAAAUGUUCAUUCCUUUGAAAUUGCGAAUAUUUUUUAAUUCAAGAACUAUUUUUCAUAAUUCACAAUUUUCUUAAAUUUAGAACAUUUUUAAUUCAAGAACUAUUUUUCAUAAUUCACAAUUUUCUUAAAUUUAAGAACCUAUCCCGAAUUAUUUUAAUACAGAAUAAAACAAGAACAGAAAAUAAAAUAAAAAGUAAAAACAAAAAAAAGCUAGGAGCGUCCACUCCGCCCAUUGUCCGACCUAACAGGGCGCGCGCGGGGAAGGUCGUCACUUUGGUGAUGGGAGGUCUUUUUUUUUACCAUGCAAUAACUAACAAAUGAAGAAGGAAGAUUUAUUACGCCUAGUCCUUUUUCUUCUUUGUUUAUUUCUUUCUUCCACACGGCUUCUGUUAUUUAUUCUCUCAGAUUUUCUUCAAUAGAGACCUAGAUAUGUGCAUGGUCCUUCAAAAAAGCAGUGUAAAAAAAGGCAGAUUGUACAUGGGCAUGUAAAAGUUUUUUUUCUUCCUUUUCAAUCAAAUUCUUGUACUUUGGGUAAAAAAUGUUCGUAAUUUUUUGAAAAAUGUUAAUAAAUCUGAAAAUAUGUUGACGAAUUUUAAAAAUAUCCACGCACAUAAAAAAAUGUUCAUGAAUGUUUUGAAGAAAUAUAUAAUUCGAAAAAUAGCUAAGAAUUUGAAAAACAAUAUCACGAAUUUCAUCAACUGAAAUGAAAUCAUGAUAUAAAAAGUGUUCAUGAAUUUGGAAAAUGCGUGAGAACUUAAAAAUGUUAAUGAACUGAGAAAUGUAUGUGGAUUUAAAAGAUGGUCAUGAAAUUGCAAAAUGCCCAUGAAUUUGAAAAAAUGUUCAUAAAUAUAUACCUACUAAUAAUAUCAAUGUUACAUUUAUAUUAAUGUUAAUCAUUAGUUAUUAUUCUUAACUAUAUCUCUCGAUCUUAAUAAUAAAGGGAGGAGUGCUUCCGCCCAUCUGUCACAACUUUUGCAGAAAACCCUCUGAACUUCUUUGAAAUCAACCUGCGGUACUAUGGUAAUGUUAAGUGAGAAAAAAUGAUUCAUUUUUCUUAUUUUAGAAAACCCCUUGAUCUUUUACUUAAGGACGUGACUAACGUCCUAUCAUUCGGAUGUUAAGCAACAGAUCCGAACGAUCGAACCCCACCUUGCUCCCGCGACCCGCGUGCUUCGAGAGGCCCACCCAUGAUAACACAGCCUCCCUUAACGAGGCCGAGCGUGUGUAGCGUUGAGGCCCAAGAUCAAGACAGCCUCCCCGGCCCACCAUACCUCGCUCGUGACUUACCACCCAAACUAUUAUUUCUUACCUCCAUCGUAGGAAACAGGCACAUGCCCCCGAUCCGUUCUCCUCCUCUCUCCCUGACGCGCCUCCAUCGCCGACGAGCUGCAGCCCCCGAUUUGAUCCACCAAAAACACAUCAACCACCAUGCCCGAGGACUACUAAUCCCCCAAUCACAAGGAUUGAGAGAGCGGCGGGUUUACCACAUCAUCAAUACUAGGGUUACCACAUACUACGGCACUAAUUACCCAGUUCGUUUGAAUUUUGCCAGAAUCAAGCAAAAAAGCAAGGAGGUAACUGAUUCAAACUCCAUACAGAUGCCGCAUUUUCAUUUCAUACCAUAAACAUCAAAUCAAUUGCAUGGGAUAAGAACAAACCAUCAGUUGGCAAAAAGAUAGCCUUUUUUCUAGCCUAUACAUCCUACAUGUGUGGAAUUCCUCCCUCAUAAUUGAGUUACCAUUCACAUCUUGGCAGGUUACCAUCAAGAUUGGAUUAAGUUGUCUUUUCAUAGCACAAAAGUUGGUAAAAGAGAGCCAUUUUCCUAGCCCACACAUCCUACAUGUGUACAAAUUCAUCCCUCAACAUUGAGUUACCAUUGAAAUCUAGAUAGCUAGGUUACCAUCAUGAUUGCAUUAAGUUAUAUUUUUUUGUAGCCUGUUAAAACUACAUGUAUGAAAUUUCUCAUUGAUAAUUGAGUUAUCAUUAAAAUCAAUAUAGAUUAUCAUAGUGUGUGCACUAAGUUAUCACUAUAAAAUAAGAAUAAAAAGUGAAAAAAAUCCUUUAACACUUAUUAACCAUAAAAACAUCAUUUUUUAUUCUGGAAAAGAACCAUUAUGAGUGUGAACAACAAGCAUGGCACAACAACCCAGAAAAGAAAAAGUCAUCAUGUUGUUUCAAAAGAAGUUAUCAGAAAAACUCUAUACCAACACUUAUCAGCCCAUGGAUGCACAAAGAACCAGGGCGCUAACACUAAAAAAUACCAUGUGUUGAUUUACAUCAUUGCAAUCAGGACUGAUUGAUAAGAAAUUAUGUUGAUGAAAUGAGGUUGUAGAUACCAUCACUGUCAUGCGCUGGUUACUUCCAAUUGAUACCUGUUAUAAAAUGAAGUAAUCAGUGCAAAAAAGAAAAUAACACUUGUUGUGAAAAAAUAAUCAAUAUUGCUUGGAAGUGUGGAAUUGAUCGAUGCGAUUAUAUGUGCUAGCAGGUGCUGCAACACAAAAAUGGCACAAGACAACAGGGGCAAUGUGGAUAUCAUGAUGAGUAGUGUGGGACAAACCAACAGGGUGAGGAUGCACAUACGGCAAGCUUUGGUUCUGCCAACAUCAACAAAACAGACAAGGAUAAUAUUUACCAUGAAUCAGUCUACAACUACCACAUUUUUAUACACAAAGGUUACCGUCCAACUUGAAUUGCAAUUACCAUUCAUGAUGUUUACAACAACCACAUGUACUACAUGCAAGUUACCAUGCAAUAUGCAUUACAUUUACCAUGCAUUAGUUCACAAAGAAAAAAUACCAAAAAACUUAUUGCAUACAAGUUACCAUGAAAUUUGGUACAAUUACCACACUCACUGCAUAAAAUUUAUAAUGCAAUCUGCAUUACAAUUACCAUGGUUUAGUUUACAACUACGAGCAGCUUACUACAUGCAAAAUUUACCAGGCCAAUGGAGUGCAAGUUACCACACAUUUUGGUGUGCAAAAUUACCACACAAACUAACAUCUUCAAAAAUAUUGCAGGUGCUACAUCUAGAAGCAAGCCAAUGGUCCGAGAGCCAAGUAAAGAACCGACUACUAGUAGCAUAGGGAGAGAGAAAUCUUCUUUGAUCAGUCAGUCAGCGAGCCCGCGAAUCCAGAAAUAGGAGGGGUGAAUGCUGAUCGGGAGACAUAAACACCGAGGCCUAGUCCACACCAAAGCGUGAUGAAGCGAUGAAGUUUGACACUUAUGAGGAAGCUUAUGAUCACUACAAGCUAUAUGCGCUCAGGCAUGGGUUUGGGAUAAGGCUGGAAUACAGGAAAGCAAUAAAUGAUCAUACUGUAAGCAGAGUCCUCUUGGUUUGUGAGAAAAGUGGCAAGCCAAAAAAUCAAGGAGGAGACACAGGAUGUGCAGAACCCAAAAGGCAUCCUGAAGAAGAGGAAAAGAUGGAAGAUUGUGGGGACAGAAUGGCUGGCCCACCUUUACAUUACGAACACGGAUGCAUGGUGGAGAGUCAAACGCUUCAACGACAAUCACAACCACCCUCUAAUCAGAAAGCUGUCCUGGACAAAGUUCCUAUCAUCACAUAGGAACAUUCUCAAGGAUGAUAAGGACUUCUUGAAGAUACUGGACGGAUGCAACAUAGAGACAUCAAGACAGAUGCAACUAAUGCCAUGGUUCUACGGGUCUUCUAAAGAUGUACCAUACAUGACAAAGGACAUCGCAAACCAGCAAGCUAAAUUCCGCAUGGAGUACCGCCAUGCUGAUGUGAGAAGCACAAUCUCAUACUUCCAAGAUAUGAAGGCACAAGAUCUAGAUUUCUAACGGAGAAUAAAACUUCAUGACGAGGACAGAGUGGAAAAUUUAUUCUAGAUAGAUGAUGCGUCGCGUAGGGCAUAUGCUAGGUACAAUGACGUUGUGUCAUUCGACACAACAUACUAACAUAUUGUUGGGGAACAUAGUACAACAACAACAACAAAAACAACAAAGCCUUUAGUCCCAAACAAGUUGGGGUAGGCUAGAGGUGAAACCCAUAAGAUCUCGCAACCAACUCAUGGCUCUGGCACAUGGAUAGCAAGCUUCCAUGCACCCCUGUCCAUAGCUAGCUCUUUGGUGAUUUCCACCACACCCGGGUUCCGAUGUAGCGCGUCGCUGAGAGGGUUACGCCCCAACGAAAAUCUUUUGGGUUUCAUCUCCAUAAGAGUGGCUGGGUUUUUACGUUGGCUCGCCAAGCCUAUCACAACCCUCCUCCUUUACCCGGGCUUGGGACCGGCUAUGUUGAGACAACAUAGGCGGAGUUGUUGGGGAACAUAGUAAUUUCAAAAUAAAUUCCUACGCACACGCAAGAUCAUGGUGAUGCAUAGCAACGAGAGGGGAGAGUAUUGUCCAUGUACCCUCGUAGACCAAAAGCGGAAGCGUUAUGACAACGCGGUUGAUGUAGUCGUACGUCUUCACGAUCCGACCGAUCCUAGUACCAAAAGUAUGACACCUCACGAUCUGCACAUGUUCAGCUCGGUGACGUCCCACGAACUCUUGAUCCAGCUGAGUGUCGAUGGAGAGCUUCGUCAGCACGACGGCGUGAUGACGGUGAUGAUGAAGCUACCGGCGCAGGGAUUCACCUAAGCACUGCAACGAUAUGACCGAGGUGGAUUAUGGUGGAGGGGGGCACCGCACAUAGCUAAGACAAUGUCUGUUGUUGUGUUCUAGGGUGCCCCCUGCCCCCGUAUAUAAAGGAGUAAGGGGGGAGGCCGGCCGGCCCUUGGGCGCACCAAGGAGGGGAGGAGUCCUCCUCCUAGUAGGAGUAGGACUUCCCCUUUCCAAGUCCUACUAGGAAGGGGAAAGGGGAAAGGAAGGAGAAGGAGAAAGGGAGGGAAAGAGGGGUUGCCACCCCCUCCUUGUCCAAUUCGGACUCCUAAGGGGGGGGGGGGGCAGCCCUAAGGCCCCUCCUCUUUCUCUCACAAGGCCCAUGUUGGCCCAUUAGUUCCCCCGGGGGUUGAUACGUCUCCAACGUAUCUAUAAUUUUUUAUUGUUCAAUGCUAUAUUAUAUUCUGUAUUGGACAUUAUUGGGCUUUAUUAUACAAUUUUAUAUUAUUUUUGGGACUAACCUAUUAACCGGAGGCCCAGCCCAAAAUUACUGUUUUCUGCCUAUUUCAGAGUUUCACAGAAAAAGAAUAUCAAACAGAGUCCAAACAGAAUGAAACCUUCGGGAACAUGAUUUUCGGAACAAACGUGAUCCAGAGGACUUGGACCCUAUGUCAAGACAUCAACUAGGAGGCCACGAGGUAGGGGGCGCGCCCUCCACCCUCGUGGGCCCCCUGUUGCUCCACCGACGUACUCCUUCCUCCUAUAUAUACCUAUGUACCCCCAACUACCAGAUACAGAGCCAAAAACCUAAUUCCACCGCCGCAACCUUCUGUACCCGUGAGAUCCCAUCUUGGGGCCUGUUCCGGAGCUCCACCAGAGGGGGCAUCGAUCACGGAGGGCUUCUACAUCAACACCAUAGCCUCUCCGAUGAUGUGUGAGCAGUUUACCUCAGACCUUCAGGUCCAUAGUUAUUAGCUAGAUGGCUUUUUCUCUCCUUUUGGAUCUCAAUACAAUGUUCUCCCCCUCUCUCAUGGAGAUCUAUUCGAUGUAAUCUUCCUUUGCGGUGUGUUUGUUGAGACCGAUGAAUUGUGGGUUUAUGAUCAAGUUUAUCUAUGAACAAUAUCUGAAUCUUCUGAAUUCUUUUGUGUAUGAUUGGUUAUCUUUGCAAGUCUCUUCGAAUUAUCAGUUUGGUUUGGCCUACUAGAUUGAUCUUUCUUGCAAUGGGAGAAGUGCUUAGCUUUGGGUUCAAUCUUGCGGUGUCCUUUCCCAGUGACAGUAGGGGCAGCAAGGCAUGUACUGUAUUGUUGCCAUCGAGGAUAACAAGAUGGGGUUUAUAUCAUAUUGCAUGAAUUUAUCCCUCUACAUCAUGUCAUCUUGCUUAAAGUGUUACUCUGUUCUUAUGAACUUAAUACUCUAGAUGCAUGCUGGAUAGCGGUCGAUGUGUGAAGUAAUAGUAGUAGAUGCAAGCAGGAGUUGGUCUACUUGUCUCGAACAUGAUGCCUAUAUACAUGAUCAUACCAAGAUAUUCUCAUAACUAUGCUCAAUUCUGUCAAUUGCUCAACAGUAAUUUGUUCACCCACCGUAAAUACUUAUGCUCUCGAGAGAAGCUGUAACAUCCCAAAUUUUCAAUUUGGAAUGUUAUACAUAGAUCAUCAUGCAUAUCAUAUUUUCUUGCAUUUUGCCGAUCCUGGAAAUUUCACGCAACUCAAGGACCCUCGGAGAGAGUUGGAGAUUUCGUCUUUUUCAUAUUUGAGUCUUCUCAAAUUUUGAAGAAAGGACCAUUGGUUUUGCCGGAGUUUAUUUGCCUUUUAUCUGGAUAGGGAAAAAUGCGCGUUUUCAAAAAUUGCAUUUUAGGCCCGGAGAAAAGUUCAUUUUGUUCGACUCAUUUUUAGGAGUCGGGGAAAAUUUACUUUACUAGAUUUGGAGUUCGUAUAGAUCUCUUUCUGUUUUUUUUCCGAGCGCGGAACCAAUUUUUUUUUAAAAAAAAAUCCUAGCGACUUGGGCCAAAGGCCCAAGCCACCGAGCCGGCUGGCUCCCAGGCCAGCGCCGUGCCGCGCCAGGCGCCCAGGCACAGGAGGCCGCCGCCGCCGUUGUCUCUUUUUAGGUUUCCUAGUAGGAUUUGUCCUACUUCCGUUAUUCCUUUUUUUCUUUUCUAGAUCUUUUCCUUUCCUCUUUUCUUUCCUAGUCCUAGUCUAAUUCCUUGACCCCUACCCCAAGUUUUCUCCCCCUCCUCAAUAUAAAUACUCCCACACACCCCUCUAAACCCAUCAAAUCCAAAGCCCCAAAGCCCCAAGUACCCCGCGCCCCACACCCGCGCCGCGCCUAGUGCCCCGCCGCCACGCCCUGCGUCACCCGCGCACCGCCCAAAGCCGCCGCCCGCGCCGCCCAUCACCCGCGCCGCCGCCGCACCUUGCCGCCGCCCCACGCCCACGCCGCCGGAGCCCCUCGCCGGAGACUUCGCCGGAGGUAGCCCCGCGCCGCAUCUUUUCUUUUCAUCGGAUCGUUUUCUUCUAAUCGUUCCGAUUCUUUUUCUCCGAUUCGUUUUUCGUCGCGAAACCGUUCCGGUUUUCUAGAUCGGUUUUACGAUCGGUUUUCUUCUCCGAAACCCUAGAUCAGAUUCGUUUUCUUUUCCAAUUUAGUUGCCCGAGACUGUUCGCCAGACCAUUCUUCCUAACGAACGUGAUCACCGGAUUCUUCUAGGUUAACGAACAUCCAUUCGUUCAACCGUUCUUCUUUUUCUUUCCGUCGGAUUUAUUCCGCGAUCGCGAUCUCAGAUCCGAUCUUCUUUCUAGUCUAUCUUCUUGCUCGUUUAUCGGAAUCAGGUGAUUCAAGCGCCUGGAGUUUCGUUUUGAAACCGCCGUUCCAUCUAAUCAUCUUUAACUAAGUUUUUGCUAAGGUAAAAUUUGACCUAGUUUCAACUUGCUAGAACUGAGUUGUUUUCCGCCGUUUGUUUUCGGUUUCUUUGUUCGGUUCUUUCUCUCUUUGCAACCGGAGUUCUUAAGUUGAACUUUCUGGUUCGAUCUCUUGUUCGAGUUUUACCUGUGCAUUAGAUGAGUACUUAUUGUAUGCUUGUUGUUUGUCUGCGAUAGAUUACCCGGAUUGCGCCGCUUGUUACUUCAAAUCUCUAGGACUCGCGGAUCAUCAGCAAGGCAAGUAACACUUGAUCAUACCUUUUCUACAACCCAGUUUUAUUGCAUUAGAUCCAUCCUCACACAUUGCAUGAUUAGGAUCUAAUUAAAUUGUGGGAUGGGAAGUAGAUGAGGUAGUACCUAUGACCUGUUACUAUGAAACCUUUGGGAGUUACUUCUACGUUUGCUUAUUAUGCCAUGCUAUGCUAGUAGACGUGGAUUGGGUGAGUGAUAUCCAUGACAGAUGUGAGAUUGAUAAUUUUAAUGGUUUAUCUAAGGUGGCAACUUAAACACACAUCUGGGUGGAUUGAGGCACCUGAUGUCUAUCAGGACUUGCUUGUUUUAUUUUGGACCGCCACCCGGGCUCAAAGGGAUCAUAAGAUCUUUCAUGCUAAAUACUUACGUGUGCAGCCACAAGCCAUUAUGGGCUCUGGCAUAGUUGACUAAGUCGUGCAAACUCUUACAGGGUAGACUAGCAGAUGUAGGGGAAAGUAGGUGUACCGGUCUAUCCAUCGUAAGGUGCUAGCGCUUCUGAAAGACUGUGUCUCGGUCAUCCGUUUCUCAAACACGGGUAGUGCAAGAAAUCCAACGGAGGCGAUCGAGUCUUGUGGGGAAAAGUGCGCAAACCUCUGCAGAGUGUAAUAAACUAAUCAUGAUUAGCCGUGUCCCCGGUUAUGGACAAUCUUGAGUAUCUAGUACUUGAAUAUCAUGUGAAUCUCAUCAUGUUACUUCUAAUUAAUAUUGUUGGGUUAUUGAUGACUACUUUUAAUUGGGAUUGAGGAUGCUGUCAACCAUUCUCAAUGUUUAACAACCACCAUGAUAGUAAAUAAAUUUAUUCCUUUGCAGUAGGGAAAAAUUGGCUUUACGCAAAACAGUAACCAUAGAGCUUUCCACCAGCCAAAUAUGCAUAUAGUAUAGCUGUUUCAUUCCAUUAUUCUCUAUGUGUUACCUUGCCAGCAUAUUCCAUGUGCUGACCCGUUUCGGGCUGCAACGUUAAUGUUGUAGACUUUUCAGACGACGAUUAAGGUGCUUUUAGGUCGUGGUUCUAUACUCAGUGAUGUCGUUGGAGUUGAUGGACCCAUUUACCUUCCAAGUCUUCCGCUGUUAUCGUUAUUAGAUGGCCUUAAGCCAUAUUAUUGUAAUAAGUUCUCUUCGGAGACAUCGAUGUAAUAAGUGUGUGAUUGCCACUCUGCUAUAAAUCCUUCGAAGUACUGUGUGGUGUCAGCAUUACUGAUCCAGGAAUGACACCGGAGCACAGAGAUCAGACUGUUUGAGGUCUGGUCGCUACA